AUGGCCCCACACCUAAGUCCUUUCACAAGGACAUCUGUCGUGACAAAACCACGACAAUAACCCUACCGGCGAGCUGCCUGGCGGUAGGAAAAAGGGUCAUAUCUCGAAAAAAAUUGAACACGGGUCGGAUCCGGCUAAAGAUACCCAAAAGGGUCAAAAACACGAAAUUUCCUCCCUCCUUGAGAAGUUAACUGAAACUCAAUGUAUCAUGGUUCUGAUGACCAUGUUGAUGGCGUGGCUGGCAAUCCCAAUUGAGGCCUCUCGUAGUUGCAAGCCAUUUAACCUUGCUUAUGGCACUACAACAUCACCCCGAGGCUGAAUGGAUCAAAGGUAAAUAUGUUGUUGAUUAUUUUGGUGAACCUGCGUGCAAAAUGAAGCCUACACCGCAUGUGGAAUGGUGGCAUCCGCCGAUAUCCGGACGUGCAAAGCUCAAUGUGGAUGGGUCGUUUAUGGCCACCGACGGAAGGACAGGGGCGGGCAUGCUUCUUUGGAAUGAUAAUGGGACUAUGAUCCUCGUUGAUAUCAUAGGACUUGGUAAUUGUGCUGAUGUGCUAGAAAGUUUCUUGGCGGCAAUCCAUGAAGGUAUUACGUUGGCCCUCAGCUGGACUGAGUUGGAUCUUAUGGUGGAGACCGACAACAUUGAUGAUGUGCAUUUGAUUUCUUCUAUUGGACAAGAUCGCUCGACGCACAUCCAUAGAGUUAUGGAGCUAUUGUUGGUGUCUCAAGAAAGGAUGAUUUAAUUAGUUAAGAUCAAGCGCAAUAUGAACUCAACUAGCCACACUCUCGCUCAAAUGGGAUGAGCUCAACAGCGAACUGCUUGUUGGUUGCAAAACCCCCGUGGCGAGAUUGUGAGCAUCAUUGCCGCCGAUUUUAACUACAUUACUUGAUGAAUGAAUUUAUUUCCCUGCAAAAAAUCUGCAAAGAUUAUUGUAGGAUUUAGUAGAAAAUGUGUCUUUAUCUCACUGACUCAAGUAUUCAACCGAGUAGAUGGUUGGUAUAUGACUAGGAGUACGACGUUUGUCACUUUUUUGUUGGUACAAGGAUUUGUGAUGAACACGAACCCUUAAAAAUACUAACGAAGUGGCAGAUGGGAUAUCAUAGAAAUAAGAAACAACUUAGACGUGGAAAAGAGAGAUAUUCAAUUGCUAGCUCUUCAAUAUCCAGUUGCGUCUAUGUCCGUGUGUGUUAUCUUAUCAAGGUAUUUGUUCCAAGAUCUUCCUAGUAGGUGAUAGACUUUGGUCGGACAUAUGGUUGGACCAGCCAAUAUCAACAUAUGAGUGAAAUUUGUUCUUGAAGGAGUUACCUUGGUGUGUUGCACGUUUGUCUGCUGAUACAUUGUUUGUCAGUAUGCUUGUAGGAUUUGAGGGUACCGCAACUAUAUUUGUCCUUUCUUUCUUUAAGAUGACUUAUUUGCAUUAUCCAUAAUUAAUAAUAUAGAAGUGUUUUUUCCUUAAGCGGUGGCUAGGGUCACACCUACUCUCCAAGCAACGUCGGAGCCCGUGGAUUCGCCUCUCUUUUACCUACUGCUCUAGCGGGGCAUAGUGGGAGGAGAAUCCCUAACUCUCGCUAGUAGUUUAGGUUAGGUUUUAGUCCUCCCAGGGAUGACGUUUGGGGGGGGGGGGGGAGGGGGAUGACGAUGCUUCUUCUUCGAGUUGGUCUUUCAGGCUCCGAUCCUAGGAAUUUGAUGGAGCUUCGGCAUAGAUUUAUGUUAUCCCUUUGGAGAAGUGAGACUAGGGUUUCUCAUUGCCCAUGUAACAAGAUCCGGCGUCAUGCACUUCGGACCGAUUUAAGGGUUCAACAAUGAUAACUGCGGCUCCAAGGCGUUAAGCCUUAUGGGCAUGUGCACGAAAACAUUCCGAUUGUCAACGACAAGGUCAAGCUGACUGUGAUAGAGUAGUAGUAAUAGGGACACGUCGGUUGCUCAUCCUUGCGACAAUGGUGGUCAUUCGGUGGUGUGGGGAUCUCAAUAUAAAUUUUAUCAUGUUUGGGUGCUUUGUACAACUUUUGUAAUAGAUUUAGAUGCUCCUUUUUCGAUGAUUUUUUUUAUCAAUAAUGCAUGAGUAGUGCAUCAAUUGAUAAUGAGAGGUUUAUCCUCAUUGUCAGAAAAUAUAUAUUUAAAUGCUAUUUUUCCCCUGAGGAGCUCGAUGGGCUGACCCGGUAAAAAUAAUGGAAUAUUGUUAGGUUGUAGCUUGACCCGUCAUUUCUGCCGUAGAAAGAGAAAAGAAAAGGCAAAACAAGAGGGAAUCGAAGGACGGCAAUGGAGCACCCAUUGACUUCCAGUAUCAUCAUGCGGCCUCAUCAUGCCGCUGCGGUGUACGUCCCCUCCCGAGAGCACGUCGCGCCUGCACACCGGCCGGCCUGGACCUGUCAAUCGGGACGGCUCAUGGCCGGCAGCGCAUUCCAUCGGUAAUUGUAGCGACAGCGGUAGCGUCUGACAUGACCUCCACGCCUGAGGUUUGAGACACCAAUUUGGCAAAAGUUGCCUUCAUCUUUUACCCGGUCUAUCUGUGCCUGUACUGCCCGGCCCCAUCAUGCAUCAUUCCUCGUCCAGGAUUAGUCAGCAUCUACAAUUCACAUGAGCCACCUUAUCCGAUGGUUUCAGGUUGGUCUUAUGACAUCUCCAAUGCUGACCUUGUUCGAACCGGACGGUUGACAUGUGUUUUGUCAUCUAACGCGAUAGCAUGUCUGUCCAUAAAUUGCUCCUAAUGUCCAUUUUCUCGCAACCAAGAAGCAGAUCGAAGAGGGGGAGGGGGGAGGAAGCGUCCGGAUCACUGUCACGCACGUGUACAAUUAUUUGGACCCACCCAAAAUCCUCUUUGCAUUUUCUCUCAAACACAUGCAUUGCUUCCCAAACCGUAUUUAUGUCGGCCUAAAGCCACGACGUGAUCGGAUGGGAAAACGAUAAUGACCGUUGUGACUAGACGGAAGUUGUUGUCUCGAUGCUAAAUCCUCAUCUUGAGAAUCAUCUCCGGCUCAUGCGCCGCAUUGAAGCGGGAUGACCGUCCAUUCGCCUAGCUGGACUAUUUAAGCACCGCGCCGGCGUUGUCCAUGUCCACAUCUUCAUCCACUCCGUCGUUCCCCUCCUCCUACAUACAACGACGAUGGGCAAGUCUUGGGCCUUGGCGUCGGCAGGGGCCCCGGCUUUGGAUCGUGGCGCUACCACCCUCGCUCUCCGGGGCCGUCUUGCUUCACAUCGGCCGGCUCCUCUUGAUACACCCUGGAUGCAUAUGCCAACUUUGUAUACUUCUUCUUACACCAUGGGUACAUAGGCUUCUCAUGGGUUUUCAUUGCAACAUGAUAUUUUUAAAUAAUCGUGCACGCUCUAUGUUUUUCUUAGUAUCCUUGAAUAUCCGACUCAUUUAAUCAUCCACUUCCGAUGUGUCAUCAUCCUCCAUCGGUGCUUCAUUAUCAUUUGAUGUAUGAAGAGACCCCUACAUGAACUCAUCAGUUGCAGUAAUCAUAUCAACAUCAUGUUUAAUUUUCAUAAAAUUUCCCUUCCAUCACCGGUAGUGCACUUAUCCGUUCACCUUAUUUACUCCAACAUUCACAUCCCAUCACGAGUCACUCUUGAUCAAAUGUGUCUAGAUCUCAAUAGUGCGUUUGGUACUUCGCAAAUUAUGAUACAUGAAACAUUUGCAACAUAUACAUUUCACGUUUGUCUCUUCUAUCUCGAUCAGCUGACAACUACUCCAUGAACUCAUUGCUCAAACGGUUCUAUGCAUACAUUAAAGCUCGAUCCAUCUAUCCAACACAACAAAAUUACCGCAUUGAUAACCUACCAUUACAAUAAAUUGUAUGUGCAUAUUAACUUCGUCUUAUGAAAAUAUUUGUGUUCUGCCCAACUUUGUAGUCAUAUUUAUUAGCAUCUACAUCGACUCACCUAAACGCCAAUAUGCAUCGUACAUAGAAAUAGAGGGAGUAUGCACCUUUGAUUCAACUACAGAGGGAUAAUAGCACCCCCCCCCCUAAAAAUGUCGCCCAACAACAACUCUCCACUUCAAAUUGGUUGCAUGCAGCACUCGAUCACUCAAAAUGGUGCCAUAUGACAUCCCUCCACUUCACUUCGGUGACCGGUGGUAGGAAUCCCUCCUAAAAUGGUGCCUGACAAUAGCCUUACAUCCCGAAUCACUGACCAGCGAUGAAAACAAUCACCCCCCUCAAAACGGUGACCGACAGAAGCCCUGAACCUUAGAUUGAUGCCAAGCGAUAGUUGUCAUCCAACUAAACAGGGCCUCGAGUGAAUGAACACUCUCAACCGAAAUCAGGGUUUGUGACUGGUAACAAAUAAGUGAAGGCGAUUGCCAAAUGGCCAUCACCGUGUUUUCACGCAACUGGUUUCAGUUUAUAACCACGUGCAAUAAUCAAGUAUUACAUGCAGUUUCUCAACUACAUGCGGUUAGUCACGGGAAAAGUUGUCAGAAUUAUGACUCAAGUUUUAGAAUCCUACAAUCUUACGAUCCAAACUAGGCUCUCUGAUUCUACAAUUUUGCUCAUAGAAUCUAAGUUUCUACGAUCAUGAUAGUUAUGAUUCUAUGAUUCACGGUCCUAGCAAUGGAGCUCCGAUCCGAUUCAGAAUCGCGAUUCUGACAACUUUGGUCACGGGAACAACCUCCAUUGUUUAGCGUUAGAGGCAGUUUUAUCUCUCUUUGUUGAAACGCUUCUCAAGCCUGCUGUUAAUGCUCGUUUUCUACUAAUGAAAUCUCCUUCCAAGGGAAUCAUUUAGUUUAUGUGUCGAAGUUAACUCUUUAGGACGCCAAGUUAGACGCUUUCACUUAGGAGUUGAAUGUCUUGCCCCACAAGUUAGUCCAUGUGCGUCUGAUUUAAAACUCGGACGUUAGCCACGUGUCAUGAUGUUGUUAGUCUGCGUGUAAUGUUCCUACCAUCCCAGUGGGUUUUAACAAUGGGUGGUUAGCUACUCCAUCAGAAAUGUCAUAAGCGUUGGUUCAACAACCUUUCCUCCCACAGGAGGUGAGAAAAAUCUUAAGUGAUACGAAAGUCUAGAACAUAAGAACAUAAGUUAUUGAGCAUCAAAGGAGCACUUGAUCAAAGCCUAACUUCACUUAUUACUCUUGGGGACUGUGCAUACUCUUUAUGGCUAGAUGUUUUUUCAAGAGCGUCCAGCACGUGGAUCUGAUGAAGAACGAGUACGUAUCGAUCAAGAUAUUAUCACAAGAUCUACCAAGAGUGAUUGGGUGAGUUCCAAGCAACUUAGCUCAAGGAGAAUAGGACGAGGACUUUUGUGUCCUAAGAGUUGUGGCUCAAUUUGUCCAACCCAUAUGUAGAACUAUGCGAGUAGUUUGUACCGGGUUAAUAUAGCGUUGUGUGUUCAUCGAGCAACAUGCUCUUCUUCUUCACAUUGCUUGUACAUUAUGUAAUCUUCUUAUAUUUAGAAGAACAUCCCCUUUCCCCUUACUUGUGAUUGUUGCAAGGACACUCUCGAGUAAUUUCAUUAUUUUUCUGCCUAGCUCAAUGCUUAGUUUUGUACUAUGUUUUGUUGUAUUGGACUAUAUGUAUAUGUUUAUUAAAAAAAUUCAUCUGUACUGCUACUUAGUUAUUCUUCUAUCUAGCAUGCUUAUGUAUUUAGCUUAUUAAUCUGACUCACUUGCUUCUCAGUUGUUGACUUCUCAAGUUCAAUUACUUUUCAUUUUAGUGCUUAUAUGAUUAUGUUUACUAUGUUGUUCUUUGAAGAAUUUUCUCAAAUGUCCCAUCCACCCUCUUUUAGUCGAUAGCUUGAUCCUACACUUAUGUGGUACCGUGGGUUAAUAAAAAACACUAUAUAAAAGUUAAUAUUCAUGUUUUUUGGUAGUUGCAUCUUUUCUUUUUUGCCAGCAAGUCUACAAAAUCAUUUUGUCGCCAUAGUUUACAUAUGAGUAUUACAUUAGAAAACAUUUGUCCCAAAAGAACUUAGAGAAUAUUUGAUUUUUUACUAUAGUUUAAAUUAUUUUUGCUAAAUUGGGAGCUCAUAGACCCACGUUCCAAAUUGCAUGCAUGAUGUAGUACCUCGUAGUAAAAUUCCUUUGAAUUAUAUAGAGGACCUACUGUUACACAUAGCUCCAUUGAAGCAAUCUUAUGGACUUUACUUUUCUUAAAAGGAAAAUCUGCUUAAUGGGGAGUCAUCCAAAAAAUAUUUUAUAACAUGUGUUAGCAUGUUUUGUUUGUUUCGUGUGAUAUGCAAAAGAAAAUACAAAAUAAAAGAAAAUAUAAAAACGGUAAAACAAAUGUAGUUGGAUGUUGAGGGGGGCGUGGAGUUGUCUGCCGCUAGGUAAUUGCAUGUCAACUGGAAAUACAAUUGGUCGUCCUUGGGGAAAUUGUGUGUCAAGAGUGGACACGAAACGUAUCACCGCUGGGGUUGUUGCAUGUCAAGAGUGAAUGUGGAGAAACAGAGACAUUUACCCUAGGGGUCAUCUCACAAUACAAUUCUCGUGUCGUGGGAGAGUAAAACCAAAAAUUUAAAUAAAUAAAAACCCCGCCAGUAGGCCCUCCCAAGCGGCACACGUGCACGCGCACACAUGCAUGCGCACGCGCAUACUCCAUCUUCGCCUCCCCUCCCCCGACGUGUACAUUGUGGUCGUGAUGCGCCCCUUGCAGUUACAUGUUGAUGGCAUACAUGCAAUUGACUGUCGCUGGAGGCAGUCAUAUGUUAGAGGUUGGACAUGCAACUGGUAUCACCGAGAGAGCUGCAUUUCAAAGGAUGGACAUCCGACUAAAUAUCGGGGCACUUAUGUGUAAAGAGUGGAUAUGGAGCAAGACAAAAAGAAUAUUCCUCCCUCUAUUGUGUAAGUUGCGACCGCGUUGUGUCCCGUGCAAUUGUGUGCUAAUGGGGUACAUGCAACUGUCCGUUGUCAGGGUCAGUUGCAUGUUAAGGGAGGACAUGACACUAGAAAUGGCCAUCGCUAAGGGUCGUUGCAUUGUCGAGGGCGAAAAUUUGUAGUUGGCUCGUGGUAUAUAUGCAUGCCCACUCCCAUGGAAAAACACCAUCGAGUUGUAGUCACAUUGAAGACAUGUAGUUAAUGUAGAGGCGACACAUGCACAUGCAUGCCUAGUGGCCCACAUGCAAGUAUAACCACCUAAUAAAACACCAAAUUACAGCCGAAGGCGACACUUGCAAUUACAUGACUAGUGGUAGACAUACAAUUGCCCUUUCCCUAGACAAAAAAUCACUAAAAUUUGUAGUUGGGUUCGACAGUUGCAGUUGGAGGCCUCGUGACACACAUCCAAGUGUCCCUCCUUCACAAAACAUCAUUUGCAGUUGUGCCGACACUUAUAGUUUCAUGCCUAGUGUCAAACAUGCAACCACCCAUCCCAACAGAACACCACAAAUUUGCAAUCGGGUGCAAUACUUACAAUUGUGUGCCUAGUCACGGGCAUGUAGUUGCUCCCCUUCCCCCAACAAAACACCAUCAAUUGGCAAUUGUGUGGAAGAUAUGUAGUUGCAGGCGGGGCGUUGCUUGCGGUUUAUGCCUAUUGGGAAACACGAAACUACCCACACUCCCCUGACAAAGCACCUCAGAGUUGCAAUCGUGCCCAACACUUGCAAUUGCAUGUCUAAUGACAUACAUACAAAUUUCCCUCUUGACAAAACACCAUAAAAUUGCAGUUGCAUUGAAGGCAUACAUGCAACGAACCCUCCCUCCCUUCCGCCCUAGUUGCAUUUGGGUGCGACAUUUGAUGUCGCGCCUAGUCGCAGAACUACAACUAUCCCCCUCCCUUCCGUCCCCCCUAUGAAACAUUAUAGAAUUACAACUUUGUUGCAGACAUGUAGUUGUAGUUGGGACAUGACACUUUUUGUUGUUUGCCAAGUGGUAUACAUGCAACCGCCUCUUCCCAAACGUACUACCACUAACUUGCAGUCGCGUUUAAGACAUGCAGUUGUUGUCAGGGCGAUUGUGUAACUAGACAACACUAUUUUCAAAUUAAAAUAAAAUAAAAUUUGUUUAAUAAAGAAAUAAAAAAAGAAAUAGUCGUUCCAUUAGUAAGAAAAUGGUUUGAAAAGGGCACAAAAAGUAAAAAAAAAUGGAAAUAAAAUGUCACAAAAAUGGACACACACACACACACACACACACACAAAGCAUUAAAAGAGCACUUGGAAAUAAAAAGAAUAGUAAAAAAGUAGAUAAAACACCAUCAAGUUAUAGCUACAUGAAAGACAUAGAGUUGCGGUCGAGGAUGACACUUGCAGUUACGCGCCUAGUGGCACACACGCAACUACCCUUCUGCCUCAACAUAGCAUUACAAAAUUGCAGUCGGACAUGACACUCGCAUUUGCAUGUACAAUGUUUGACAUGCAACUGUCCCUCCUCUGCCCCUCAAAACACUACAGAGUUGUAGUUGCGUUGAAAACGCAGUUGCACUCAGGGACAACACUUAUAGUUGCAUACCUAAUCAGGACAUGCAACGGAACACCACAUGGUUGCAAUCGACGGAAAACACUUAUAGUUAUUUGCCUAGUGGCAUACAUUCACAUACACCCUCCCUCCCUUCCGCCCUAGUUGCAUUUGGGUGCGACAUUUGAUGUCGCGCCUAGUCGCAGAACUGCAACUACCCCCCUCCCUCACGUCCCCCCUAUGAAACAUUGUAGAAUUACAACUCUGUUGCAGACAUGUAGUUGUAGUUGGGACAUGACACUUUUUGUUCUUUGCCAAGUGGUAUACAUGCAAUCGCCUCUUCCCAAACGUACUAUCACUAACUUGCAGUCGUGUUUAAGACAUGCAGUUGUUGUCAGGGCGAUUGUGUAACUAGACAACACUAUUUUCAAAUUAAAAUAAAAUAAAAUUUGUUUAAUAAAGAAAUAAAAAAAGAAAUAGUCGUUCCAUUAGUAAGAAAAUGGUUUGAAAAGAGCAUGAAAAGUAAAAAAAUGGAAAUACAAUGUCACAAAAAUGGACACACACACACACACACAAAGCAUUAAAAGAGCACUUAGAAGGAAAUAAAAAGAAUAGUAAAAAAGUAGAUAAAACACCAUCAAGUUAUAGCUACAUGGAAGACAUAGAGUUGCGGUCGAGGAUGACACUUGCAGUUACGCGCCUAGUGGCACACACACAACUACCCUUCUGCCUCAACAUAGCAUUACAAAAUUGCAGUCGGACAUGACACUCGCAUUUGCAUGUAUAAUGUUUGACAUGCAACUGUCCCUCCUCUGCCCAUCAAAACACCACAGAGUUGUAGUUGCGUUGAAAACACAGUUACACACUCAGGGACAACACUUAUAGUUGCAUACCUAAUCAGGACAUGCAACGGAACACCACAUGGUUGCAAUCGACGGAAUACACUUAUAGUUAUGUGCCUAGUGGCAUACAUUCACAUACACCCUCCAUGUCAAAUACACCAUAGGUUUGUAGUGGUGUAAUAGACAUGCAACUACAAUUGAGACAUGACACAUGCAAUCAUGUGUCUAGUAGUAGACAUGCAACAUCGUCAUGUACCGGGUUUUCAAAAUUGCGCAAAGACAAGUACCUGCAAUGGGGCAUGUGUGCAACUAUAGUUGCACAUGAGUUAUAUUAAAAAAUGUUUGUGUAAUAAAAAAUUACAUUAAAAAUAUAUGUGUUUUAAUUUAAUGAUUUUAAAACUAUUCACACCCUAUAUAGAAACAUAUAAUUUCAAAUUCAUAAUCAGUUUAACAAACAUCACUUAGAAAAUGAACAUGAGAAGAAAAAAGGAAUACAAAUGUAACCUAAAAAUGAAAUAAAAUGGGAAAAGAGAAAGAAAAAACUAAAAUUCCUGAAAAAAAAACUAGAGAAAUAAAAGAAAUGCAAUGUUGAUAUACAUUUAAAGAAAAACUGAAAAGGCCGCAACAACCGGAUCGGUGACUGGUUAAACCCACAACAACAAAAUGCAGAAAAUAAUACUUCCUUCAUAAACUAAUAUAAAAGUAUUUAAAACACUACUUUAAUAAUCUAAAAGCUUUUAAUUAGUUUACAGAGGGAAUACAAAACUGUGAGGCCCAAUGACUAGCUAAAGCCCAUACAACAAACAAAAACAACACCGAACAAAUAAAAAAGCCCAAGCUCAUGCAACCUGAACGCUUAAACCCUUCAUAAAAGGGAGUAACUUGUUGGCUAGCGUUUUUCUUGGGAGCCUUCAGCGAUCAAUCCGGGGCGCCGUCACUUGAUGCAUUUUCCACCGUCGUCAUAUGUCACGUUUUGAGCGUUUCUUUCAGAUUCUAUUUUUUAUUUUAUUAUUUCGCAGGCGUUUUUGGCUUUGUCGGUGUUUCUGUUUUUUACCGGUCUUUCUUAGCUUUUGAACAAAAAAAAUCAACUUUUUUACGUAAAAGAAGUCCUCUUCUAUCUUGCCUGUCGAAAACGGAAAAAGGAGACAUGUGUUUUCUUUUUUUCUUUCAUAAGAGAUACGGUUUUGCUUUUGUAAAAGGCACGGAUUUAGUUUCGCGAGAGGCACGGCCGUGUUUUUCAGAAACGGAAAAACGUGUGUUUUUCAUGAAAGACACGGUUUUGCUUCCUCAAGAGGCAAGGAUUUGCUUUCGCGGGAGGUAACGCGUUUUUUAUUUUUGUUUUCGUUCACGAGAAGCACGCUUUUCUUCCGCGAGAGGCACGAAUUUGCUUUCGUUUGUGCCUCUCAGAAAUAAAAAAAACGUGUUUUCUGUUUAUUUUGCUUUUGCAAGAGGCACAUAUUUGAUUCCGCGAGAGGCACGGUUUUGCUUCUGUGAAAGGGACAUAUUUACUUCCGCUAGAGGUAUGAUCGUGCUUCUCAGAAAUGAGAAAAAAUAAGUUUUUUUCUUAUGUGAGCGGCACGUUUUUUCGUCUGGUUUUUUUCGUGAACUUUUUUUCGUCAAAACCUAUCAACAUUGAAUCUAGUUUUGAAGAUCUAGAUCUCGACGCAAUGAAUCCACUAGUAAAAUGGUUCGAGAUUUGGAUGCACGUUUUAAGUGAUAAAACAUUUGAAAAUAACGGAUCUACGAAAAAAGAAAAUCUCGCAGAUUUUUUUAACACGGUACAGAUGCAAGCGCUCAUAUACACGCGCAUGCACUCACUCCUAUGAACGUAGACACGCACACCCUAUCCCUAUGAUCACCUUCGAGAGACUGGCCUGGUAUUUCAUCUUGAGAUUUAGGAAGUCGCCGUAGGCGCCUCAUCGCCGAGGGGAACGUCUCCUUCCACUGAAAGAAUAUCGCCAGAAAUACUGAAAUAAAUUUAGAAAUAAUGCAAGCACCACGACUUGAAUCCUAGUGAGCUGGGAAUACCACUGUCCUCUAACCAUUCAACCACAGCUUGGCUUGCAAAAGAUUUCACAUGUUACGACAAGUAACAGACAUACAUAACGCCAUUUGUCACAACCUAUAAAAGAUGGAAGUAAUUUUUAAAAGAAAUAGUCUUUAAUUAAUGGUUUUGUUCCUAAACGCGACUUAACAGUAAUGUUAUAAAAUCGAUUGAGACUUGCAAAAUCUCAAUCGACUGAGAGGAUUAGCCACGCCGUGAAAGUUAUUGAGUUAAACAAUAGCCAUUAAAGAAGGGCCCUUAAUAAAAGGGAAUUGUUUCUGGCCGGUGCGCCGGCCCAAUGCGGCUCGCGCGCUGAGCGCUGACUGGGCAUGCAACAUUUUUAUGUCUAAAAUGUUGCAACCAGCGUCAUAUUUGCUACAAUCGUUUUUAUUUGCUACAUUUGUUCAGUAAAAAAACUGCAUAUACAUUUGGCUGCAACUCCAGUUCGUCGGAUUUUUCGUUACAAUCGAUGUUUUUUACUUUUGCUACAACCGUGUUAAUUUUUGCUACAACCGGCAUCAUUUUUUGCUACAACCGUUCACUAAAAAGUUGCAUACACGUUCACGUAGAUAUUUGUUACAACCGGCGUUUGACUUGUUACCACGCAACAUCAGCUUCGUUUUUUUGUUACGAUCACGUAGAUGUUUUUGUUUACUAUAUUUUUUGUUUUUUGUUACAACUGUUAAAAAAAUUACUGCAUCGUGUCGGAUUUUUGCUGCAUCGAAAACAAAUGUUGCAUGUAGAUCCAACGGUGCGGACGCGCGGGAUUGAUGAAUCGUACGGUCCGCGCGCGACCGUUUCGGCGUGCGCGCCAGCGCAUAGGGCUGCCCUUAAUAGAAGGACAACAGGACACAAAUUCGAAAGAUUGUCCCGGUGUUGCUUUGAUCCUCCUCCAAAGUAAAAUGGACGAACGAGGCAUCCAUCACCGAGUGCCAUCCACUUGAUCUCCAUCCAACGGUGCAGGCACGCCAAAUCCUUCACUACCAGACAGUUGGACGCCGGUUCAUAGCCACCCCCGCCUGGCCAUCCAGAUAAGGCGCCACGGCCACUUGCCGCCCAAAGCCUCUGCCUGCCAUCAAUGGAGAUCACCGCCUCAUGGCGCUUCCUCCCCGUCGCGUCCUCGCUGCCACCCGCUCUGCUCCUAGCCAGGCGGCAGGCGUCGUGCCCCUGGUCUCUUCAACAGCCGGCGAUCUCCAAGUCCAGGAUCCUCUGCCGUCUCCAUGACAAGGUUUCAAUUAACCACAUCUUCACGCAUGUGUAAUUGCGAGUUGCGGCAUCUGAUCCAUCUUCUUUCUUGCUUGCGUAGCCUUUCCCUANNNNNNNNNNNNNNNNNNNNNNNNNNNNNNNNNNUUUCCCUACCGCCCAGAGCUCGCAGCUGCAGAAGCUGGCCUCCGUGUUGCAGUGCGGCGCCAUCUGGGCAGCGGUAUGGACACCAUUAAGAUUCGUGUGGCAGUUCACAUUCAUGGAUAUCAAUCAAAUUCGUCUGUGCUUUGUGUCCAUAUGUGCAGGUGCAAGCCCCGGCUGCUCUGGCGACGGUGAGCGGGGAGGAGGACAUCGACAUCCUGGGGAUCCUGCCGCCGGUGGCCGCGAUCGCCUUCUUCUACCUCUUCGUUGCUCCCGUACGUGAGCCUAGCUACUUGUUCUGAGUUCUGACCCGAUUUGGGGAAUGGGUGGUUAACUGAUUGUGUUCCGGCGGUGUGGCGUGCCUGCAGCCGAUUAUCAUGAACUGGAUGAGGCUGAGGUGGUUCAAGCGCAAGUUCAUCGAGACGUAUCUGCAGUUCAUGUUCACGUACCUCUUCUUCCCCGGGUGAGUCACUGCCUUUCAACAGCUAGCUGCUGCCUACAGACAAACAAACAUGUUCAAAUUUUAUCGUAGGUCUCUCGAAAUAUUCGUAGGUGAACGGCCAAAUAUCAGUAGAUAGUUAUGUACUCUUCUUCUAGUCUGAAUAGUAUCAUCACUUCAUCAGCUGAAUUCAGUAUCCAUAUCCCACCUGCAGUUUGAUGCUCUGGGCACCGUUUGUCAACUUCAGAAAGUUCCCAAGGGAUAAAACCAUGAAGUACCCUUGGUCCAAACCGAAGGAAGGCACCCCUCUGUUCAAGGACAGAUACCCACAAAUAGACUCAUUCAAAGAGAAGUACUUCUAGGGAAGCACUGUAUAUAUGUAACAAAUACAGAUAUGGGUCAUCAGAAGCGACGUUUUCUUUUACAGAUCAACAUGCCUCUGUAACACAUAAUAUUUUCACAUGUUCUACUUGGAUGACCGUAGGAUCAAAGUAAUCGACCAGACAGGGUUGAAUGAGAGAUUUCAUCAAAUUCUUCAAAAACAAUUACUUCUUCGUAGAACAAGAAUAAGGGCUCCUUUGAUUCAGAGGGUUUCGUAGCAACUUAGAAGGAUUAGCAUCUUAAUAAUUUUUCUAUGUCGGUUGCUUGAUUCAUAGGAUUUAGGUCCAUAGUAAUUUUUCCUAAGAAUUCCUUGUACUGAGAAUCAUAGGAUUUCUACCACCCAUUCAAACUUCGUUAAAAGAAUCUUUUGUUUCUCCUAUGAUGCAAUCAAGCAAAUCCUAUAUUUUUCCUAUUCUCAUUUUCUUUAAUCCUACGAAUCAAAGAGGCCCUAAAACAAAACUACUAACCAACCGUGAUGAAGACUACUAGCAUGGUAGAUAGCUAAACAUAGAAGAAUGCAAAGCAAAACGACUAUAGGUUAAGUAAACAAGAGCAAGCUAGAGAAAUGAAAACUACGCAACAGACCAAAUAAACAUAACAAGAAAGAAGAUGGUAAUUCUUCUGCAGCUACAAAAACUAAACAUAAAUAAACAACGCAAUCAAAUUACUCGGAAAGUCUUCGUUCUUCGAAACAGGACAAUGUACUGAAUGUGAAGUGUCCGAGGAGCUACGAUACCUCUUGUUUAUCCAAGUUCAGUCUGUUCUCAUAGUUCUACGUUUUGGUUGGAGGGGCCUAGCCACCGCUCAAAAGACACACAAGUCUUCAACUUGUUCUCAUUGAGCUAAGUUUAUCGAAAAUCGCUCAAUCACUCGUGGUAGAUCUUGCACUGGUGUCUGGACCGGUACAAAACUAUUGUAGAACUCGCUACCAGUGGCGGGCAGGGUGACCGCCAUUGAUAACCUAUCACUGACAAUCAAUCACAAUUGGUGGACCUGCAGUUACACCCGCCACUUCUAUUAUAAAAUAGGGUUUUCUAUUUUUGUGCCCCUCGUUGCUUAGUCCUCCUCAGUUUUGCCCAAGCCAACUUCAAACAUUGCCAAUUUUUCAAAAUUGUUGUAUUUCAAACAGGUUGUACUGCAAGUUUAGUAUUUUUCCCACAAACUAGUUCACACAAGAUGGCACCAUGCAAAAGAAUUUCAUUUUUCAAGCCAUUUUUCAUUUUCUUUUAUUUUUUUCAAAAUGGGGUCAAACUUGAUGUGUUGACCAUUGAUACAAAAAGGUUUGGAACUCCUACUUUCUUUAACCCAUGUUCAUUCACUACCAAUAUUAGAGCAUACAAUAUUUUGUUGCAAUUUUCACGACCAAACUACAUGACACUUGUAGUUCAAAUUUAGGCAUAUUUUGAUAAUUCACAAAAAGUUAACUAAAUAGAUGCAAUAUAGCGAUGGUACUAUGAAAUUAAUGAAACUUGGUUAGUGGUCAUCCAAUGUGACCUACUUUUGGUGAAAAAUGAAAUAGAACAAAUUUCAAAACUAUUUGAGGAUCUUCAUUCAAAAAAAAAGUCAUUUCUUGGACUUGGAAAAUGGAAAAUUUCUUUUUAUUACUUAAUAACUAAAGAUUCCUAUGAAACAUUGUCCACAAUGGUAACACAAGUAGUUGUGCCAAUUUUGGACAAAUAAUCUUGUAUUAUGCCAUGUAUGUGGCCAUUUCCAUGUGCAUGUGCCUUGAAACCACACAAGUUCAUAUUAGAUAGGCCAUUUCACGAAGGUUUUUUUUCAAACAUGUUCUACUGUAAGUUUAGUAUUUUUCCCACAAUCGAGUGCGCACAAGUUGGCUCCAUGCAAAAUAAUUUCAUUUUUAGCCUUUUUUCGUUUUCUUGUUAUUAUUUUUCAAAAUGGGGUGAGACUUGAAGUGUUGACCAUUGAUACAAAAAGGUUUUGGGAUUCCUACUUUCUUUGUCCCAUGUUCAUUCACCACCAACAUUAGAGCAUAAAAUAUAUUUUUUGCAAUUUUCAAGACCAAACUACGGGGCAGUUCUUUUGGUAACUUUUUUGGGCUUUCAGAAUAAGCUACCCCUACCCAGCUUAUUCUAGAAGCCCAACUAAAAAUAUUUUUGUAGAAGCCUACUAGUUAAGUCUUAGUCACUAGACUUCUAAAAUAAUAAAUUUGGUUGGGCUUCUACAAUAAGUUGGGUAGGGGACAUCAUAUUUCAGCUUAUUCUAAAACCUCUCAAAAGAACUCGCCCUACAUGACAUUUGUAGUUCAAAUUUGGGCAUCUUCUAAUAAUUCAUAAAAAGUCAACUAAAUAAUUAGAAUAUAGCAAUGGUACUCUAAAAUUAUUGAAAAAUAGUCAGUGGUCAUCCAAUGUGACCUACUUUUGGUGAAAACUGAAAUAGAACAAAUUUCAAAAUUAUACGAGGCACUUCCUUCACAAAAAAGUCAUUUCUAGGAUUUGGAAAAUGGAAAAUUUGUUUUUCAUUACCAAAUAAUUGCAUCCUAUGUAAACAAUGUCCACAAUGGUAACACAAUGGUUGUGCCAAUUUCGGAUAAAUAAUCAUGGAUUAUGCCAUGUAUGUGGCCAUUUCCAUGUGCGUAUUCCUUGGAAUCCACACAAGUUCAUACUAUAUAGGCCAUUUCGUGAAGUUGUUUUUCAAACAUGUUGUAUUGUAAGUUUAGUAUUUUUCCCAAUAUCUAGUGCACACAAGAUGGCUCCAUGCAAAAGAAUUUUAUUUUUUGAGCCUUUUUUUCAUUUUUCAUUUUUUUUAAAUGGGGUCAAACUUAAAGUGUUGACCAUUGAUACAAAAAGAUCGGAAUUCCAACUUUCUUUGUCAUAGGUUCAUUCACGGCCAAGAUUAGAGCAUAAAAUAAUUUUUUGCAAUUUUCAGGACCAGACUACAUGGCACUUGUAGUUCAAAUUUGGGCAUAUUUUGAAAAUUCGUAAAAAGUCAACUAAAUAGAUGGAAUAUAGCAAUGGUACUAUGAAAUCACUGAAACUUGGUCACUGGUCAUCCAAUGUGACUUAUUUUUAAUGAAAAUGAGAAGGAACAAAUUUGAAAACUAUUUGAGGAACUUCCUUCACAAAAAAGUCGUUUCUAGGACUUGAAAAAUGAAAAAGUUGCUUUUUAUUACAAAAUAAUUGCAAAUUCCUAUGAAAACACUGUCCACAAUGGUAACACAAGUAGUUGUGCCCAAUUUGGAAAAACAAACAUGGAUUAUGCCAUGUAUUUGGACAUUUCCAUGACCAUAACGGGGGUCAAACUUGAAGUGCUACCCUGUUUUUUGUUUGAAAUUUGUUACUUUGCUACUCCCAAGUUCAUCCACCAAACCAAUAUACUGAGGACUAAACUAAUUUGGUUGACUCAAGUGUAUCCACCAAACCAAUAUAUUUAGUACCAAAUGGUUUGAACAAAGGAAAAACAAUUCACACCCUAGAUGGUGUAAUACAAAGAGGUCUUGAAAGGUGGGUCCAUCCUUCGCUUCCUUUUGUAAAUAAAAACAUGUGGAAUGUUUCAAAAGACGUACAUAGAUUUAGUCCGUUGGCACUUGUGCCUCUCUUUGAGAGUAUGGUCACCGUUUCGAGUGCUAUGCCUUGCUUAAUAAGCCCCCUCUUUUUUCGCCAAAUAUGCCACAAACCACCAUCAAGGCGCUGACAGAAGGGUCCGCCUUUGGUAUAGAUGUCCUAUGCGUGAGUGACACCGCCAACCGCCUACGAGUGUGCCCCGCUGAGAGGGGUGUCCCACAAUGUUAGUAACUACACCCACCACCGACUAUCACACGACCGCUGCCAAGGGUGUCCCAUGCGUCAGUGGUACCGUUGUCGGUGUCAAAACCGACAAAUCUCGAGCAAGGGGUCCGAACUAUGGAUCUUGGAUCGAUGGGUACCACGAGACAAAGGAGAUGGUGUUUACCCAGGUUCGGGCCCUCUUGAUGGACGUAAAACCCUACGUCCUGCUCUUGUUUAUAUUGAUUGUGAAGUAUCAAGUACAGAGAUGAUCUAUUUCAAGAUCGAAUGUUGUGGUCUAAACCCGACGAGUAAUGAGCUUAAUCUGUCCUAUAACCUAAAACCAUUUGGUUUAUAUACGCAUCGGGAGUACUAGGGUUACAGAACAUCGGUUAAAAUGAGGAAGGAAACACACACAAGAUCGUGGGGUGUGCGCCAAGUCUUCGGAAGAGUUCGUCUUGAAUACAACAUCACUUUAUUUAUCCACAGUCCAAUAAUGAUAAUAGGACGGCCCAAGAAUCCGGCCCAUAGAAAGAACUAGACGGCCGGAGGACCCCUUAGUCAUGGACUCCCUCAGUAGCCUUCAAACUGCCCUCCAACGCCGCAGUCUUGAUCCAUCAUCUUCACGCAUUCACGUUCAUCGGCUUGCAAGGCGAGUUCUUCUCAUCCCUAUGUUCGGUUGACUCUAGUUCGACUUGCACCACAUUCGUGAUUGUCGAGGCAUCAUGUGGCCCACAAAAUUAACAUUUCUUCUGCAGGGUUAAUCACACCCCUCGAUUCUCGUGCACCAAUAAGAGAUAGGCGGUUCCACAAAAACUUCUCCAUGCAAAAUCGGGAAAUCUACUAUUAUACAAGCCACGCUUGUUUCUAGCAAGACUUCCUGUCUCCUCAACCAUCGAGAAGAAAACCAGAAAGUCAAAGACAUGGUGAGUGCUCCAGGUUCUUCCUCACGCCCUCACGGCCCUCUCCCAAGCGACUCGUCCAGUUAUUUUGUCUCGCGUCUUCAUGUGUGCGAAUUUGAAGUGCAAGGGUAUCUACCCUUCUCAGUUCUAUUGCCUUCCCAUUCCUAAUUAACCUCUGCAAACGGUGUAGCUUUCGCACAGAAAUUCCCUACCCCUCACAAGGAGGAGUGGGUAUUCUUCGUUCCCUUCCUCUAACGAGGUUUAGGCUUCCAUAUUCACCCCCUUUUAAGGGGAUUAUUGCAGUUUGACAUGAUCCAAUUCCACCACCUCACCACUGGGUCCAUUCUUCACAUUUCGGGGUUUGUCGCCCUUUGUGAGAUGUUUAUGGGUUGUUAAUCCCAUUUUGAUCUGUAGAGGAGGAUUUUCUGCCUUGUCCCCUGAACUCAUGCAGUGACUAUUUGUGAAGUAGGCGGAGCCAAAGUAUUGUGCAUAGCAGGAACUGGAUAUCCGGUAGGGACACCGAAGGUAGCCUCCGAAGAGUGGACCUUGCAGUGGUUCUAUAUUGAAGAUGUUCCUCUAUUCAAUCCUGUUCGGAGGGUCCGCCGGAAGUUUCAACCGGUCCUAUUAAGAAGCGGUUGAACUGGCGCCCGAAGAGUUCUUCUCAAGAGGUCAGCUUGGAGGUGAGACACUUGGUUCCCAAGGUAGAAUUAUUGGCCCAUUAUAAGCUCACCAUUAUCGACGAGAUGGUCGUGGCCAUAAACCGAUGUGUUCAACCCCUUCAACGAAGAUCCCAUCCCUUGUGGCAAUAUAAUGGUUCAAGUGAUUCCACUCGGUAUAAAUAGGAGGGUCCAGCCAACCCAACAACAUUGGCAGCUAUAUUAGGCGACCUCUUCAAAGGAGAAAAGGAGUAUAUCCCUAUUUUCCUAAUUCGGAUUUUCUUUUAUAGUGAUUUUAGCUGAUUGAAUCCUUGAAUUGUUUUCAAAAAUGAAUGGAGGCGUUGUGUAGAGAAAGUUAACUUCCUUCCUCCCCAGUCGGAGAACUACACUAAGAACGACGAUCCGGGAUUGCAUGAUGACCCUUAUACGUCGAUCAUUUUUCAUGAUGUGUUCUUCUUUCACACGAGCAUUGACGGGUGUGAGGUUACCCUCAUAGCCGACUACCCUAGGAUACCUCCUUCCUCGACCAGGGGUAAAAAGAAAGCUUCUUCCCGAAAAGAGUGUCUGUCAUUACAGCUGUCACUCCUACCCCGAAAGGUCGUCGCUCCACACGUCGUACACCUGCUAACACAUUAUCUACCGAGCCUGUGCUAAACAAUAGUAGGGCCUCUGAAUGUGGAGUAUCCACAAGGGCUACUUCACUUCUCCCCCUGUCAAGAGGUAAUGAAUUUACAUUCAUGAUCGUAAGCAUUGUUUUCCGAUCAUUGGUAGGUAUUUAUACCUGCUGCCACAAUUCAUUGGAAUCGAACACAACCACCCUAAUCCGAAAACGUCGAGAGGGUUGAAGGAAGUCAUCCCAAGCCAACACAUCCUGCGAUAGCAGGAGGUAAUAUGGAGGUCCCUUCUGCAGACCAACUUCUGGAGGAGCCUGACGAGGUCUCGAUUACUAAUUCCGAAGUUGAGAGCGUGAUGAACCAUCAUCGUCAAAAAGAAUCUCUAAGCAACCCUGAAUUUUCCUAACAUGAGUUUAAUGCCUUGAGUUCAGGGGAUGCACACCUCAGGGUUUCCCGAGCAGUACUUGAGGGAGUCGCCAACCAUAUGUCAACAAGUCUUAAGGUAUGUGUUAGAUUUUGACAAUUGUAUACAAAUCUCAAGCCAGUAGCGCCCAAUCUCUGAUUGGUCGGUACGAUCAAAUUAAGGGUCGAAGCAAUCUUUUUGACAUGUUUUUUCUUACCGUGAGGGAUGAAAAUAAAAAGUUGUCCGAAGACCUUGAAAUGCACCAAACACAACUCGAGGCUGCGAAGGCCGAACUAGAGGAAGUAAAAAAGUUCACAAGGGAAGCACAUGGUAAGAGAUUACUUUCGAAAGUUCAUAGUUGAACUGUUAUCUUCCAUAACGAAAGUGUACUUUAUAGCAGCCGUGUCUAUAGGUGAGUUGCGAAAAGAUUUAGAGACAACCAAAGAAUCGCAAAAAUAUGUCAAAUCGGAGCACGAUGCAAGUUGUCGGUUAUUAUUCUGGAGUAUUGACAAAAAUAAAAAGACUUGAGGCGGAAAACCAAUAACAGACCAGCUAAAUUGAGAGUUUAAAGACUCAACUUGCACACGCUACUUAAGAGAACAAGAGAUUGAAGGGUGGUAUGUUCGGUAAGUAAUACUCCAAACUUGUAGAUCUGUGAAUAUAUGAUAUUAAAUUAACAAAUAUGCCACUUCUCUUUGUAGCUCUCCUAAUUGGGCACCCCGAAGAGGAAUCCAACUCCUUUGGUGGUAACCUUCUAAAGAAAUUGUCCAUAGUACAUGAAGAAGGGAGAAAUGUGAUUAAGAGCUUGCUCAAGGCACUAUGGCCGUGCGAGAAGCCCCCGGAAGGGAUGGCAUAACUAGUUAAUCGUUUCAAAGGGGCUCGACGCUGGUUUGAAUUAUGUAAAACAUGAGCCUGUCAGGAAGGUGCUCGAGAGGCAUGGGCCAUGGUGAAGACUAGGUUCACCAAACAUGACCUCGAGCGAUUGGCUCAAGUUGGGCCGGUAGGGCCAGAUGGUCAGGAGGUACCUCUCCACUUGGUUUACGAUCAAGUGAUGCAUGCUGCACGUCUUUUGCAACAAGAUUGUCAUGUGGAUACGAUAAUAGAUAACCUAGAUCAACGGCCAGAUGUGUGAUUUUAUGUAACUAAGUACUUUAGAUCACUUUGUCAUUCGUCCGAUUUGUAAACGUUGUCUUAACCGGUCAUCACCUUCUACCUCCAUUGAUAAUAAUUAGGGAGUUUUCCAUAUUAUGUAACGUGUGAUAAGAGGAAAACCGUUCGGUGAACCAGCCAUUUCAGACAUAUGGUGCUAAUAAACAGAUCAUGAUCAUGGAGAUAUGUUACAUUACUUUCAUUGUGUAAGAAACAUAUUCCCAAGAAAAUAGUUCCUUUAUGGGUUUGUUUCUUCGGGUUUCUAGCUAAAGUAGAUACGAUAACCAAAUAUCCACCAUACGCGGAUGAUUGUUAUGUUGGGAAAACGAACCUCUAGUGACUACCACCUAAUUAUUUUCACUUCCUUUGUGCCUGAUCAAUUAUGUCAUUAAGAACCCCUAGCUUUUGGUUUCACCUAUCUCAGGUACGUAUCCGGAUAACCCGGUCGUAACAAUCAUAGAGGUACUCCUUUUAUCCUUUAUCCGAACAACUGGGAACGUAAAGGAUAAACACAGGAACCAGGAAAUCCAGCUUGGCCAAAUCUUAAGUCAAAUCAGUGCAUAUAAUGGCUUAAAACAGUAUAGGAAGGAUGAAUACAUCAUAAAAUAGAUGCACAGGUGUAUGUUGAUCAGCUUGUACUUAGAAGCCCCCAGGUGUUACCGGAAAAUACAUUUUCAUGGACAUAAUUCGGUCGAUCUGAACACAGCCUGGGAUAUGAUAAUCAGCCUUAAAAGGGAAAAGGUAUACAUAAGAAAUUGAAAGAGAAAAUAAAACAAAUUGAGUGUGGCUACACGAGUCUAGCUGUAGAAACGCCGAAGACGAGUCGUGUUCCAUGGAUCUGAUUCAAGGUGAUUAUCUGAUGAGUUGCGGAGACGUUACGCUCCUCGUGCAAGCACUUCGUCAAUUGUGAAAGGGCACUCCCAUGUAAGUGCAAGUUUAUUUUUUCUUAUUCUCAGGGAGGUGUGGCACUAGCUCGCCCAUAUUAUAGGUCUUCGCCCAAACUUCCCUGCUCUGGUAGCACUGAGCUUAUUUUUGAUAAAAGUGGAACAUGCUAGAGCUAUAUCGUGUUCUUCUUCCAAUGCGUCCAAGUCGUCCUGCCAAUCUUACUCGACCGCUUUGCCCUCGUACAUGCGCACUCUAGAUGCAUCAUGGAUGAUAACGCUGGGAAGGACUGCUUUUGCCCGUAAACCAUAAAAAUGGCGUAUAACUCGUUGAUCGAUUCGGGGUGGUGCGCAAGCCCCAUAGUACAAAGUCAAGCUCCUCUACCCAAUGGCAAUCGGAUUCUAUGAGAGAUCGGACCAAACUUGGUAUGAUUCUGCUCAUAAUGAUGUCAUUAGCUCGUUCGACCCAUCCAUUGGAUUGUGGAUGGUACACAGAGGCGUAAUCAAGCUUCAUGCCCAAAUUUGCGCACCAGUCCUUCACUUCCCGAGCUGUGAAAUUGGAUCCAUUGUCCAUUAUUAUACUAUAAGGGACACCAUAAUGAUGAACCACACCGGAUAUAAAAUUGAUGACCGGUCCGGACUUGGAAGAAGUUACCGGUUUGGCUUCAAUCCACUUAGUGAAUUUAUCGAUCAUGACCAGUAAAUAUUUAUUUUUCUUGGACCCCCCUUUGAGUGGUGUGGCCAUGUCCAACCCCCACACCGCAAAAGGCCAAGUGAUCGGUAUUGACGGAAAAGCCAUCACGGGCAUGUGGGUUUGAUUUGCAAAAAGUUGACAUCCAACACAAUGUUGGACAAGUGUAUGAGCAUACUCGCGAUUUGUAGGCCAAAAGAAGCCAGCCCGAAAAGCCUUGCUUACCACGGCCCUUGCUGCUGCAUGGUGAGCCCCCAUGCCUGCGUGUAUUUCAGCCAAGAGUUGUUUACCUUCUUCUUCCGAUAUGCACCGCUGGAGGACUCCGGUAGUACUUUUUAUCUAUAGCUCCCCCUCAUGAACCUUGUAGGACUUGGAUCGCCGAACUAUUCGCCUUGCCUCUAUUUGGUCACCGGAGAGCUCCUGAUGAAGAAGAUAGGCUAGGAAAGGCUCGGUCAAUGGCGCAAUUACUACCAUGAUUUUGUGAGACGAAAGUGUUUCCUCUAGUGCUGAUCCAUCAAUGAUUUGUUCAUCUCACUCAAUUGGGGAGUGGUGACUAGUUCCUUUCCCUUGACUCUGGUGUCCUUGUUUUCUUCCUGCCAUACCACGAAAGGCUUGAAGAGACAUUCUAGAAAGGUAUUUUUGGGAACGGGGUCGCGUUUGGCACCCAUAUGAGCAAGAACACUGGAAGCCUCAUUGUUGUCUCUAGAGACAUGGCAGAAUUCGAGGCCUUUGAACCGAGUUGAUAUCUUAAGAACGAUGUUCCUAUAGGCCGCCAUUUUUGGAUUUUUUUUGGCAUCAAAAUCAUCGUUGAUUUGUGAGAUAGCGAGGUAAGAGUCGCCCGUACCUCGAGCCAUUGUACGCCCAUGAAAGUUGCCAUCCACAGACCAUGCAACACAGACUCAUAUUCGGCCGCAUUAUUGGAAUCGCUGUACAUUAUUUGUAACACAUAUCGAACGUUGUGGCCGAUGGGGGAUGUAAGUAUGAAACCAACCCCUAAACCGCAAGCAUCUUGGAGCCAUAAAAAUACAUCAUCCAAUUGAUUUAUGUACAAUACUCUUUAGGAAGUUCGGCGUCUGUCCAUUCGGCUAAAAAAAUUAGCCAACACUUGAGAUUUAAUAGUUCGUCGUGGCCUGUACACGAUUUCAAAAGGUAGGAGCUCAAUAGCCCAUUUGGUUAUGUGGCCUGUGGCAUCCUUGUUAUUGAUUAUAUCAUUCAAGGGUACUAGGGAAGUUGCCAUGAUCGAACACUCUUGAAAGUAGUGUCAGAGCUUGCGAGAUGCGAUAAAACUAUGUAGGCUAUCUUUCGGUAGUGCGAAUAGCGGGAUUUGCAUGGGGUAAGUACCAAGGCAACGUAGUAGACCGGCUUCUAUCCGGAGCUUGUGGCAUGCCGCCUCUCGUUCGACCACGAUGGCUGUGCUAACGACUUGGUUGGUGGCCGAGAUGUAUAAUAGCAUUGGCUCACGUGUAGCAGAUGUUGUCACUAUGGGAUUACUAGCUAAUAGUGUUUUAAUUUAUUCUAGAGUUGUUGUUGCCUCUUCGGUCCACUCGAAGUUUUUUGUUCGUUUGAGCAUUCUGUAGAGCGGUAGUGCCUUUUUGCCGAGGUGAGAGAUGAAGCGGCUUAAAGCCGUCAUGCAGCUCGCUAGUUUUUGCACGUGUUUUCACUCCAUUGGGAUUGCGAGCUGGGAUAGGGCUCAGAUUUUAGUCGGAUUAGCCUCUAUUCCUCUUUGGGAGACGAUAAAACCGAGCAGUUUUACCACGAGAACGCCGAAGACACACUUGUCCGGAUUGAGCCGUAUGUCGUAUUCCUGGAGAUUAUCGAAAGUUUGUCGAAGGUCAUCCGCCAGCCGGCCGACAUGUUUUGUUUUUUUGACCACGUCGUCCAUGUACGCCUCGACUGUCUUGCCGAUUAGUUUUUCUAGGCACAUCUGAAUCAUUGUUGAUGUGUGGCGCCCACUUUCUUAACCUGAAGAGCAUUGUGUUGAAUCGGAAUGGCCCAUAGGGAGUGAUAAAGGUAGUUGCAGCCUCAUCGGAUUCCUUCAUCUUUAUUUGAUUGUAUCUGGAGUAUGCAUCGAGGAAGCAUAAUGAGUCAUGUCCGGUGGUGGCGUCAAUGAUUUGGUCUAUGCGAGGUAAGGUAAAGGGAUCCUUUUGGCGGGCUUUAUUUAAGUCUUUGAACUCGACGCAUAGCCUCCAGGAUUUUUGCUUAUUUGGUACCAUGACCAAAUUUACCACCCACCUGGGGUGUUUGAUAUCUCGGAUGAAUCCAACUUCGAGCAAUUUUGCUAGCUCGGUACCCAUGGCGUGAUGCUUAGGUUCAGAAAAUCAACGUAACAUCUGUUUGAGUGGCUUAAAGACGGCAAUUAUAUUCACGCACUGUUCUGCCAGUCUUCAUGGGAUUCCUGGCAUGUCUCAAGGGUGCCAUGUGAAUAUAUCCCAAAUUUCUCGUAAGAAUGUGUACAAUGCUUCAUCGACCGUAGGGUCUAGCUGUGCUACGAUGGACACUGAUUUAUUGGGGUCUAUUGGAUGCACUUGAAGUUUGACUAUUUCAUCAGUCGGCUUGAAGGAUGUGGACUUGGGACUCUUGGUGAUGAUUACAUCAUCCUUAUCGACCACUGAUCGUACUUCGGUUAGUUCAUGAGUCGCAAGGCUUCAGAAAGUGCCUCGAGGGUGAGCACUGCAGUUUUGUUUUCGGUUCGAAGAGCUCUGUCCGGUUCACUUGUGAGUGUAAUGACGUUGUUGGGCCGAGGCAUUUUGAGCUUCAUGUACCCGUAAUGAGGUAUAGCCUGAAAUCUAGUGAAGGCCUCUCGUCCCAAAGGAGCGUGAUAACCGCUUUUAUGAAAGGUGAGUUCUUCGGUACUAUAGUUUUCGUAGGUGCCGAAUACCACAUCAAGAGAGACUUGACAUGUGCAUCGCGCUUCUCUUCUGUGGAUAAUUCCUCGAAAGGUUGUGUUGCUUUGUUGGAUGCGAGAUCUGUCGAACUGCAUUUUAUCAAAGUAUCCUCAUAGAUGAGGUUUAAGUCGUUCUCGCCAUCCAUUAGUACUUCGGACAGUUUAAAACCGUCUAUAAUGGGGUUGAGUACUAGAGAGUCAGGUGUUCGGUUAGAACUAAUUCCUGGCUGGUCCUCUUCGGUGAAGGUUAUGCGUGUAUUUGUCCAAGAGUUUGUUGCUGCCACCUAGAAUGCACGGUCGAUUUUUCGAAGAGCUCUUUUCCUCUGAUUAUUUGAGUAGAACGUAUCGUAAAUUGUGAGUACAUCAAUGUUGUUGUCUGGCAGUUUGGGUGGACGAUUUUGCAAUGAUUGGGCCCCGAUCAUUGCCUCUCCGCUUUUGGCUACCUGUCUAACAACCUAACAAGUUCGAAGGCUAUGGGUUGAGCCAAUGUUGUGUAACGCGGAGUGUAUAGGGCAUGGGCUGUCUAAUAAUUUAUCAAGGACAAUUUGAGAUCCAUCUGUGGCGUUGUUCUUCUUCCCAAUGGACCCAUGAUCGGCUGACUAUUGUUAGGGCGUGCGCUUCCUCUGAGCUCCUCUGGGUUGUUCCGUGUGGAUUGAUUCCACUUGCAUUUGUGGAGACUACCACGUACUUUCCAUUGCGCAGUAUUUGCAUAUCAAUGUGGAUACCUCGGCGAAGGUGUGUAUGUGGCGAUGGGCAAGGGCAUUUAGGAUUCCCUCGUCAUGGCAGUUAUGCCGGAAUAUUUCCACAAUUUGUUGCCCGCUGCAGUCCGGUAUCUGGUUUACGGUCACGAGGGAUCUAGCCCAAAAGUGUUGGACCAUCUCUUGUGGAUCUUGCGUGAUGAAAUGUAGGUACCGCGUUAGGCUUCUCUGAUGUAUUCCGAGAGCGUUUAAAUUGGGAGGUGGGUGGGGGGAAAUAUGGUGUCCCAACAUGACAUGAAUCCUUGGUCUUAGCGGUUGCAUCUAACACCAUUGUGGAGUCCGGCGCGCUAAGCUCAGGAUCCGGCCUACUGGUCGUAUAUGAUCGUUCAUGGGAGGUUGAGUUCGAGGCAGAGCUCAGAUGCCAAACUAGCGGGUGAAUCCGGAUUACUGGAGACGAGAAUAUAGACGGUUUUAAGCUCCGAUGGGCAAGAAGGCGAACCUUCAGUUGUCUUCUCGAUGGUGGAAAUCAAGUGCGUGAUAGGUGGGCGUGGAUUUCCGUGUCGUCGAGUUUGAUCUCAAUCUGUUCUUAGGCACAUGGUUGGUCGUGGGACACUCCCAUGGCCUGAAUUUUGCCGGGCAACUCAUUUAAUUCUAUGACAUCCGUGACAUCCAUGUUUUCAGACUGCAUGGGGUCAAUCCGUAGCGCAGCUAUUUUCGGUAUAUUUGGAGUCACAUUAGGGUAGCGUUCAUCCAAAGAUGGUCUGAAUAUUUUGUACGGUUCGGGCCUUGGGGCCGGAGCCAGGGCGGAAGCCGUCUCGAGGGCGAGAUCCGCCCCUUCCGAUGUCCAGGCAUCGGGAGCUGAAGGCUUCGUUAGAAUAAGAUCCCCCCCUCCUGGAGUCGGCGACGUACUCGAAGUUCCCAAACCUGAUCUCCUAGUCAAGGGGCAAGGUUUUUGAUCUGUCCUAACAGACCGGCCGAAUGAGCAUCCAACACGACACUAUCGAACGAGAAUAUCUGUCCGGGGACGAAAACAUCCCCGGUACCGAUGUCAUGACUGACGAUUAAACGAGCCAUCAAUCCUUUAGCGAUCCUAGAGUGGAACUCUCAAUGAAAGCACCAAUGUCGGUUUCAAAACCGACAGAUCUUGAGUAGGGUGUCUGAACUGUGGAUCUUGGAUCGAUGGGUAACACGAGACAAAGGAGACGGUGUUAACCCAGGUUCGGCCCUCUUAAUGGAUGCAAAACCCUAUGUCCUUCUAUUGUUAUAUUGAUUGUGGGUACCAAGUAGAUAGUUUAUCUACCUCAAGAUCGAAUCUUGUGGUCUAAACCCCAUGAGUAAUGAGCCUAAUCUGUCUAUGACCUCAAACACUCCAGUUUAUAUAGGCAUCGGGAGUACUAAGGUUACAGAAUGUCGGUUAUAAUCAAGUAGGAAACACGCACAAGGUCGUGGGUGCGCGCCAAGUCUUCGGAAGAGGCUGUCUUGGAUAUAGAAUCACUUUAUUUAUUCGGAGUCCAAUAAUGACAAUUGGAUGGCCCAGUAGUCCGGCCCAUAGAAAGAACUAAAAGGCCCGAGGACCCCUUAGUCCCGGACCCCCUCAACUGUCUACCUUCUACGAGUGUACCCCGCUGAGAGAGGUGUCCCACAAAUUAGUAUAUCCACCCAUCACCGACAACCGUGUUGCCGCUGCCAGGGGUGUCCCACGCAUGAGUGACACCACCAACCACCUACGAGCAUGCCCUGCUGAGAGAGGUGUCCCAUGGGUCAGUAUAUGCGCCCACCACCAACGAUCGUGUUGCCGUUGCAAGGGGUGUCCCGAGCGUGAGUGACCCGCCAACCAUCUUUGAGCAGGCCACACUGAUAGACGUGUCCCACAAGUGAGUACAUGCGCCGAGCACCAAUGAUCGCUCUCCCGCUGCGGGGUGUCCCACAUGUCGAUGACACUGCCAACCACCUAGGAGUGCGCCCCGCUAACAGAGGUGUCCCACAAGUAAGUACAUACGCCCAUCAUCGACGGUCGUGCUCCCGCUGCGAGGAGAGGGGACUCCCACACAUUAGUAACUGCGCCAAGUAGCGGUCAAAGGCUUUGACCCAAUGGCAAAGCCACGUUUGUGCUUUUGUGAGGGUGGGCCACGCAAUGGAGGGGAAAAGUGAGGACUUGCAAAGAUCGUGUACAAAAUCGAGGAGGACUAAGCAACGAGGGGCACAAAAAUACAAAGCCCCUAUAAACACUAGUGGUCGGCGCAUAAGCUGGCCCACCAUUGGUAAGUGUUGUACUCGUAGCGAUUACAUUUCCAUGCCCGUCACUACUAACAAUUUUGUAAAAAAAAAUAGGUGACACCCCUGGUGGUGGCUUCACACUACACAAUCCCACUAACGGGCACACCUCGAGCUUCUCCAUCACAUCGUUCAUGGUGAUGUCACGCCAACCACAUCGACAUACUCUACUUGCAGUAGAGGCCUCGACAAGGCAUGUUAGUUGCUCCCCGUAGCGUCGCGUGCCCUGAUACGUCUCCAACGUAUCUAUAAUUUUUGAUUGUUCCAUGCUAUUAUAUUAUAAUUUUAGGAUACUUUUUGGGAGUUUAUAUAACAAUUAAUAUUAUUUUUUAGCACUAACCUAUUGAACCAGUGCCCAGCGCGAGAUGUUGUUUUCUGCAUGUCUUUGGCUUUUCAGGUUUACAAUACCAAACGAAUUCCCAUUGCCAUGAAGCUUUUGGUGAUUCUUUCUAGACCAAAAGAAGACAUGUAAGCUUCGGGAGUAGGACAGAAGCCUCACAAGGGAAGCACGAGCUAACAGAGCGCGACCAGGGCCUAGGGCGCGUCCAGUUGCCUCAUGCUCCCGUCGGUUGAAUCCUGACGUACCUCUUCAUCCUAUAAAUUCAAAUAUAUCCCAAAAACCAUAGAGAGCAACCCGAAACACUUUUUCCGCCAUCAAAAGUUUCUAUUCUACCAUGUGCCCUAUCGGAAGGGGGUCGGUCAAGAAGGGACUCUACAUCAUCCUUGCUGCUCCCAUGGUGAUAUGUGAGUAGGUCACCACAAACCUACGAGUCCAUAGUUAGUACCUAGAUGGCUCACUCUCUCUCUUGAUCUUCAAUGUAUGAUCUUCUCUUUGAUUUAUCCGAUGUAAUUCUUUUGUGCGGUGCAUUUGUUGGCAUCCGAUGAAUUGUGGGCUUAUGUUCAGAUUAUUCAUGAUGAAUAUCCGAGUCCUCUCUGGAUUCUAAAUAUGAUUCUUAUGUGCAUGAUCAUUAUAGCUUCAUAAAUCUCUUUAAUCUAUUAAUUUGCUUUGGCCAAGUAGACUGAUCUUUCUUGAGUGAGAGGUGCGUUGUAGUGGGUUCAAUGUGACGGAUUUCUAUAUCCCAAUGACAGAAAGGGGACAAGAUACGUCUUUGUAUUGUUUCCGCAAAGAUCAUAAUGAUGGGGUUAGUUCAUAUUAAUUGAAUUCUCUUUGUCUACAUCAUGUCAUCAUUCUCCAAGCAUUACUCUAUUUUACUUAAUACUCUAAUACAUGCUGGAUAGUGAUAUAUGGGUGGAGUAAUAGUAAUAGGUGCAGGCAGGAGUCGGACUAAUUUCUUAUGGACGUGAUGUCUAUAUACAUAUGAUCAUUGUCGUGAAUAUCACAUAACUAUGUGCUUUUCUAUCAAUUGCCCAAUAGUAAUUUGUUUACCCACCGUAUGCUUGCUCUCAUGAGAGAUGCCACUAGGGAAAACUAUGCCCCCCGGGUCUAUUCACUUACAAAUUUACAAAUGUUACUAUUUUCUUGUUUCCUUUAGUUACUUUUUACUUUGCAACUUCCAACCACACUACUUACUUGGUUGCAAAUAACGAUACCAGGGGAUUGACAACCCUCUUGCCCGCGUUGGGUGCAAGUGUUUGUUUCGCUUGUGUGCACUCAUUGAAGAUGGGGGUUGGUUGUUACUCCUAUUAGUUCAAAAAACCUUGGUUCUCUACCGAGGAAAGUACUUACCUAUAUUGUGUUGCAUCACCCGUUCCUCUUCACGAAAAAACCAACACAGAUUACAAGUAUGAGGAAGGAUUUCUGGCGUCGUUGUUGUGGAGUAUCAUCAACCUACUAUCAAGUAACUUCACACAAGUUAUCAUUCGCUUGUUCUUCUUUUUAUUUGUUGUUACAUCUUGCUUGCUUCAUAAAAAUCAAAAAUACAAACAUAUUUAUAUUUGCUAGUUGCUAGUUUAGUUCUUAGCUUGUCGUUAUCGCUAGUUCUUCUUUUCUUCCCUUUACUCCCGAUAAUGAGGUACUCAAUUUUAAACAAAGGGGAAGAGAAAAUUUAAAAAAUGCAUGGUAUAGGAUUUGAAAUUAUCAAAAUAAAUCAAUUCAUAAGAAAUCCUCCAACAUGUUGCUACGUAAUUUCUAUGUUGGUAUUACGAGUUGGUAUAGAUUUGUACUUGAUACAAUUACCGGUGCUAACUUCUUAAUGAGUUACACUUCGGAUGCGUUUAAGGCCAUGGAUAAUUUAGUUGGAACGCCUCCUAUUAUCAUUAACGAAACUAUUUUCACCAUGGAACAUGUGACGGAAAGAGUUGAUGCGAUUAAAAUGAAAACAACUAGUAAUGAACAAAUUGAGGAGUUGGACAAAAAGCUUCACAAUCAUAUCACUCAAUCUGGGUCACGAGUAGGAAUGACUUUUAGAACUUUAAAGGAGAAGGAUACAAUUAUUUAUGAGAGGGUAGAAAAAAGCAAGAAUAUGAUAGAUAAAAUGGAGGAAGUCAUUGAUAAAGUAGGUUCCGCUUUCACUCCAUCAAAAACUAAUUCUACUACCUCUCCAAAUAAAAGUCCCAAGUUCAUAUAUGUUCCUAAGAGCAUUGGUACCCCUCCUACCAAAAGAAAUGAGUAUCUCAAAAUUAUUAGUGUGCAUCCCAACUUUGUAAACUUGAUAAAGGUUCCUAUUCUCAAGCCUCAUAUUGUUCCCAUUAUUCAUAGUUGUGUUAUUGAGGAGCUUGAUGUCAAGGAAGAAAACACUUGAUCAUAUGCAUUAUGCCUAGAUAUGGGCAUAAAAUGACAGAGCUAGUUGGGAGGCAACCCAAUAUUUAUCUUUUUAUUUUUGUUUUUACUUUCUAUUUGUGUGCCAUAACAUGAUUGUUGUCUCUGUAAUAAAUGUGUUUUUGUUUUUAAAAUUGUGUGUUUUUUGAAAUAGUGUUUUUGCCAAGUAAAUCCUUUGGGAUGAUUUGGAUAAUAGUAGAAUUGAUACGAUGCAAAAACAAAAAAUUUAGAGUAUAGUGCAGAAUUUAUAUGAUUUUACUAGAACAUAUUUUUGAUCUAAACUUUUUACACAAUAUUUAUAUACAAAUACCCUACGUCUUCCUAAUGGUCCGAUUUUUUGGAGUUAUAGAAGUAUGGUACUUAACUAUAUCAUUACAGACUGUUCAAUUUUAGACAGAUUUUGUUUUUGCUUACAUAAUUUCCUUGUUUUGAAGAUGCUAUAGAUUAUAUCGGGGGUUAUAAGUCAUGGAGAAGUUUGAAUACAUUAACUUAUGCAAUAAUAAAUUAGUAUUUAAUUUAUAACAGCGCCUAAAGUAUUUGAUAUGUGUAUUAUACUAAAGGAUGUCACAAAGUUUCUAUUGAGCUUUGUGUGCUGAAGUUUUCGAAUUUUUGGAUGUUAUCGCGAUGCACGAAGGAAUAAGGAGUGGAAAGAUCCUAAGCUUGGGGAUGCCCAACACACCCCCAAGGUAAUAUUAUAAGGAAGAUUCAAUCAUCUAAUCUUGGGGAUGCCCCGGAAGGCAUCCCCUCUUUUGUAUCAAUCCAUCAGUAUGUCACUUAGGAGCUACAUUUUUAUUGAUCAUGUGAUCUGAGUUUUGCUUCAUUUUUAUUUUUGUUUUUAGUUUUCCACAAUCAUCAUUCUUUCAAUACACUCACUUGACAGAGACACACGAUCACCAUGAUUUAUUAUAAUACUCUUUGUGCUUCACUUAUAUCUUUUCAGCUUAGAAGUUGCUCUAGUAUUUCCCUUAUAUGUUUUAGAGCACGAUGGCGUAUAGAUUUUAUAGAAAUAAUUGCACUCUCGUUCUUCACUUAUAUUUGUUUCAGAGUUAAUAAACAAUGACGGUAAUUUGCAUGUGUUAUAAGAUUAGUUCAAAAAUAAUUGGUGUUCAAUGAGUGCAUAAUCAAAACCACAUGUAGCACAUAAAAGAGAAAUCAUGGUUAAUGAUAUUAAUGUGGUAAUGUGAAAAAGUAGGAGUGCAUGAUCAUUGGUUAAUUAUAGGUAUCGUGAAUUAGAGGUGUUAACUUGUUGUUCAUCCAUAUAUUUUUAUGGCAUGGUGAUGGUGUGUGAGCAAACUGGUUCCUCCUUGAAAUCCUAGUCUUGUUGAAGUCGGGGGCGGGCGAUGGUUAACUCUUACCAGCCUCCUCCCUAUGGGCAUGCGAGUCGUGCUUUUCUUUGACAGAGAUAAUAAAAUCCUACAAUAACUAUAUGAGUUCUUCAUGAGUAAUGUGAAUCCAUGGAUAUACACACUCUCACCUCCACAUAUUUGCCAGCUGAUACGUCCCAAACAUAUCUAUAGUAUUUUAUGCUCUAGGCUUGUUUUCUACCAUUUGUCCUAUGCUUUUACUAUGGUUUUAUAAUUUAUUGGUACUAACCUAGCAGUAGUUGCAAAAGUGCACAAGUUCUUUUUUUACUUUGAUGUGUAGGAAUUGAUUAUAAAUUGGCUAAAAAAUGCAAAAGAAGCCUUGUUCGAGGAUGACUACUACAAAAAUGUCAAAAGCAAAAAGCUAAAACUACAAAAGUGUGGGGCAAUUAAUCGCAUUAAAUUUGGACUCCAAAUUUGUCCAAAACAAAGUUCAGAUGCUAUCUAUAAACCUAUUUUAUUGGGAGGAAAAUAUCUAAUUACGGGAUUACAAAAAUUGAUGAUGUGAUUGAGUCCAACUCUUACCAUAUUUGAUGUAUUCGGCCAAGCCACGACUUUGGGGACUCAUGGGGUUGUGAGGGUCCCCUAAGAAGGUUUUAUAGGUGCCUAAGAGCCAUUGUAUCAAGGGUAUAUUCAUUGGUGGGCCAUAGAGCACCACGGAUGCACAUAUUAGAAGAGGAAAACCCUAAUUUUGGGGCACCCACCAAAAGCCAUCAAUUUUCCUCAUCGUUGGCAGCCACCAAUAGGGGAGAGGUUCCUCCAUUGCAGCACCAAGACCAAGGAAGAAGGGGGGCCAAGGUGCUGACGUCCAUCGCCGGCGUUGUGGCCGCCACCGCCUCGAUCUCUUCGGGGAUGCGCCUCUCUCUUUAUCACCAUGAUAAGGUGUGAGUAAUGCUCCAUAAGAUUAAGGGUAUGUACAAGUAGCUAUGUGUUUAAUCUCUAUCAUGUUCUUGAGAUGUCAUGAUCUUGAUGUAUCAUGAGUUUUGUUAAUAUAUUUGGAUCAUAUGGUGUUCUUCCCUUCCCAUCUUGUUGUGAUGAAUUUAAUCUUUCCCGUUGAGAUCUUGUUAUGUUGAUUGAAUAUUUUGAAUUUGAGAUCACUUGUUGUUGGAACGCUUUGGGCAAACGGCCUAAGCUAAGCAAAAGUGUUGGCUAAUCUUAAGUGGGAAUAAAAACCGAAGGGGUAUAUAUGAUCUAAUCUACACCGUUGCAUGAAGAUCUAAGGGCUAAAAAACAAACAAAAGGAAAACAGAGAGGGGAGGGAGAGAGUACCGUGACUGGGGCAGUAGCUCGAUGGGGAAGAAGGUGACGUCGCCAGCAAGGGGGGAGAGGGAGCUCCGGGGGCAGUGGGGAUGGGGNNNNNNNNNNNNNNNNNNNNNNNNNNNNNNNNNNNNNNNNNNNNNNNNNNNNNNNNNNNNNNNNNNNNNNNNNNNNNNNNNNNNNNNNNNNNNNNNNNNNNNNNNNNNNNNNNNNNNNNNNNNNNNNNNNNNNNNNNNNNNNNNNNNNNNNNNNNNNNNNNNNNNNNNNNNNNNNNNNNNNNNNNNNNNNNNNNNNNNNNNNNNNNNNNNNNNNNNNNNNNNNNNNNNNNNNNNNNNNNNNNNNNNNNNNNNNNNNNNNNNNNNNNNNNNNNNNNNNNNNNNNNNNNNNNNNNNNNNNNNNNNNNNNNNNNNNNNNNNNNNNNNNNNNNNNNNNNNNNNNNNNNNNNNNNNNNNNNNNNNNNNNNNNNNNNNNNNNNNNNNNNNNNNNNNNNNNNNNNNNNNNNNNNNNNNNNNNNNNNNNNNNNNNNNNNNNNNNNNNNNNNNNNNNNNNNNNNNNNNNNNNNNNNNNNNNNNNNNAAGGCAGGGGUCGGUCGCCCGGUUUAAAAGGGGUUCGGGAUCCCUGGACACGGGGGAUUCGGCCCACGCUAUCUAGCGCCCAGGGGCGGCGGUUAAAGAAAAAAAGACUUUCCUUUUAUUAAACCUUUUCUGAAACAGAAAUAUAAAAGCUAAUAAAGGGAAAUAAAUCAAAAUAUCUAUAUAUGGUAUUAUAUAUCAAAAAAAUCAGAAAAGGAAUCUCUACCCGAAUAACAUUUUUUUUAAAGCCGAAAUAAAAACUUUUAAAAAAUGUUUUUUUUUCAGAAAUUCCCAAUUUGCUUUAUUUCUUUUUGCAAUUAUUUUGCAAAAGAACUUUGGGUUUUCUUGGCUCAAAUAUUUCAAAAAAUUUGCCCGCACUUUGGAGGGUCAUUUUCCUCCGCUCUCUCUCUUGCGUGCAAGAGAGUUUUCUCCGGGCAUUUCUCGUGCGGGGAAAAAUGAAAAUGCAAAUCGAAAAUACGAAAGAAAUUUCACAAGCUAAGUUUAUUUUACUCAAUAUGCAUAGAUGCUUAGCUACAAUGUAAAACAUUCCCAAUUAGGAAAAUCGGGAUGUUACAUCAUGCCUCUUAUUUAUGAUGAUUAUAUUGAGGAAAGUGGGUUUGUAAUAGUUUCAAUUCUAGGUACUAAUGAUCCCACUAUUUUGGAGGGUGUUGAAUCUUAUUGUAAUAAUGAUGAAAGUGGAUUUGGAGAAGACAUGACUUCAUUUAGUUAUGAAUCCACUAUUUUUGAAGAGGUUUCAAUUGACUAUGAAAACAACGUUGCUAUCUAUGAUGGUUAUUGUGAUGACAUGUAUGCUAUGAAGACUAAUAAAAGCAGUGAAACUUGUUAUCAUGACUUUAAUUUUCAAUUGGGUUAUGACACUCAAGUAUCACAUGAUAGUUAUUUUCUUGAGUUUGCUCUCACUAUUAUGAAUGAGAAGAAAUUUUCUUAUGGGGAAAUUAAUAAAAUUUCUAUGCUUGUGCAUCAUGAAAAUAAUGCUUUAUGCGAUAGUUAUUGUGUUGAGUUCCUUCAUGACGCUAGUGAGAAUUAUUAUGAGAUAGGAACAUAUGCUUUUAGCCAUUGCAGGAAUCACUAGUAGAAAAUGGGCCAUUUUUCCCGGUUCCAGAGGGGCUUUAGUCCCGGUUCGCCAACCGAGACCAAAAGGCAGCCAUGCGUUAGCAGAUCGUAGGCGCUAGGUUUUCACGACAAAGAAAAUGAUUACUUGAUAUUAGGAAAUGAAAGAAAGUUGUCGAUAUGGUGCGAUAAUGAUUGAACUUACUUCUAGAGCAUUUUAGUAUCCGGCGCCAACUCUGUAGGGUCUUUACGUAGCUAGUCCAAGACAAGUACUUGUCCCUAGUCAAGCCUAAUGAUUAGCAGACCAAAGUGAAACCUGCGCAUGCAUAACUCAUCAAUCGCACUUAACCUCGAGUAAGCGAAACAGAAUGUGCAGAAGACAACUAGUAACACUCACCCGAAGUUGUAAGGAAAUAGUAUUUCCCUUCCCUCAUGUUGUCGAACUAACGCAGUUAGCAAGUUGUUCUAUGUAUCGUUGGGAUUAUUACAUAGGUUAUGUGCAUUUAUGGUAUCUGGGUUAAUGAAUCCAAUAUCAUAUAUUUGUCCUUUUUUGCAUUCGAGGAUCUUCAAUGUGCAUAAUAUAGCAAGGAUAAUUACACAUGCAAUAAUGAAGGAGAUGAGAUAGAGACUUAAUUACAGAGAUAAUACUUACAGACAAUAGGAACUAACGAUCGUUUUGUCGAGGGCAUCUUGAUUGUAUUGUUGGGGAACGUCGCAUGGGAAACAAAAAUUAUCCUACGCGCACGAAGACCUAUCAUGGUGAUGUCCAUCUACGAGAGGGGAUGAGUGAUCUACGUACCCUUGUAGAUCGUACAGCAGAAGCGUUAGAGAACGCGGUUGAUGUAGUGGAACGUCCUCACGUCCCUCGAUCCGCCCCGCGAACAAUCCCGCGAUCAGUCCCACGAUCUAGUGCCAAAUGGACGACACCUCCGCGUUCAGCACACGUACAGCUCGACGAUGAUCUCGGCCUUCUUGAUCCAGCAAGAGAGACGGAGAGGUAGAAGAGUUCUCCGGCAGCGUGACGGCACUCCAGAGGUUGGUGAUGAACUUGUAUCAGCAGGGCUCCGCCCGAGCUCCGCAGAAACGCGAGCUAGAGGAAAAACCGUGGAGGUAUGUGGUCGGGCUGCCGUGGAAAAGUCGUCUCAAAUCAGCCCUAAAACCUCCGUAUAUAUAGGUGGGAGAGAGGGGACCUUGCCUUGGGGCUCAAGGAUCCCCAAGGGGGGAAGGUCUCCCCCCCAAACCGAGUUGGACUUUGUUUGGUGGGUGGGAGUCCUUCCUUCCCUUCCCACCUCCUCUUUUUUUUCUUUCUCUUUGAUUAUUUCUUCCAAUGCGCAUAGGCCCCUUUUGGGCUGUCCCACCAGCCCACUAAGGGCUGGUGCACCACCCUCAAUGCCUAUGGGCUUCCCCGGGGUGGGUUGCCCCCCCCCCCCGGUGAACUCCCGGAACCCAUUCGUCAUUCCCGGUACAUUCCCGGUAAUUCCGAAAACCUUCCGGUAAUCAAAUGAGGUCAUCCUAUAUAUCAAUCUUCGUUUCCGGACCAUUCCGGAAACCCUCGUGACGUCCUUCAUCUCAUCCGGGACUCCGAACAACAUUCGAUAACCAACCAUAUAACUCAAAUAUGCAUAAAACAACGUCGAACCUUAAGUGUGCAGACCCUGCGGGUUCGAGAACUAUGUAGACAUGACCCGAGAGACUCCUUAGUAUCCAAUAUCGGGACCUGGAUGCCCAUAUUGGAUCCUACAUAUUCUACGAAGAUCUUAUCGUUUGAACCUCAGUGCCAAGGAUUCAUAUAAUCCCGUAUGUCAUUCCCUUUGUCCUUCGGUAUGUUACUUGCCCGAGAUUCGAUCGUCAGUAUCCACAUACCUAUUUCAAUCUCGUUUACCGGCAAGUCUCUUUACUCGUUCCGUAAUACAAGAUCCCACAACUUACACUAAGUCACAUUGCUUGCAAGGCUUGUGUGUGAUGUUGUAUUACCGAGUGGGCCCCGAGAUACCUCUCCGUCACACGGAGUGACAAAUCCCAGUCUUGAUCCAUACUAACUCAACUAACACCUUCGGAGAUACCUGUAGAGCAUCUUUAUAGUCACCCAGUUAUGUUGCGACGUUUGAUACGCACAAAGUAUUCCUCCGGUGUCAGUGAGUUAUAUGAUCUCAUGGUCAUAGGAACAAAUACUUGACACGCAGAAAACAGUAGCAACAAAAUGACACGAUCAACAUGCUACGUCUAUUAGUUUGGGUCUAGUCCAUCACGUGAUUCUCCUAAUGACGUGAUCCAGUUAUCAAGCAACAACACCUUGUUCAUAAUCAGAAGACACUGACUAUCUUUGAUCAACUGGCUAGCCAACUAGAGGCUUGCUAGGGACAGUGUUUUGUCUAUGUAUCCACACAUGUAAAUGAGUCUUCAUUCAAUACAAUUAUAGCAUGGAUAAUAAACGAUUAUCUUGAUACAGGAAUUAUAAUAAUAACUAUAUUUAUUAUUGCCUCUAGGGCAUAAUUCCAACAUGUAUAACUAAAAUAAUUCGUCAAUUUAAAUAAACAAUGACCCUUUUCCAUUGUAAAAGUGCUCAUCUUUAAAUCCUACGUAGAUAUUGUUGGUCGAAUCAUUGCAGGCUUUCAAGUACCAAUCAUGAAGUCUUUGCAUUACCAUUGAUAGUUUUGUCAACUUCUCAGGUUUGACGAGAGGCUUCUCGUGCUGGUAUCUAAGGGCUAAUAUCGGGGCAGUUUUGAACUGUACAUAGUCGCUUACGAAAUCAGCAGGACUGAAACCAAGAUAAUUAGCGGCCACUUCUCCCGGAUCAACAUUCGCGACAUCAGUAAACACCUUGAGCAGGGGGCACGAUUGCUUCUCCUGUUCGUCGAGCUGGGGAAUUUUUUUCCCACUUCUCGAACCACUCGUACUUAAGCUUUCCAACUGCUUCGCUUUAACAUAUGUCUUUUGAAUAAUUCGCGCAUAGUGUGAUGGCAGCGGAUGUGGUACCGAUGGUGGUCGCUUAAGGGCAUCCAGACAACGCUUCACUUUUACCGGAUCAACUUUCUCCUUUGGAUGUGGACGUUUUGGUGCAAAAUGGGCCUUAUUAUAGGCAGCCAUGAUUUCCGCGUUUUCCUCGACAUUCCUCUCAUAUGGUAAAUUUGGAAGAGCCUUGUGGCUUGGACCUUAUUUGAAUUUCUUCUCGCCUCCUAUACUGCUAGCCACCAGAGUAGUGACGUCUCUCUUCUGCCGUUCUAACGCGCCGGAGGAGGCGGACUGCACUCACACGCCGGAGGAGGCGGAGGAGGAGGAGGCGGUCUGUGUUGACGUGCCGGAGGAGGCGGAGUGCGCUGAAGCGCCGGAGGAUGCAAAGUGCCCUCAUGCACCGGAGGAGGCAGAGGAGGAGGCGGCGGAGUGCCACUAGUUGAAAAUGGCCCAUUUGUCCUGGUUCUAGAGGCCCAUUAGCCCCGGUUCUUGAACUGGGAGUAAAUGGUCAGGACUAAAGCCCAAAAUCUUUAGUCCCGGUUCGCUUACGAACCGGGACCGAAUGGUCUCCACGUGGCCGCUGCGGGGAGCCCGGGCAGGAGGGCCUUUAGUCCCGGUUGGUCACACCAACCUGGACAAUUUGGCAUCCACGCGUCAGCAUCUGACCGGAGCUGGGGGUUUUUGUUUUUUUAACCGGGGGGNNNNNNNNNNNNNNNNNNNNNNNNNNNNNNNNNNNNNNNNNNNNNNNNNNNGGGGGGGGGGGGGAGGGUUAAUUUAGUGGUUUCGUAUUGUGUUAGCAUCUGAUAACGCGUCAACAUCUUUUACAAUGCCUAACAUCAUCUACCUAAGAUCCAAUCACAAAUAGCUCACAGGGUAUUGUCCGUCUUUAGGUAUGACGUGGUCAAGAAAGAAUCCCACCAAUUCCUCUUGAAUUGCUCAUAUGCCAUCAUCUGAUAGGGGUUCAUCCCGCUUCUUCUAGAUCUAAUUUAAAGAAGGGGGUCAAUACAUCCAUAUAUAUGAAUAAAACUCAACACGAUUGAUGGUAAUAUAUAAAAAACAUUGUGAAUAUUAUUUACGUACUUCAAAUUGUUCGUCAGAGAUGCCCCGUCCAGACGUCGAGAGGCGGAUGAACUCGCAUGUGUAGUAUGCACAUUUUUCAGUCACAAUUACCUGGUACAAGCACUUUACGAGAAUAGAGUUCAAUCAAACUGAUAAUCAAACAUGGUAAUGAUAUAUUGAUGAAAAUUUGAAUCAAUCAGAGAUGCGCGAAACUAGCUAGUACUACUUACUGGGGGGUGCGUAAAUUGCUACUCUUUCUUUAGACUGGGAGCAAGCUUGAUGAACUUCUUCCAAACCCUGCCAGGCAAAGAAAAUGAUUACUUGAUAUGAGUAAAUUAACGAAAGUUGCAUGCCAGUAUGGUCCCGGUAUUGAGUAAACUUACUUCUUGAGCAUUGCAGUCAUGUCCGCAUAAUCCUUGGGAUCUUUACGUCUCGAGUCUAAGACUGUUACUUUUGCCCCGUCUAGCUUAAUGGAUAGCAGAAUAAAGUGGUAACUGUGCACGCAUAUAUAACUCAUUAAUUACAUUUACUUAACCUCGAGUAAGCGAAACCGAGUAUACAGAGAAGACAACAACACUCACUUGAAGUUGUAAGGAAAGAGUAUUUCCCUUUUGUUUUGAUUUGCAAGAAACGACUUUAGCAACUUAACCUCGGUCUCUUUGGUUUCAUUUCGUACCGACAAUACAUUUACCGAUUCUGGGCUAAUGAACCCAACGUCGAAGAUUCCUGCUCUUUUUAAUUCGACGAUCUUCAAUCUGCAUAAUAUAUAUAGUGAGGAUCAUUAUAGAUACAUGCAAUGAACGAGCUGAGCUAGAGACUUAGCUAUAGAAGUAAGACUUACAAACAGUACGUGAUACGUCUCCAACGUAUCUAUAAUUUUUGAUGGUUUCAUGCUAUUAUCUUGUCAAACUUUGGAUGCUUUGUAAGCCUUUUAUAUCUUUUUUGGGACUAACUUAUUAACUCAGUGCCAAGUGCCAGUUCCUGUUUUUCCGUGUUUUUGACCCUUUUCAGAGGAGAAUUUUAAACGUAGUCCAAACGGAAUAAAACCUGUGGAAUGAUUUUUCCAUAACAGAAGACACGCGGGAUACUUGAGCACCAAGGCACGAGACCUUAGAGGAGGUCACAAGCCCACCAUGCCCGGCCUAGGGGGGCAGGCCUAGCUGGCUUGUGAGCUCCCCGUGGCUCCCCUGCCCUAGGUCUUCCGCCUAUACAUUCCCUAAAAUCCCAGAAAAAAAUCAGGAGAUCAUCAAAAAUACUUUUCCACCGCCGCAAGCUUCUGUCUUCGCAAGAUCCCAUCCGGGGCACGUUGUGGUGCCCUGUGGGAGGGGGAUUCGGAUACGGAGGGCUUCUUCAUCAACACCAUGACCACUGCGAUGAUGCAUGAGUAGUUCACCAUAGACCUAUGGGUCCAUAGCUAGUAGCUAGAUGGCUUCUUCUCUCUCUUGGAUCUUCAAUAGAAAGUUCUCCAUGAUCUUCAUGGAGAUCUAUCCGAUGUAAUCUUCUUUUGCGGUGUGUUUGUCGAGAUCCGAUGAAUUGUGGAUUUAUGAUCAUAUUAUCUAUGAAUCUUAUUUGAGUUUCUUCUGAUCUCCCUUAUGCAUGAUUUCAUAUCCUUGUAAUUCUCUUUGAGUGGUGGGUUUUGUUUGGCCAGCUUGAUCUAUGAUUCUUGCAAUGGGAUAAGUGCUUGGUUUUGGGUUCAUACCGUAUGGUGACCUCACCCAGUGACAGAAGGGGUAGCGAGGCACGUAUCAUGUUGUUGCCACCAAGGUUAAAAAGAUGGGGUUUUCAUCAUUGGUUUGAGAUUACCGCUCUACAUCAUGUCGUCUUGCGUAAGGCGUUACUCUGUUCAUCAUGAACUCAAUACACUAGAUGCAUGCUGGAUAGCGGUCGAUGUGUGGAGGAGUAGUAGUAGAUGCAGAAAGUAUCGGUCUACUUGUCUCGGACGUGAUGCCUAUAUGUAUGAUCAUUGCCUUAGAUAUCUUCAUGACUUUCACGGUUCUAUCAAUUGCUCGACAGUAAUUUGUUCACCCACCGUAAUACUUGCUAUUUUGAGAGAAGCCUCUAGUGAACACUACGGCCCUCGGGUCUACUCCACACCAUAUUUUCAGCCUUACACUUUUACUUCGUUGCACUUUCCGCCUUCAGAUAUCACUUUGCAAUCAAUCUUGAAGGGAUUGACAACCCCUUUAUAGCAUUGGGUGCAAGUUCUUUGUGUUUGUGUAGGUACAUUGGACUUGACUAGAUUCUCCUACUCGAUUGAUACCUUGGUUCUCAACUGCUUACUGCUCCUGUGCUGCACCGCCCUUUCCUCUUCAAGGGAAAAACCAAUGCAAGCUCAAGGGGUGACAGAAAGGUUUCUGUCGCUGUAGCAGAAGAAUUUCUGGCGCCGUUCCCGGGGAGGAUCAAGUCAAGAACUCAUCCAAGUAAGUUUCGCAAACUCAUCUCUUGCAUUUACUUUUUUGCCUCUCAUUUUCCUCUCCCCCACUUCUGAAAAAACAAAAACUUAGAAAAAAAUAUUUGCCUUUUUCGUUUGCCUCUUUCAUCCGCCCUUUCUUUUGCUUGCUUUCUGUUUGCUUGUGUUGCCAUGUGCCUUUAAUAUGAUUGCAUCUUCGCUUGCUGAAAAUCUAGUGAUAUGGAUCCUCAUCCACUUGCUAAUCUCUUUAAGAGAUCCAAUUAUGUUGAUCCAAUUGCUAGUGAGUUGAGUGCACUUGACUAUCUUUAUGGAGUUUUGCUUGAGAUGCGUGAAUCUGAAAAUCGUGAUGAAGAAAUUUAUGAAGUGAUUCACGAGGGCUCCUUGAAUGAAAAGCAUGAUUGCAAUGGUUUCACUAUAAAUCCUAUUAGUGUCAAUCAUGCUAAAAAUAUGCAAAACCCUAAGCUUGUGGAUGCUAGUUUUGCUAUGUCCUCUACUUGUUGCAAUGAUCAUGAAUGGGGUGAUGAUUUUUCUUAUGAUCUUGAAAAUUUGUGUAAGCCUCAUGAUGAAUAUUAUAUUUGCAAUAUUAUUGAAAGUGGGUUUGGAGAAGUCAUGACUUUAGUUGAUGAUAAUCCCACUAUUUUUGAAAAGCAUCAACUUUGCAUGCAUGUGGAUCAUGAAAAGAAUAUCCUAUGUGAUAGUUACAUUGUUGAAUUCGAAUAUGAUCCCACAUGUAAUUAUUAUGAGAUAGGAAAAUAUGGUGGUAGAAACUUUCAUAUCACUAAGUCACCUCACGUUAUGUUGAGAUUGCUCUUGUCUCUUUCUUCUUCCUUGCAUUUGGCAGUUAUUGGUUAUCUUGACAAUCUGUUUUCUUAUAAAAUGCCUAUGCAUAGGAAGUAUGUUAGACUUAGAUGUGAUUUUCACAUGUUUCAUGAUGCUCUCGUUGUGCUCCAAUUCUUGUCUUUUUAUGGGCAUCAUUGAAUUAUCAAUGCCUAGCUAAGGGCGUUAAACAAUAGCGCUUGUUGGGAGGCAAACCAAUGAAUUUAUCUUUUUUCUUUCUGUUUUGUUGCGUCCACACCAUCAUAAUUCUGUUGUGAUUGUGUUUUUUGUGUUUCUUUUUGUGUUUGAGCCAAGCAAAACCUUUAUGACUAGUCUUGGUGAUGGUUGUUUGAUCCUGUUGGAAAAAGACAGAAACUUUUCGCUCACGAGAUGCUUUUUCAUUUUUAUUCAGAAAGAUCUUUUGAGUUGAUUCUUUUUUUCUUCUGGUUGAUAUGCCUUUUUCCCAGGCAGUCGUAAUUUUUCAGAAUUUUUGAGGUACCAUAAGUAUACAAAGUAUACAGAUUGCUACAGACUGGUCUGUUUUUGACAGAUUCUGUUUUUGUUGAGUUGCUUGCUUGUUUUCAUGAAACUAUGGAUAGUAUCGGGGGGGUACUAGCCAUGGAAAAGUGAGGAUACAGUAGCCCAACACCAAUAUAAAUACAAAUCAAGAUUGCUACAGUACCUAAAGGGGUUGUAGUUUGUUUUCUUGUGUUAAUGUUAUCACGAGUUUCUGUUUAAGUUUUUUGUUGUGAAGUUUUCAUGUUUUGAGUGAUGUUCUCAUGGACGAUGAGAUAAAGAGUGGAAAGAGCUCAAGCUUGGGGAUGCCCAAGGCAUCCAAAGCCAAAUUCAAGGACACCAAAAAGCCUAAGCUUGGGGAUGCCCCGGGAAGGCAUCCCCUCUUUCUUCUUCAAUCCAUCGGUAACAUUACUUGGAGCUAUAUUUUUAUUCACCACAUGAUAUGUGUUUUGCUUGGAGCGUCUUGUAUCUUAGGAGUCUUUUGUUUUUGUUGUGUCACAAUCAUCCUUGCUGCACACCUUUAGAUAGAGACAUGCACUCAUCGUGAUUUUGCUAGAAUGCUCCUCGUGCUUCACUUAUAUCUUUUGAGCUAGAUAAUUUUGCUCUAUGUGCUUCACUUAGAUCUUUUAGAGCACAGCGGUGCGUAACUUGGUAGUUGGCUUAUGCUAUGAAAGUAGUACCAAAGGUGAUAGGUACCCAAAGAGGAUACAAAAACCUCUAUCUUCAUGUGCAUUGAGUAGAAAGAGAAGUCUUGAUUCCUCUCAAUUAGUUUUGAGACGUGGAUUUGGUAAUAUUAAAAGUUAUGUUAGUAGGGUGUUGUGAAUCUAAAAAUACUUGUGUUGAAGUUAGUGAUUCCGGUAGCAUGCACGUAUGGUGAACCGCUAUGUUAGGAAGUCGGAGCAUAAUUGAUCUAUUGAUUGUCAUCCUUUGUGUUGAGGUCGGAAUCGCGCGAUGGUUAACACCUACCAACCCUUCCCCUAGGAGUAUGCAUUUAGCACUUUGUUUCGAUUACUAAUAAAAACUUUUGCAACAAGUAUGUGAGUUCUUCAUGACUAAUGUGAGUCCAUGGUAUAGAUGCACUUUCACCUUCCACCAUUGCUAUCCUCUCUAGUACCGUGCAAUUCUCGCCAGUGCACAAACCCACCAUAUGCCUUCCUCAAAACAACCACCAUACCUACCUACUAUGGCAUUUACAUAGCCAUUCCGAGAUAUAUUGCCCUGCAACUCCCAACGUUCCGUCUCAUGACUUGUGCCGUCACUCUCAUAUUUCCAUUGCAUGAUCGUAAGAUAGCUAGCGAGAUGUUUCAACGUCAAACGCCAAGCUAGAUCGUUGCACAUCCCCGUACACUGCCGGAGGCAUUUCCUAUAGAGUCAUCAUCGUUUUGAGCUUUGAGCUGUGAGUAAAUAAAAGUGUGAUGAUCAUCAUUAUUAGAGCAUUGUCCCGUGUGAGGAAAUAAAAAAAAGAGGCCAAAGAGUCCAAAAAUAAAAGAAAAAGAAAAAAAAGAGAGAAGGGACAAUACUACUAUCUUUUUCCACACUUGUGCUUCAUAAUAUCACCAUGUUCUUCAUGAUUGAGAACCUCUCGUUUCGUCACCACCAUAUGCUAGUGGGAAUCUUUAUUAUAUAACUUGGCUUGUAUAUUCCAAAGAUGGGCAUCCUCAAAAUUGCCCUAGGUCUUCGUGAGCAAGCAAGUUGGAUGCACACCCACUAGUUCUCCUUUUGAGCUUUCACAUGCUUAUAGCUCUAGUGCAUCCUUUGUAUGGCAAUCCCUACUCAUUCACAUUGAUAUCUAUUAAUGGGCAUCUCCAUAGCCCUUUGAUACGCCGAGUCAAUGUGACCAUCUCCUCCUUUUUGUGUCACAACCACCACCACACUCUAUUCCACCUAUAGUGCUAUAUCCAUGGCUCGCGCUCAUGUAUUGCGUGAUAGUUAUAAAAAAAUUCAGAAAGUAAGAGUGCGAAAACAAUUACUUGGCCAAUACCGGGGUUGUGCAUGAUUUACAUUAGUUGUGUGAGGAUGAUGGAGCAUGGCCAGACUAUAUGAUUUUGUAGGGAUAACUUUCCUUGGCCUUGUUAUUUUGAAAGUUUAUGAUUACCUUGCUAGUUUGCUUGAAGUAUUAUUAUUUUCAUGUCAAUAGCAAACUAUUGUUUUGAAUCUUACGGAUCUGAACAUUCAUGUCACUUGAAAGAAGUUGCAAAGGAAAACUAUUCUAGGUAGCAUUCCACAUCAAAAAUUCAAUCUUUAUCACUUCCCUACUCGAGGACGAGCAGGAGUUAACCUUGGGGAUGCUUGAUACGUCUCCAACAUAUCUAUAAUUUUUGAUGGUUUCAUGUUAUGAUCUUGUCAAACUUUGGAUGCUUUGUAUGCCUUUUAUAUCUUUCUUGGGACUAACUUAUUAACUCAGUGCUAAGUGUCAAUUCCUAUUUUUUUCCGUGUUUUUGACCCUUUUCAGAGGAGAAUUUUAAACGAAGUCCAAACGGAAUGAAACCCGCGGAAUGAUUUUUUCCAGAAUAGAAGACACGCGGGAGACUUGAGCACCAAGGCAGGAGACCUCGGAGGAGGUCACAAGCCCAAUAGGCCCGGCCUAGGCGGGGGGGGGGGGGGGGGGCAGGCCUAGCAGUCUUGUGAGCUCCCCGUGGCUCCCCUACCCUAGGUCUUCCACCUAUAUAUUCCCUAAAAUACCAGAAAAAAUCAGGAUAUCAUCGAAAAUACUUUUCCGCCGCCGCAAGCUUGUGUCUCUGUAAGAUCCCAUCUCGGGCACGUUCUGGUGCCCUACUGGAGGGGGGAUUCGGAUACGGAGGGCUUCUUCAUCAACACCAUGACCUCUCCGAUGAUGCGUGAGUAGUUCACCAUAGACCUACGGGUCCAUAGCUAGUAGCUAGAUGGCUUCUUCUCUCUCUUGGAUCUUCAAUACAAAGUUCUCCAUGAUCUUCAUGGAGAUCUAUCCGAUGUAAUCUUCUUUUGCGGUGUGUUUGUCGAGAUCCGAUGAAUUAUGGAUUUAUGAUCAGAUUAUCUAUGAAUCUUAUUUGAGUUUCUUCUGAUCUCUCUUAUGCAUGAUUUCAUAUCCUUGUAAUUCUCUUUCAGUCGUGGGUUUUGUUUGGCCAGCUUGAUCUAUGAUUCUUGCAAUGGGAGAAGUGCUUGGUUUUGGGUUCAUACCGUACGCCCAAGAUGUGACCCUAUCCUCAAUUUGGCACAAAGGCCUCGGCAGGGAUAGAAGCGCAUCUCGUCGUGUCGCAAGAAUGGAUAUCGUUACAAGUACAUGUACUGAAAAGAUGAGAUAUAUAUAGAAUUGGCUUACACUCGCCACAAGCUACAUCAGAAUCACAUCAGUACAUUACAUAAUCAUCAAGAGUAAGAGCAGGGUCCGACUACAGGAAAACAAACGAGAAAAGAAGAACGACGUCCAUCCUUGCUAUCCCAGGCUACCAGCCUAGAACCCAUCCUAGAUCGAUGAAGAAGAAGAAGAAGCAACUCCAAAUCAACAAUCAACACGCUCGCGUCAAGUAACCUUUACCUGUACAUGCAACUGGUGUUGUAGUAAUCUGUGAGCCACAGGGGACUCAGCAAUCUCAUUUCCAAAGGUAUCAAGACUAGCAAAGCUUAAUGGGUGAGGCAUGGUUAAGUGGUGAGCUUGCAGCAGCGGCUAAGCAUAUAUUUAGUGGCUAAACUUACGAGUACAAGAAAUCAGAGAGGGGAAGAUCUACGCAUAGCGGACGUGAACUACGGAUGAUCAUAUGAAUGAUCCUGAACACCUACCUACGUCAGGCAUCACCCCACCGUGUCCUCGAUCGGAGAAAGAACUCACGAAAGAGACAGUCACGGUUACGCACACAGUUGGCAUGUUUUAAUUAAGUUACUUCAAGUUAUCUAGAACCAGUGUUAAACAAAGUUUCCACGUUGCCACAUAACCGCGGGCACGACUUUCCGAAAGAUUUAACCCUGCAGGGGUGCUCCAACUAGUCCAUCACAAAUUACCACAAGCCGCAUAGAAAUCCUCAAUCACGAAGCUCGCGAUCUCGUCGGAUUCCCUAGUGGAAAACCUCAACUCUGAGAUUACCCAAAGCAUCACCGGAAUCCCGAUGCACAAGAUAUCUCGUCAAAGGUAAAAUUAAUCCAGCAAGGCCACCCGACGUGUCGACGAUCCCGAUAGGAGCCGCGUAUCUCGUUCUCAGGACACGACAGAUGGAACUAGCUACGAGUGCCAAACCUCGAGUUUCCUCGCGGUGGCCCCGCAGGCAGACCGUUUGGGACCAACACCAUCAGCACUGCCCCCUGUAUUAUGUAGAAUUACUCAUCGGGUAGCGCUAACUCCCUAUGCAUUUCAGUAUUAACAAAAUUAUUAUGUUGGGCAAAUGUAAAACCAAUGUUGGGCCUUGCCGGACCAGCUCUAAUCUAAAACGAAUUAUCAAGGGGGUCCCCAUAACAACCCCGAUCGUGUUAGGAGCGCUCAUUUAUGGAACAUAACACCGGUAGCCGAAACUAAGGGGGCAAAGGUGGAACAAAACACCAGGCUAGAAAGGCCGAGCCUUCCACCUUUUACCAAGUAUAUAGGUGCAUUAAAUUAAAUAGCAUUAAUAUGGUGAUAUAACAAGGAACCCAUGUAAUCACAUGGAAGCAACUGCACCUGCAACUAGCAACGCUAACACAAGGUUAAGCAAGCGGUAACAUAGCCAAUCAGUGGUUUGCUACGUUGAACAGGUUGAAGGUUUUCAUGGCAUGGUUGAGAGGCUGAUAUUUAACAUGUGGUAGGCAACGAGACAUAAUCGAUAGAAGCGAUAAACCUAGCAUGGCAAUGAUAGUAAUGGUAUCUGGGGAAAUGGUCAUCUUGCCUGAGAUCCCGCUUGGAAGAAGAAUGACUCCGCGAAGCAGACGAACCAACGUAGUCGAACGGGUCCUCACAAUCCGACACGCUUGCGGAACUCUAGCGAGACGAAGGAAGCCGGAAACAAGAAUCAACACACGAUAUUCACCACACGGUGCACAACACAUAUGAUGCAUGAGCAGCUGAAUACAUGCAAGUCACGGCAUGACAAUUCACACAAUCAAACACUACACAUUAAGUGAAGUUCAAUAUGCAACGAGUUGCAUAUUGAUGAAACUACCUGUUAAUUAUUUACUUCUAUCCCGAUUAGGUACACGGCAAUAUUAAAUGUGGUUAAGCAUGGCAAGAGGUGAAGCAUAAUUAAUCUACCUAUCUAUGCAUUUUAAAUGAGGUCGGAAAUGACUUAUAGCAUCUCCGAAACGACCUCACAUGUUAAUUUACAAUUCUGUCCAGAUCUGAACUAACACAUUUAAUUAGUUGUUAAACAGAAAAAAAAUAGGUUCACGUGAUUCUACGCGUCAUUUCAAGCAAUUUACACAUAGAGAUCAUCUCCAACGGAGCUACGGUUCAAAAGAUACAAGCAUCACAAGAUAUGAUGGCAUGAAUGCAAUAUGUGUGCAACGACGGUCACGAGCACUUCAAAACAUACAACCAGCAAGAGAAAAUGAAACUACACGAGAUUCUAAGCAAGUUUCAUGUAGGACUCGAUCAAAUCGGAGCUGCGGAUCAACAACUACGAGCAAAACAAGAAAUCACUACAAUCUGCCAAAAUCAGCCACAUAGCAUUUUCUACACCCCACAACUACGAGCUACACAACUCAAAUAUAAUCUACCAAGGCAUGACAUGAAAUAGAGCAAGAAGCACUACAACAAAUAACUAACAAUAACUAGCAUGGCAGCAAGGAACACUAGGAAAAGAAGUCACAAAAUGGUUUCCCACACACUAUUUCACACAUAGUGAAAAUAGCAGUUUUUGAAGCUGCAGUUUUCGAUCUGAAGGCAUAUUGACAGUAGCAAAACCUAUAGCUACAGGACUCCUAAUGACAUGAAAAUUCACAGCAUGCUAGAGAAACACAAGGGCUACAACUAACUCCAUUGGACCAACCUUAAAGGAGCAACAUAUCACAAGAUACAAGCAAGACAAGACAGCAACAAAAUAUAACAGAUUCCAGACUUAGAAAUAUUUCAGCUCCUCCAAAUCAGCACUAUUUCUAGCAACUUGAGAGCAAUCAAACCACGCCUAAACAUGCAUUUCUAUUGCAAGCAAAAAUACCAGGGGUUAGACUAAACACCCAAGAACAACUCUCUAGUUGACAACUCCGUCAAACGAAGCACGGAAUAAAUCCUACGAAUUAAACAAAAGGGCAUCACGGCAAAAUAUUGUGCGAACUAACUUGCUCUAAUGCUAAAACUAACUUGCUCUACCCCGAAAACAUAUAAAAUAUCUGGGGUUGCACAACAAAAUAAUGCCACACGAAAAUGCGAGAAAAAUAACCUAGACACGGAAAAAUAAACUAGCGCAAUUCCNNNNNNNNNNNNNNNNNNNNNNNNNNNNNNNNNNNNNNNNNNNNNNNNNNNNNACACGUAAAACUACCAAUGACCGCUCUAAAAUACAUGGCAUAAUGGUUCCUAAAACAUGGGCAUUUAUACUACGGCAUCCGAGCAACCCGGUCUUGCACGAAAAAAUAAAUGUGGGACGAAACCUAUUAGGACAGCACGCUAAACUAGGCGUUAGGCAUGCUAAACGAUGUCAAACAUUUAUGCAUGUUUUAUAAUCGGAUUCUACGCGAGAAACUACAUGAAAAACAUAUCUAAUACGUUCCGAUCCGACUUACGGAUAUUAAACUACGGGCGUAGCAAUAUACGACUAUUUACUCAAAUUAUCUAAACCGAAAUAAAAACCUAAAAUACUAAAUGGGCCGACAGAGGCGCAAGAUAAACAAAAAAAAUGCAGGGCGGGAGAUAGGCCAUCCUCACCUUAGGCCGGUUGGAGGCUUGGGCCGGCGGGGGAGGCCGAGCGCGUGGGCCUGGGGGCGCCUCGUGGAGCAGGUUGGCUCGAGGCUGGGCCUGGGGAGGCGCUGCGGCAGCGGACUGGGCCAGCUCGGGGCCCAGCCGANNNNNNNNNNNNNNNNNNNNNNNNNNNNNNNNNNGGGGCCCCGGGGGGGGGGGGGGGGUUGUUGGAGGUGCUGGGACAGAGUCCCUCGUCGUGCCCGAGGGCACGAACCUGGCGGCGGCGGGGCCUCCAGCGGACGGCGGCGACGGGAGCCCGCCCGGCGAGGCCUCAGGCGACCACGGAGGCCGAGGCGGCGGCGCUCCGGCGCGAGGCACGGCGGGCCCUGGCGCGGCAACGCACGACUUGCAGGGAGGCGCCGACGGGGAAGCAGAACGGUGGCGGCGGAGGAGCUGCUCCCAGGCACAGAUGCUCUCCUCCGGCGAGGCGCUGGGGACGGGGCGGUGCAGCCGGGCUGGGGCACCGGCCGACGAUGGGGCUGGAGACCGGGAGGAGGCCGGCGGCUAGCCGGGUUGGCGGCGGCGACCUGCACGCGGCGGGGUUGGAGAGGAGCUCGGCUAGGGGUUAGCCACGGGCCCAUAUGGGCUUCGGCGGGCCUGACCCGGGCUCUGGCGGGCCUGACGGCUGGAGGUGGAAGGAGGGGGUUGGCUGCGCUAGGGUCAGGUGGGGCGCGGAUCCCGAGGCAAAGGGGUGGCUACCUAAAAAAAAUAGGAGGAUGGGUCUAUUUAUAACAAAUGAGGGGGCUAGGUUACCCGGAAUUCUGUUCCGGAUCCAACCGUGCGGUCGAAUUCGGACGAUUCCGAACGCGAGAACGGGCGAGUGGCUUUGUAGAGGGGAUAUCCGGAGAGGAGAGGGGAAAUGGGCGGCGCGGCAACAAUUUUUAAAACACCGACAAACGUCCGACGGUAGACCGAAUACGGUGCCGCUACGGUCGAUCGUUCGGGUACGAGACGAACUUCGAUCGCGACGAAAUUCGACAAGCGGCCUGGCUAUAACUAAUCGCGACCGCAUGCGAAGUUUCACCCUGAUGACAGAAAGUUUUACGCACACUUUUAAAACAGGGUUUUGACGAAGCCGCGGGCGCGUGCAUGUGCGGUCGAGCUCAGAACAGAUAACGACGCGAACCGGCAACUAACAACGGAUGCAAGUUUGAAAACUGGCGGCAACGGAGAUGCCGAUGCAAUGCAGAUGAUGCGCAUGAUGCGAUGAUGAUGCGACAAAAUAAAAUAGACACACGACGAAAACGGAAUAGAACGGGAAUCUUCUGGAACAUCGGCAUCGGGCUGUCACACUUUCGUCCCAGAAAAAAUAAAAAGAGAAGUUUUCAUCGCGUUUUCGAUAUGGAGGAGCCGCCACCACCUGUUCUUCAUUUGGAGGGCAGAUCUGGAGUCCGUCUUGGGCUCCGGAGAGGGGAAAUCGUCGCCAUCGUCAUCAUCAAGCUUCUUCCCUAUCCAAUUCCAUGAAGCUCUUCGUCAUUCGUGAGUAAUCUAUUCGUAGGCUCGCUGGGCGGUGAUGAGUAGGAUGAGAUCUAUCAUGUAAUCGAGUUAGUUUUGAUGGGGAUUUAUCCCUAGUAUCCACUAUGUUCUGAGAUUGAUGUUGCUACUACUUUGCCAUGCUUAAUGUUUGUCACUAGGGCCCGAGUGCCAUGAUUUCAGAUCUGAAAUUAUUAUGUUGUCACCAAUAUAUGUGUGUUUUAGAUCCGAUCUUGCAAGUUGUAGUUACCUACUAUGUGUUAUGAUCCGACAACCCCGGAGUGACAAUAACCGGAACCACUCCCGGUGAUAACCAAAGUUUGAGGAGUUCAUGUGUUCACCAAGUGCUAAUGCGUUGGUCCAGUUCUUUAUUAAAAGGAGAACAUUAAUAUCCCGUAGUUUCCUUUUGGACCCCGCUGCCACGGGAGGGAUGGACAAUAGAUGUCAUGCAAGUUCUUUUCCCUAAGCACGUAUGACGACACACGGAAUGCAUGCCUACAUCACAUUGAUGAAUGAGAGCUAGCCACUUAUCUCUCCGUGUUAUAGCUAUUGCAUGAUGAAUAUCAUCCAAACAAAUCACCGACCCAUUGCCAACGAGUUUGUCCUACUGCUGCUACUACUGUUGCUACUGCUGUUACUUGUUUUGCUCUGCUGCUGCUACUACUACUGUUGUUACUACUAUUGCUUGCUACUGCUGCUACUUGCUACCGCUGUCACUACUGUUGUUCCUUGCCACUGCUAUUGCUCGUUACACUGCUGCUACCUGCUACACUGUUGGUUCACCUACCGUUGACGAGAAUUGAAAACUCUUGUCGACGCGGCAACGAAGGCGCCAUUGAUACGAUCGUUAGGAAUAGUCUGCCGUCAACAGAUCAUUUCUCACACCGUUGUUAUCAUAUUACUUUGCUGUUACUACUGUUCUUGUAGAUACUAAUCUUUCAGGUGUGGUUGAAUCUGACAAAUUCAGCUGCUAAUACUUGAGAGUAUACUCUCACCUCCUUAGGCUUAUCAACAAAUUGGGUCGAAUACUCUACCCUCGAAAAUUGCUGCGAACCCACACGUUGGUGGGCCAUCAACAAUGUUCUUCCAGUUUCAUUGCCGGGGAGUGCUAGCAGCAUUCUUCUGGUGCCGUUGCAGGAGAAGGUUUGUUGUCAUAAGCAUUCGUCUAUUUAACGCCAGAGAUUGCACGAUCAGCAUUUUUCUGGCGCCGUUGCCGGGGAGGUAUUGCUAUAUUCUCUGAGUCACUUGGGAUUUAUAUGUGCUGAUCACUAUGAAGAAUCUGAAGGAUCCGAAGACCAAAGUCUUGCCCUCAACUACGAGGGGAGGUAAGGAAUUGCCAUCUAGCUCUGCACUUGAUUCACCUUCAGUUAUGAGUAAGUUUGCGACAUCACCUCCUGCUAGAAAUCUUGAUAUAUCGCCUGUGCUUGAUGAUGCUUGUGAUACUACUGCUAGAGAUGCUAUGCUUGAUACUGCUAGACAUGCUAUGCUUGAUACUAUGCCUGAUGCUAUGCCUGAUACUGCUAGAGAUGCUAUGCUUGAUACUAUGCCUGAUGAUACUAUGCUUGAUACUAUGUCUGAUACUGCUAGAGAUGUUAUGCUUGAUACUGCUUUGCCUGAUGAUGCUAGAGAUGCUAUGCUUGAUGCUACGCUUGAUACUCCUAGAGAUACCACUUUGCAUGAUGUUCCACUAGGAGUGUUCCUUGAUGCUCAUAUUGCUAGAGUUACUGCCAAUGCUCGUGAUGCUCCUGAAACUGCCGAUACUAUUGAGAUAGAACCUGCUUUUGCUCCUGCUAGAUCUAGCUCUCCUAGAUAUGAAUUGCCUGAUAUACUUGAGGGUUACAUUAUGGACAGAGAGAUAGCUGAGGAUUUUCUUGCGUGUAAGGAUGCAUAUGACGCUGAGAAAUUACUUCUCAAGUGGAAGGAAAAAUCUCGGGAAGCUAGGAUGAAAAAUGACCCGAAGUUUGCCACUUCGCCUAUCUUUGUCAAUGAUAAGGAUUAUGAAUUCUCUGUCGACCCUGAGAUAAUCUCUCUAGUCGAAUCUGAUCCUUUUCACGGUUAUGAGUCUGAGACGGUCAUAGCCCAUCUUGCCAAACUAUCCAAAAUUGCGAACCUUUUCACUAAUGAGGAGAAGAUCCGCCACUACUAUAUCCUUAAGCUGUUUCCUUUCUCUCUAAAGGAUGAUGCUAAAGCCUGGUUCACCUCUCUUGCUCCUGGAUGUGUGCGUAGUCCCCAGGAGAUGGUCUAUUACUUCUGUGAGAAAUAUUUCCCAGCCCAUAAGAAGCAAGCUGCCUUGCAGGAAAUAUACAACUUUGCUCAACUCCAAGAAGAGAGUCUUCCACAAGCUUGGGGGAGGCUCGUCCAGCUAUAGAAUGCUUUGCCUGAUCACCCUCUUAAGAAGAACGAGAUACUUGAUAUCCUCUAUAACGGACUUACCGAUGCCUCUAGAGACUACUUAGAUAGUUGUGUCGGUUGUGUUUUCAUGGAACGAACUGUAGAACAAGCUGAUACCCUACUGAAUAAUCUCUUGAUCAACGAUGAUGCUUGGACUAUUCCCGAACCACCUCCUAAGCCAACUCCUAAGAAGAGAGGUAUUCUAUUCCUCAGUCCCGAAGAUAUGCAAGAAGCCAAGAAAUCUAUGCAAGAGAAAGGCAUUAGAGCUGAAGAUGUCAAAAAUCUACCACCUAUCGAAGAGAUCCACGGUCUCAAUAACCCGAUUCAGGUAGUGGAAGUGAAUUCUCUGCGUAGGUUUGACGGGAGUGAUAUUCCUUUUGAUAAACCUGCUAGCCUAUGCUUUGAUUAAUUUGACAAGUUUGUUGCCGAACAACAGAGUUUCAAUGAUUAUGUUAGCAGACAUUUGGAACAAAGUACUCGUAUGCUUAGCCCUUUAAGUGCUUGCGUAGACAGAAAUGUGAAUGCUCUGAAGCUUCUGAGUAAACAUGCCUCAAUGAUUACUACUCAGGUAGAACAAGUACUUAAAGCUCAGAAUGACCUGCUCAAUGAAUUAAAUGACAACUCUGUUAGAGUCAUUACUAGAGGAGGCAAAAUGACUCAAGAACCUUUGUAUCCUGAAGGUCAUCCUAAGAGAAUUGAUCAAGAUUCUCAAGGAAUCAAUGCUGAUACACCUAGUGAUCCUAAAGAGAAGAAGAAGGAUGAUAGAAGCCUACACGCCAGUUCACCAAAUACUGUCACACCUGAAGAACCUAAUGAUAUUUCUGCGUCUGAUGCAGAAACACAAUCAGGUGAUGAACAUGAACCUGGUGACAAUAUGGACAGAGAUGUUCGUAAUGAUGCUCAACCUAGCAAUGACGAGGAUGUGGAGAUUGAACUUACCGUUAAUCCUGAUAAUCCACAACCUAAGAGUUACGACAAGAAUGACUUCACUGCUAGGAAGCAUGGUAAAGAAAGAGAGCCAUGGGUUCAGAGACCUAUGCCCUUUCCUCCUAAGCCAUCCAAGAAAAAGGAUGAUGAGGAUUUUGAGCGCUUCGUUGAGAUGAUAAGACCCGUCUUUCUGCAGAUGCGGUUAACUGAUAUGCUCAAGAUGUCUCCGUAUGCCAAGUACAUUAAAGAUAUCGUGACUAAUAAACGGAAGAUACCAGAUCUUGAGAUCUCCACCAUGCUUGCCAACUACACUUUCAAAGGUAGAACUCCUAAGAAACUUGGCGAUCCCGGAGUGCCCACUAUAACUUGCUCCAUUAAAGGAAACUACGUAAGAACUGCCUUAUGUGACCUUGGAGCCGGUGUUAGUGUUAUGCCGCUCUCUCUUUAUUGUAGACUUGAGUUGAAUAAGUUGACACCCACUGAAAUUUCUCUACAAAUGGCCGACAAAUCAAUUGCUUUCCCUAUCGGCAUUUGCGAGGAUGUGUCUGUUGUGGUUGCUAAUACCACUAUCUUAACAGACUUUGUUAUCUUGGAUAUUCCCAAGGACGAUGCCAUGGCUAUCAUCCUCGAAAGACCCUUUUUAAAUACUGCAGGGGCUGUUAUAGAUUGCAACAAAGGCAAUGUCACUUUCCAUGUCAACGGUAAUGAGCACACCGUGCACUUUCCGAAGAAAUGAUAUCCGGUAGAUUGCAUCGAUGCUAUCGAAAAGACUUCAUCGAUUCCUAUUGGGAGGUUUGAAUGCCCUAUUCCUCGUGUCAAGAUGAAGUAUGAUUUUCUUGUUGGGGAGAUACGUAUCCCCAUUGAGGUGACUUAGUGGCUAUUCAAAAAUUCUCCGUUCUCUCUUGCGACUCGAGACGGUUUUGUCAUAAGGACUUGAUCAAUCCCAUUGACGGAUUUCUUUCGAUGACCAUGAGACGGAUGAAUUAAAGAGUCACAUACCUCUGUUUUGAGUUUUCCUUUUCUUUUGCUUAGAAGAAAAAUGAUGAAUUAGUUUCACUUUUCCUGUUUUCUGUUUUAGCGUCCCGGAGAAAAAUACCUCAAAAAUAAAAGUUCUCUGAUGGUCCUGAAAAUUUAGUAUGAUUUUUUUUGGAAUUUUUGAAAGUUUUUGGGCCUGAGUGCUGGCCAUGGGGCCUGACCAGUGGGCCACAAGCCCCCAACCGCCAGCUACCCCCCUGGUGGCGGGGUGCAAGCUUGUGGGGCCCACAGGCAUCCCGUCCACUCAUUCCAUCUCCCAGCCUCUUCUUCCACCUCCAGAAAAAAUUGUUUCGCAGCUCAAACCUGUGUUCUUGCUCAUUUGGCUGUGAUUUUCGAUGUCCUUGCUCAAAGUAGCAUUCUCCAAACUGUUUUGGGGAAACUACUCCUUGGUAAGUGACUCCUCCAUUGGUCCAAUUAGUUUUUGAUCUAGUGCUUUAUCCUUCGCGUAUUCUUGCUACCUUGGUGACCCUGUUCUUGAGCUAGAAAAGUUGAUAUUAGCUGGUCCCAAGUAGUUUUAGCGCGUGAUACGAUCUCGAGGCACUAGUACGAGUAGUUGCUACAAGUUGAGUUAAUCCUUAUUCACUUUUCUUUCGAAGUCUCUAAAAAUUUCAGAAUUUUUCAGAGCUAGAAAAGGGAAAAUAUGAGGAGGUUUUUGAGAGGCUCUUCAAGCCGUAACCCCAAGGAGGACAAGUAGAAUCACCCCAAGUACGCAGUCCCUCGAGUCACAGAAGUUCGAGCGUGCGAGUGGCCAAGUGAUGAAUUUUUGCGUGCCGCUAGACUUUAUAAAGACUUUUAUUACUUGGUGGAGAACACAGGUCUUACUGCGUUCGUUGAAGAUAAGUGCCCACAAUAUCUCCUCCACACCAAUAUUUUCGUUCAAAGCUUCAACUUUUAUCCGAGGAAGAAUCCUCCCAUGGUUGAGUUCAUGAUUUACGAUAUCCCCCAGUGCAUGACGCUGCAGGACUUUUGCAAUGUAUGCAAAUUACCUUAUGUUGGGGAUAUCCGUGACCCUCGUCCACGGGACUUGGAGGAUUUCAUUGGAUCUUUUGUUGUUGGAGAGGAGAGAGGAGUGUUUCGCGCUAGAAUUGCUAGCAUACAUUUUCCUGUGCUUCGGUACUUCUCACUGUUUGCGGGAAAAUGUUUGAUUGGCUGUGGGGAGGCUGGAUCACUUAGUACUCCAGACCUUGCGGUUUUGCGCGAAGGCCUUUAUAGCGAUAAGACUUAUAGCCUGGGCACUAUAGUAGCUCAAUGGUUGAACCUGAACCGUUCUAAAGGUGUUGUCUAUGGAGGUAUCUAUGCUACCCGUCUUGCCAGACAUUUUGAGAUACCGAUUAGACUGGGAGAGGAAGGAGAGAUGCUUCUCCCUGAGAGAUAUCUGGAUUAUGACAGCAUGGUUCGCCAUGAUUUUCUGGAUAGAGAUGCUAGUAGACGGAUGAUUUAUAACCUGGUGUUUAGUCAGGGUACUCGAGAGACUAUGACUUUGCCUGCUCCUUUGUAUGAUCUUCAUGCAAGCAGGUACACUAUUAUGCCCGCGGAUAUCUACGCAUAUUGGGGCUUGGCCCAACCACAGGCGCCCGUGCCCGAGCCGCCAGUCGAGUACCAGAAGCCAGUUUAUCAGUGGGAGCCAAAGGAGCUCACACAGCAGUGGCAUCCACAGUCUGCUCCAGAGUAUCUUGGAGCUGGUUAUUUCCCACCUUGGGAGUAGACCAAGCUAGGCCAAAAGCCUAAGCUUGGGGGAGUACGUGUUCUCACCGACUUUACAUUCAUGCUUAUGCUUUCACUUUGUUAGCCGGUGUUUACACUUUGCCACUGUGUUAUCCAUGCUAGUUUCUUUUCGUUUUCUUGUUUUCUUGUUUUGUGUCCUUUUGAGAAAACCCAAAAAGAUUUUUCUUUCUUCUUUUUCUUGUUGGGAGCUUUCCCGUGUAAAUAGUUUUCUUUUUCUUUGUGUCAAGGUAGAAGAUAUUGGUUACAAUGUUUAUUGGUUCUUGCAUGCUUACCUGUUUAGCUUUCAAAGAGCCAUAUUACUUUGUCUUCUCCUUUGUGUUUUCCUGCAGAUUCAGCUUAGUCCAAUGCGCUUAUUAUUGUUCACAUUGUUCAAUCGUGCAAAUGAAAGGAAACAAUGAUGAUAUAUGAUGAAGUGACUGCGACUGAAAAGCUGGUAUAAAUUCUAUCUAUUUUGUUUUUGUAAAUAUGACUAGCUUGUCGACCCAGAUUUAGCUUUGUUGUGAGAGAACCAUGUUUGCAAUGACAACUUAGAGAUCAUAGUUUCUGAUGCCAUGCUUAUUUAGCUAAGAGCUUAUAAUGGUUUGUCUUGAAUGCCAACAUAGAUUUUGAGAUGACUAUGAUGUAGUAUGAUAGGAUGGUAUUCUCCUUUGAAUAAUUCAAGUGGCUUGACUUGGCGCAUGGUCAUGCAUGUAGUUGACACAAAAUCAACAUAGCCUCGAUGAUGUUCGUGUUCAUGGUGAUUUAUAUCAUGUUCAUGCUUGCAUUCAAUGUUAGUCAAACUCAUUGCAUCUUGUUCACUGUUGUCGCUCUCUAGUUGGUCGCUUCCCAGUCUUUUGCUAGCCUUCACUUGUACUAAGCGGGAAUACUGCUUGUGCAUCCACUUCCAUAAACCCAAAAGUUUUUCCUUGAGUGUCCACCAUACCUACCUAUUUGCGGUAUCUACCUGCCGUUCCCAGUAAAUUUUCAUGUGCCAUUCUCUAGACCUUCAAGAAAUAAAUCUGUUUUGCAUGCCCAAACCGCUCAUGUGGUGACAGAGGGCUAAUGGUAUCUUCCAUGCUAGGAGUGUUAUCCUCGACAUGUGUUUAUUCACAGUCAUUCACGAGAAAGGGGCGAUAUUUGGGAUGCCCAGUUCCACGCUUAAAUCAAAAACAUAACUAUAAAACAAGACUCCCCCCGGAUUGAUGUUAGUAUGGACGGUACCCGAGGAUUCGGCUAGCCGUGGAGUGUGAUUGAUUGGUGGUGGUGGAGUUAAAACUUUGCUUUUCUGUUUGGGAACCUCCGAUAGCAUGAGUAGCAUGGAAGAUAUUGAGAACUCUUGGUCAUUGCAUUGACAAUGAAAGCAUGCCACCCAAAAUUAUUAUCUCAGUUUUCAAAGCUUAAGCUGUGGCACCUCUGCAAAUCAAUGCUUCCCUCUGCGAAGGGCCUGUCUAUUUAUUUUCCUGUCGAGUCAUCCUCCUCUUAUUUAAGCACCAAUUAGAGAGCACCUCUGUCAUUUUAACGCUUUGCUUUUGAUUGAUAUUGAGUAUGACUAUGAUUGGAUCUUCAUUGCUAUGAAUUACAAUGUUUAGUCAGCCCUUGAUCUUUGAAAGUGCUCUGCAUUUAUGUUUUGCGGUCUCAGAAAGAGCUAGCGAGAUACCACCUCUUCAUAUUGCUUCAUGCUUGUUUUGAUUGAAGUGUUGGUAUUUGAAACUCAUUAUUAUUUGCUCGUUAGCUGAUUAUGCCAUUGCUGUUAGUUUACCGUGAGACCAUUGUGUCAUUUUCUUAUGUGGUUAACUUGUGAUCUUGCUGAAAUUCUGGUUAUGAGUUAGACAUAGUUGCAACAACAAGAUCAAACAGAGUUUGUCAAAGUUUUUCUUUCUCUCUCAGUUUGUCAACUGAGUUGCUUGAGGACAAGCAAGGUUUUAAGCUUGGGGGAAUUGAUACGUCUCCAACGUAUCUACUUUUCCAAACUCUUUUGCCCUUGUUUUGGACUAUAAUUUGCAUGAUUUGAAUGGAACUAACCUGGACUGACACUGUUUUCAACAGAAUUGCCUUGGUGUUAUUUUUGUGCAGAAAUCAAUGUUCUCCAAACGUCCUGAAAAUUUACGGGGAGCAGUUUUGGAAAAUAUCAAAAAUAUCUGCGCCAAGUUCCACCUCAGGGGGUGGGCCAGUGGGCCACAAGCCCCUGCUCCGCCACCACCCCCCUGGUGGCGUGGUGCAGGCUUGUGGGGACCACAGGGCUCUGCCGCCCCCAAUCUCAGGUCUAUAAGAUCCCUUUCGUCCCAGAAAAAAAUAAAAAGAGAUGUUUUCGUCGCGUUUUCGUCACGGAGGCGCCGCUACCACCUGUUCUUCAUCUGGAGGGCAGAUCUGGAGUCCGUCUUGGGCUCCGGAGAGGGGAAAUCGUCGCCAUCAUCAUCAUCAACCUUCUUCCCUCUCCAAUUCCAUGAAGCUCUUUGUAGUUCGUGAGUAAUCUCUUCGUAGGCUCGCUGGGCGGUGAUGAGUAGGAUGAGAUCUAUCAUGUAAUCGAGUUAGUUUUGACGGGAAUUGAUCCCUAGUAUCCACUAUGUUCUGAGAUUGAUGUUGCGACUACUUUGCCAUGCUUAAUACUUGUCACUAGGGCCAGAGUGCCAUGAUUUCAGAUCUGAAAUUAUUAUGUUGUCACCAAUAUAUGUGUGUUUUAGAUCCGAUCUUGCAAGUUGUAGUUACCUACUAUGUGUUAUGAUCCGGCAACCCCGGAGUGGCAAUAACCGGAACCACUCCCGGUGAUGACCAUAGUUUGAGGAGUUCAUGUGUUCACCAAGUGCUAAUGCGUUGGUCCGGUUCUUUAUUAAAAGGAGAACCUUAAUAUCCCGUAGUUUCCUUUUGGACCCCGCUGCCACGGGAGGGAUGGACAAUAGAUGUCAUGCAAGUUCUUUUCCCUAAGCACAUAUGACGACACACGGAAUGCAUGCCUACAUCACAUUGACGAACGGGAGCUAGCCACAUAUCUCUCCGUGUUAUAACUGUUGCAUGAUGAAUAUCAUCCAAACAAAUCACCGACCCAUUGCCUACGAGUUUGUCCUACUGCUGCUGUUACUUGUCUUGCUCUACUGCUGUUACUUGUCUUGCUCUGCUGCAAGUGCUGUUACUUGUCUUGCUCUGCUGCUCUUACUUGUCUUGCUCUGCUGCUACUGUUGUUACUUGUCUUACUCUGCUGCUACUGUUGCUACUACUGUCGCUUGCUACUGUUGCUACUUGCUACUGCUGUCACUACUGUUGUUCCUUGCCGCUGCUAUUACUCGUUACACUAUUGCUACCUGCUACAAUCUUGAUUCGCUCGACAUUGACGGGAAUAGACAAUUUCCGUCAACGGGCAACUUGGCGCCAUUGAUACAAUCGUUAGGAAUAGUCUGCCGUCAACAGAUCGUUUUUGACACCGUUGUUAUCAUACUACUUUGCUGUUACUACUUUGCUUGCAGAUACUAAUUUUCAGGUGUGGUUGAAUCUGACACAUUCAGCUGCUAAUACUUGAGAGUAUCCUCUCACCUCCUAUAGGCGUACCAACAAAUUUGGGUCGAAUACUCUACCCUCGAAAACUGCUGCGAUCCCACGCGUUGGUGGGCCGUCAACAACAUUCCUCUAGUUUCAAUUGCCAGAGAGUGCUAGCAUCAUUCUUCUGGUGUCGUUGCAGGGGAAGAUCUGCUGUCAUGGAAUCAAAUAUUAAACGGAGUCCAAACGGAAUAAAACCUCCGAAAAGAUUUUUUCCAGAACAGAAGAUACGCACAAUGCUUGAGAACCAAGGCAGAGAGCACGAGGGGAGGCCACAAGCCCCCUAGGCGCGGCCAGGGAGCCCACGCCUAGCAGGCUUGUGGGCCCCCUGGGGCUCCUCUGCCCUACUUCUUCCGCCUAUAAAUCCCCGAAAAAUCUAAAACCACGGGAGAGAUCCACGAAAAUACUUUUCCGUCGCCGCAACCUUCUGUCUCCGCAAUAUCCCAUCUGGGGCACGUUUUGGUGCCCUGCUGGAGGGGGAUUCGGAUACGGAGGGCUUCUUCAUCAACACCAUUGCCUCUCCGAUGACGCGUGAGUAGUUCACCAUAGACCUCGUGCAGAUACUAAUCUUUCAGGUGUGGUUGAAUCUGACACAUUCAGCUGCUAAUACUUGAGAGUAUUCUCUCACCUCCUAUAGGCGUACCAACAAAUUUGGGUCGAAUACUCUACCCUCGAAAACUGCUGCGAUCCCACACGCUGGUGGGCCGUUGCUACUGCAACAAAAGACCUUCCAACGGCGCCAGAAAUAGGAGUGUUGACGGGAGAUCUUGUCUUGAUACUCCUCAGCAACGGCACCAGGAAUCCUUCUGCUACGGCUACACCUUAAGGGACUUCCUAGGCAAAUAUGCAAAGGAUUUCCCCCGUGGCCUUGGAGCCUUGCGUUGGUGUUCCCUCGAAGUGGAAAGGGUGAUGUAGCGCAGCGGUGGUAAGUAUUUCCCUCAGUUUGAGAACAAAGGUAUCGAUCCAGUGAAGGAGUAUCUCAAGUGCCUGCAUAAACACAAAAAGCUUGCUCCCAAUGCUAUGAAGGGGUUGUCAAUCCCUUAUAGAUUGUUCGCCAAGUGAGAACUGAAAGCAACAAAGUAACAAAGCAAAGUAAAAGCGAAAGUGGAAACGAUAGGUGUGAAUAGACCCGGGGGCCGUAGUGUUUACUAGUGGCUUCUCUCAUGAAAGCAAGUAGACGGUGGGUGAACAAAUUACUGUCGAGCAAUUGAUAGAACCGCGCAAAGUCGUGACAUCAUCUAUGGCAAUGAUUGUAUCUAUAGGCAUCACGUCCAAAACAAGUAGACCGAUACUUUCUGCAUCUAGUACUAUUACUCCACACGUCGACCGCUAUCCAGCAUGCAUCUAGUGUAUUAAGUCCAAAAGAACAGAGUAACGCCUUAAGAAAGAUGACAUGAUGUAGAUGGACAAUCUCAUAUCUACGACAAAGCCCACCUUGUUACCCUACUGUCACUGGGAAAGGUCACCACACGGUAAGAACACAAAACCAAGCACUUCUCCCAUUGCAAGAAUCAUAGAUCUAGUUGGCCAAACAAAACCCAAGACUCGGAGAGACUUACAAGGAUAUCAAAUCGUGCAUAUAAGAAAUCAGCAAAGACUCAAAUAUAUAUCAUAGAUAAUCUGAUCACAAAUCCACAAUUCAUCGGAUCUCGACAAACACACCGCCAAAGAGGAUUACAUCAGAUAGAUCUCCAUGAAGAUCAUGGAGAACUUUGUAUUGAAGAUCCAAGAGAGAGAGAAGAAGCCAUCUAGCUACUAACUACGGACCCGUAGGUCUGAAGUGAACUACUCACGAGUUAUUGGAGGGGCGAUGAUGUUGAUGUAGAAGCCCUCCAACUCCAAAGUCCCCUCCGGCAGGGCACCGGGAAGGGUCUCCAGAUGAGAUAUCGCGGAAACGGAAGCUUGCGACGGCGGAAAAGUAUUUUCGUGGAUCCCUUGAUUUUUUUUCUGUAUUUUCGGGAAUAUAUAGGCGAAGGAUCUAGGCCAGGGGGGCGCCAGGGAGGCCACAAGCCUGCCCACCGCCGCCCCCUGGUCGCGGAUGGGGGGCUUGUGGGCUCCCUGUAGCCCUCCUGGCUUGGCCCACAAGCCCCCUGAGCUUCUUCCGUUCGGGAAAAAUUUAAUUCGGGGAUUUUAUUCCGUUUGGACUCCGUUCCAAAAUCAGAUAUGAAAAGAGCCAAAAACACAGAGAAAACUGGAACUGGCACUUGGCACUGAAUUAAUAAGUUAGUCCCAAAAAAGAUAUAAAAGGUACAUAAAACAUCCAAGGAUGACAAGAUAACAACAUGAAACCAUAAAAAAUUAUAGAUACAUUUGAGACGUAUCAAGCAUCCCCAAGCUUAACUCCUGCUCGUCCUCGAGUAGGGAAGUGAUAAAGAAUGAAUUUUUGAUGCUUUCAUGCUACCUAGGAUAGAUGUCCUUUGUAACUCCUCUUAUGUGACGUGAAUGUUCAGAUCCAUAAGAUUCGAAACAAUAGUUUGCUAUUGACGUGGAAACAAUAAUAAUUCAAGAAAACUAGCAAGGUAAUCAUGAACUUUCAAAAUAACAAGGCCAAAAGAAAGUUAUCCCUACAAAAGCAUAUAGUCUGGCUAUGCUCUAUCAUCAUUGCACAAGGAAUUUAAAUCAUGCACAACCCCGGUAUUGGCCAAGUAAUUGUUUCACACCUUUACUUUCUCAAACCUUUUCAAAUCUCAUGCAAUACAUGAGCGUGAGCCAUGGUUUUAGCACUAUAAGUGGUGUGGAGUGUGGUGGAGGUUGCAAGACAAAAUAAGGAGAAGAUGAUCACAUUAACUAGGCAUAUCAAUGAGCUGUGGAGAUGCUCAUCAAUAGAUAUCAAUGUGAGUGAGUAGGGAUUGCCAUACAAAUGAUGCACUAGAGCUAAGAGUAUGUGAAAGCUCUUAAAGAAAACUAGUGGGUGUGCAUCCAACUUGCUUGCUCACGAAGACCUAAGGCAAUUUUGAGGAAGCCUAUAAUUGGAAUAUACAAGCCAAGUUAUAUAAUGAAAAUUUCCCACUAGAUAUAUGGUGGUGACAAAACGAGAGACUCUCAAUCAUGAAGAUCAUGGUGCUUAAUAUGCACAAGUGUGGAAAGGUGGUAGCAUUGUCCCUUCUCUCUUUUUCUCUCAUUUUUUUGGUGGGCUCUUUGGCCUCUUUAUUUUAUUUUAUUUUUAUUUUGGUGGGCAUAUUUGGCCUCUUUUAUUUCCUCAAAUGGGACAAUGCUCCAUCAAUGAUGAUCAUCACACUUUCAACUCAAAACUUAGAGCAACGAUGACUCUAUAUGGAAUGCUUCGGUAGUGUACCGUGACAAUGAUCUAGCAUGGCAUAGACAUUAAUGGAAACAUCAUGCUAGCUACCUUACGAUCAUGCAAUGGCAAUGUAGACGUGGUGGCACAUGUCAUGGUGGUAGUUGCAUUGCAAUAUAUCUCGGAAUGACUUUAAAAAAGCCAUAAUAGGUAGGUAUGGUGGCUGUUUUGAGGGAGGCUAAAGGUGGGUUUUGUGCACCGGCGAAAGUUGCACGGCACUAAGAAGAUAGUGAUGGUGGAAGGUGAAAGUGCAUCUAAACCACGGACUCAACAUUAGUCAUGAAGAACUCAUAUACUUGUUGCAGAAGUUUUAUUAGUAAUCAAAACAAAGCAUUCAACGCAUACUCCUAGGGGAAGGGUUGGUAGGUAUAAACCAUCGCGCGAUCUCGACCGCCACACAAAGGAUGACAAUCAAUAGACUAAUCAUGCCAGACUUCAUCACAUAGCGGUUCACCAUACGUGCAUGCUACGGGAAUCACUAACUUCAACACAAUUAUUUCUAAAUUCACAACACCUUACUAGCAUGACUUCAAUAUUACCAAGACCACAACUCAAAACUAAUUGAGAUGAAUCAAACUUCUCUAACUAUUCAAUGCACAUGAAGGUGGAAGUUUUCGUAUCCCUUUGGAUAACAACCCCUUUUGAGACUACUUUCAAAGCAUAGAUCAACUACCAAGCCACGCACCACUGUGCUCUAAAAGAUAAAAGUGAAGCACAUAGAGCAAAAGUAUCUAGCUCAAAAGAUAUAAGUGAAGCACAUGUGAGCAGAAUUGUCUACCAAAAGAUAUAAGUCAGGCUCGACAAAAUCACGGUGAGUGCAUGUCUCUCCCUCUAGGUGUGCAGAAAGGAUGAUUGUGACACAACAAAAAAAUAAAAGACUCCUACGAUACAAGACACUCCAAGCAAAAACACAUAACAUGUGGUGAAUAAAAAUAUAGCCCCAAGUAACGUUACCGAUGGAUUGAAGACGAGAGAGGGGAUGCCUUCCCGGGGCAUCCCCAAGCUUAGGCUUUUACGGCAUCCUUGAAUCUAUUUGGGUGCCUUGGGCAUCCCCAAGCUUGAGCUCUUGCCACUCUUUAUCUCUUUGUCCAUCAGAACUUCACCCAAAACUUGAAAACUUCACAACACGAAACUUAAACAGAAACUCGUGAUAACAUUAGUAUGAGAAAGCAAACCACCACUUCCUUAGGUACUGUAGCAAACUUAAAUUCUACUUAUGCUGAUGUUGGGUUACUGUAUUUUCAAUCUUCCAUGGCUAAUACCCCCCCCCCCCGAUACUAUCCAUAGUUUCAUCAAAAUAAGCAACCAACACAACAAAAAACAGAAUCUGUUAACAGCAGACCAGUCUGUAGCAAUCUGUAUAUUUCGUAUACUUCAGUUACUUCAAAACUUCUGAAAAAUUACGACCGGCUAAAGAAUUUGCGUAAAUCAUAAGCAAAAAGAAUCAACUCAAAAGCUCGUACAGAAACAAAAUGAAAAUUCUUUUCGUGAGCAGAAAGUUCCUGUCUUUUCCAGCAUGACCAAACGAUCAUCCCUAAGACUAAUCAUAACGGUUUUGCUUGUCACAAACGCAAAAAGAAACACAAAAAACACAAUCAUAACAGAAUUAUGAAAGUGUGGAAAAGACAAAACAGAAAGAAAAAGGAUAGAUUCGUUGGGUUGCCUCCCAACAAGCGCUAUUGUUUAACGCCCUUAGCUAGGCAUUGAUAAAUCAAUGAUGCUCUCACAAAAGACAAGAAUAGAAGCAGAACGAGAGCAUCAUAAAGCAUGUGAAAAUCACAUCAAAGUCUAACAUACUUCCUAUGCAUAGGCAUUUUAUAGGAGAACAAAUUGGCAAGACAACCAAUAGUUACCAAAUGCAAGGAAGAAGAAAGAGACAAGAGCAAUCUCAACAUCACGAGAGGUGAUUUGGUAACAUGAAGGUUUCUACCACAAUAUUUUCCUCUCUCAUAGCAAUUACACGUGGGAUCAUAUUCAAAUUCAACAAUAUAGUUAUCCCAUAGGAUAUUCUUUUCAUGAUCCACAUGCAUGCAAAGUUGAUGCUCUUCAACAANNNNNNNNNNNNNNNNNGAUCCACAUGCAUGCAAAGUUGAAGCUCUUCAAAAAUAGUGGGAUUAUCAUCAACUAAAGUCAUGACUUCUCCAAUCCCACUUUUAAUAUUGUUACAAAUAUCAUAUUCAUCAUGAGGUUUGAACAAAUUUUCUAGAUCAUAAGAAAGAUCAUCACCCCAAUAAUGAUUAUUGCACCAAGUAGUGGACAUAGCAAAACUAGCAUCCCCAAGCUAAGGGUUUUGCAUAUUUUUAGCAUAAUUGCCACUAAUAGAAUUUAUAGUGAAACCAUUGCAAUCAUGCUUUUCAUCCAAGGAGCCCUCGUGAAUCACUUCAUAAAUUUCUUCCUCGCAAUUUUCAGAUUCAUGCAUCUCAAGCAAAACUCCAUAAAAAUAGUCAAGUGCCCUCAACUUACUAGCAAUUGGAUCAACAUAAUUGGAUCUCUUAAAGAGAUUAGCAAGUGGGUGAGGAUCCAUAUCACUAGAUUUUCAGCAAGCGAAGAUGCAAGCAUAAUGAAGGCACAUGGAACACAAGCGAACAGAAAGCAAGCGAGAGAAAAGGGUGAACGAAAAGGCAAACGAAAAAGGCAAAGGAGAAAGGCAAAUGAAAGCGGCAAAUGUGAAGUGGGGGAGAGGAAAACGAGAGGCAACUUGCAAAAAAGGUAAAUGCAAGAGAUGAGUUUGUGAGACCUACUUGGAUAGAUCUCUCCUUCCCCGGCAACGGCGCCAGAAAUACUUCUGCUACUGCAACAAAAGACCUUCCAACGGCGCCAGAAAUAGGAGUGUUGAUGGGAGAUCUUGUCUUGAUACUCCUCAGCGACGGCACCAGGAAUCCUUCUGCUACGGCUACGCCUUAAGGGACUUCCUAGGCAAAUAUGCAAUGGAUUUCCCCCGUGGCCUUGGAGCUUUGCAUUGGUGUUCCCUCGAAGCGUAAAGGGUGAUGUAGCGCAGCGGUGGUAAGUAUUUCCCUCAGUUUGAGAACCAACGUAUCGAUCCAGUGAAGGAGUAUCUCAAGUGCCUGCACAAACAUAAAAAGCUUGCUCCCAACGCUAUGAAGGGGUUGUCAAUCCCUUAUAGAUUGUUCGCCAAGUGAGAACUGAAAGCAAAAAAGUAACAAAGCAAAGUAAAAGCGAAGGUGGAACGAUAUGUGUGAAUAGACCCGGGGGCCGUAGUGUUUACUAGUGGAUUCUCUCAUGAAAGCAAGUAGACGGUGGGUGAACAAAUUACUGUCGAGCAAUUGAUAUAACCGCGCAAAGUCGUGGCGUCAUCUAUGGCAAUGAUUAUAUCUAUAGGCAUCAUGUCCAAAACAAGUAGACCAAUACUUUCUGCAUCUACUACUAUUACUCCACACGUCGACCGCUAUCCAGCAUGCAUCUAGUGUAUUAAGUCCAAAAGAACAGAGUAACGCCUUAAGCAAGAUGACAUGAUGUAGAUGGACAAUAUCAUAUCUACGACAAAGCCCACCUUGUUACCCUUGAUGGCAACUACACAAUGUGUGCCUUGUUGCCCCUACUGUCACUAGGAAAGGUCACCACACAGUAAGAACCCAAAACCAAGCACUUCUCCAAUUGCAAGAAUCAUAGAUCUAGUUGGCCAAACAAAACCCAAGACUCGGAGAAACUUACAAGGAUAUCAAAUCAUGCAUAUAAGAAAUCAGCAAAGACUCAAAUAUAUAUCAUAGAUAAUCUGAUCACAAAUCCACAAUUCAUCAGAUCUUGACAAACACACCGCCAAAGAGGAUUACAUCGGAUAGAUCUCCAUGAAGAUCAUGGAGAACUUUGUAUUGAAGAUCCAAGAGAGAGAGAGACGAAGCCAUCUAGCUACUAACUACGGACCCGUAGGUCUGAAGUGAACUACUCACGAGUCAUUGGAGGGGCGAUGAUGUUGAUGUAGAAGCCCUCCAACUCCAAAGUCCCCUCCGGCAGGGCACCGAGAAGGGUCUCCAGAUGAGAUCUUACGGAAACGGAAGCUUGCGGCGUCGGAAAAUUAUUUUCGUGGAUCCUUGAUUUUUUUCUGUAUUUUAGGGAAUAUAUAGGCGAAGGAUCUAGGUCAGGGGGCGCCAGGGAGGCCAGAAGCCUGCCCACCGCCGCCCCCUUGGUGGCGGAUGGGGGGCUUGUGGGCUCCCUGUAGCCCUCCUGGCUUGGCCCACAAGCCCCCUGAGCUUCUUCCGUUCGGGAAAAAUUUAAUUCGGGGAUUUUAUUCCGUUUGGACUCCGUUCCAAAAUCAGAUAUGAAAAGAGCCUCUUCUUCCGUUCGGGAAAAUUUUAAUUCAGGGAUUUUAUUCCGUUUGGAAUCCGUUCCAAAAUCAGAUCUGAAAAGAGCCAAAAACUAAGAAAAAACAGGAACUGGCACUUGGCACUGAAUUAAUAAGUUAGUCCCAAAAAAGAUAUAAAAGGUACAUAAAGCAUCCAAGGAUGACAAGAUAAUAGCAUGAAACCAUCAAAAAUUAUAGAUACGUUCGAGACGUAUCAGCCGUCAACAACAUUCUUCUAGUUUCGGUUGCCACAGAGUGCUAGCAGCAUUCUUUUGGUGCCGUUGCAGGGGAAGGUCUGCUGUCACGGAAUCAGCAUUUUUCUGGCGCCGUUGCUGGGGAGGUCUUGCUAUAUUCUCUGAGUUACUUGGGAUUUAUAUCUCCUGAUCACUAUGAAGAAUCUGAAGGAUCCGAAAACCAAAGUCUUGCCCUCAACUAUGAGGGGACGUAAGGAACAGCCAUCUAGCUCUGCACUUGAUUCACCUUCAGUUAUGAGUAAGUUUGCGACAUCACCUCGUGCUAGAAAUCAUGAUAUGUCGCCUGUGCUUGAUGAUGCUUAUGAUGCUUGAGUUGCUAUGCCUGAUACUGCUAGAGAUGCUAUGCUUGAUACUAUGCCUGAUGAUGUUAUGCUUGAUACCGCUAGAGAUGCUAUGCGUGAUACUGCUUUGCUUGAUGGUGCUAGAGAUGCUAUGCCUGAUACUGCUAGAGAUGCUAUGCCUGAUGAUACAAUGCUUGAUACUCCUAGAGAUGCUACUUUUCCUGAUAUGCCACUAGGGGUAUUCCUUGAUGCUCAUAUUGCUAGAGUUACUGCCAAUGCUCGUGAUGCUUCUGAAACUGCCGAUACUAUUGAGUUAGAACAUGCUUUUGCUCCUGUUAGAUCUAGCUCUCCUAGAUAUGAAUUGCCUGAUAUACCUGAGGGUUAUGUUAUGGAGGGACAGAUAGCUGAGGAUUUUCUUGCGUGUAAGGAUGCCUAUGACGCUGAGAAAUUACUUCUCAAGUGGAAGGAAAAAUCUCUGAAAGCUAGGAUGAAAUACGACCCGAAGUUUGCCACUUCACCUAUCUUUAUCACCGAUAAGGAUNNNNNNNNNNNNNNNNNNNNNNNNNNNNNNNNNNNNNNNNNNNNNNNNNNNNNNNNNNNNNNNNNNNNNNNNNNNNNNNNNNNNNNNNNNNNNNNNNNNNUAUAUAUAUAUAUAUUUGACAUCACAUUUAUAUAAUUCACCACACAUAUAUGAUAUAUAGUUCACCACACAUAUACUUGCCAACACAUAUAUAUAAUUCACCACACAUAUAUGAUAUACAUAUAAAUCAAUGUACAUCCCCAUAUAUCGAAAGAAUCAACAUACAAAGUAUUGCACUGUUUAUCCAUAUAUACAUAUACAUAUAGUUCGACAUUGUUCAUCAACUCAAAUGAAAACUAGAUGAUAUACAUAUAAAGUUCAUCCAUCAACAUUGUUCAACUCCAUGAAUGCCAGCUUCCAUGCAUGUAGUAUAUCCAAUCUGCAAAAAUGUGAAUAAGAAAGUCAGAAGAAAAACAAAAUAUGAUGUUUUUCAGCUAAUUAUGUCAUUUUUAGCGGAAAACAAGCUAAGAAUAUAAUAUUCAUGAGCUAACCAAGGUUCUUAUGCCAUUUUUAGCUUAUUAUAGCAUUUUGGAGCUAAAUGGGUUAAUUAAAGCAAGGAUAAUAUGAAAGAGGAUAAGAAAGAGGAGGAGGAGGAGAAGAAGAAGAAAUCAAGAAGAAGGAGGAGAAGGAGGAUAAGGACUAGAAGGUCCUUGGCCUUCUCCUCCUCCUCCUCCUUCUCCUUCUUCUCUUCUUCUUCUUCUUCUUCUUCUUCUUUCUUUUCAUUUUGCCUAUUUCUUCUCCUCUUCUCCUCUUGUUGGAGCUAAAUUACCUAAUUAUGUCUUUUUGGAGCUAAAUGGGUUAAUUAUCCCAUUUUAGAGGAAAACAAGCUAAGUAUAUAAUAUUCAUGAGCUAACCAAGGUUCUUAUGCCAUUUUGAGCUUAUUAUGGUAUUUUGGAGCUAAAUGGGCUAAUUAUGUCAUUGUUGGGGAAAUUAAAGCAAGGAUAAUAUGAAAGAGGAGAAGAAAGAGGAGGAGGAGGAGAAGAAGAAUAAAUCAAGAAGAAGGAGGAGAAGGAGGAGGAGGAGAAGGAAUAGAAGGUCCUUGGCCUUCUCCUUCUCCUCCUCCUCCUCCUCCUUCUCCUUCUUCUCUUCUUCUUCUUCUUCUUCUUCUUCUUCUUCUUUCUUUUCAUUUUUCCUAUUUCUUUUCCUCUUCUCCUCUUGUUGGAGCUAAAUUACCUAAUUAUGUCUUUUUCGAGCUAAAUGGGUUAAUUAUCCCAUUUUAGAGGAAAACAAGCUAAGUAUAUAAUAUUCAUGAUCUAACCAAGGUUCUUAUGCUAUUUUGAGCAUAUUAUGGUAUUUUGGAGCUAAAUGGGCUAACUAUGUCAUUGUUGGGGAAAUUAAAGCAAGGAUAAUAUGAAAGAGGAGAAGAAAGAGGAGGAGGAGGAGAAGAAGAAGAAAUCAAGAAGAAGGAGGAGAAGGAGGAGGAGGAGAAGGACUAGAAGGUCCUUGGCCUUCUCCUUCUCCUCCUCCUCCUCCUCCUUCUCCUUCUCUUCUUCUGCUUCUUCUUCUUCUUUCUUUUCAUUUUUCCUAUUUCUUAUCCUCUUAUCCUCUUGUUGGAGCUAAAUUACCUAAUUAUGUCUUUUUGGAGCGAAAUGGGCUAAUUAUCCCAUUUUAGAGGAAAACAAGCUAAGUAUAUAAUAUUCAUGAGGUAACCAAGGUUCUUAUGCCAUUUUGAGAUUAUUAUGGUAUUUUGGAGCUAAAUGGGCUAAUUAUGUCAUUGUUGGGGAAAUUAAAGCAAGGAUAAUAUGAAAGAGGAGAAGAAAGAGGAGGAGGAGGAGAAGAAGAAUAAAUCAAGAAGAAGGAGGAGAAGGAGGAGGAGGAGAAGGAAUAGAAGGUCCUUGGCCUUCUCCUUCUCCUCCUCCUCCUCCUCCUUCUCCUUCUUCUCUUCUUCUUCUUCUUCUUCUUUCUUUUCAUUUUUCCUAUUUCUUCCCCUCUUCUCCUCUUGUUGGAGCUAAAUUACCUAAUUAUGUGUUUUUGGAGAUAAAUGGGCUAAUUAUCCCAUUUUAGAGGAAAACAAGCUAAGUAUAUAAUAUUCAUGAGCUAACCAAGGUUCUUAUGCCAUUUUGAGCUUAUUAUGGCAUUUUGGAGCUAAAUGGGCUAAUUAUGUCAUUGUUGGGGAAAUUAAAGCAAGGAUAAUAUGAAAGAGGAUAAGAAAGAGGAGGAGGAGGAGAAGAAGAAGAAAUCAAGAAGGAGGAGGAGGAGGAGGAGGAGGAGGAGGAGGAGGAGGAGGAGAAGGAGGAGAAGGCCAAGGACCUUCUAGUCCUUCUCCUCCUCCUCCUUCUGCUCCUUCUUCUUGAUUUCUUCUUCUUAUACUUCCUCCUCCUCCUUCUCCUUCUUCUCUUCUUCUUCUUCUUCUUCUUCUUCUUCUUUCUUCUCAUUUUUCCUAUUUCUUCUCCUCUUCUCCUCUUGUUGGAGCUAAAUUACCUAACUAUGUCUUUUUGGAGCUAAAUGGGCUAAUUAUCCCAUUUGAGAGGAAAACAAGCUAAGUAUAUAAUAUUCAUGAGCUAACCAAGGUUCUUAUGCCAUUUUGAGCUUAUUAUGGCAUUUUGGAGCUAAAUGGGCUAAUUAUGUCAUUGUUGGGGAAAUUAAAGCAAGGAUAAUAUGAAAGAGGAUAAGAAAGAGGAGGAGGAGGAGAAGAAGAAGAAAUCAAGAAGAAGGAGGAGAAGGAGGAUAAGGACUAGAAGGUCCUUGGCCUUCUCCUCCUUCUACUCCUCCUCCUCCUCCUUCUCCUCCUUCUCCUUCUUGUCUUAUUCUUCUUCUUCUUUCUUUUCAUUUUUCCUAUUUAUUCUCCUCUUCUUGGAGCUAAAUUACCUAAUUAUGUCUUUUUGGAGCUAAAUGGGCUAAUUAUCUCAUUUUAGAGGGAAACAAGCUAAGUAUAUAAUAUUCAUGAGCUAACCAAGGUUCUUAUGCCAUUUUGAGGUUAUUAUGGAGAAGAAAGAGGAGGAGGAGAAGAAUAAGAAAUCAAGAAUAAGGAGGAGAAGGAGGAGAAGGCGGAGGACGAGAAGGACUAGAAGGUCCUUGACCUUCUCCUCCUCCUCCUCCUCCUUCUCCUUCUUCUCUUCUUCUUCUUCUUCUUUCUUGUCAUUUUUCCUAUUUCUUCUCCUCUUCUCCUCUUCACCUCUUCUUGGAGCUAAAUUUCCUAAUUAUGUCUUUUUGGAGCUAAAUGGGCUAAUUAUCUCAUUUUAGACGAAAACAAGCUAAGUAUAUAAUAUUCAUGAGCUAACCAAGGUUCUUAUGCCAUUUUGAGCUUAUUAUGGCAUUUUGGAGCUAAAUGGGCUAAUUAUGUCUUUUUGGGGAAAUUAAAGCAAGGAUAAUAUAAAAGAGGAGAAGAAAGAGGAGGAGGAGGAUAAGAAGAAGAAAUCAAGAAGAAGGAGCAGAAGGAGGAGGAGGAGAAGGACUAGAAGGUCCUUGGCCUUCUCCUCCUUCUCCUCCUCCUCCUCCUCCUCCUCCUCCUUCUCCUUCUUCUCUUCUCCUUCUUCUUCUUUCUUUUCAUUUUUCCUAUUUCUUCUCCUCUUCUCCUCUUCUUGGAGCUAAAUUACCUAAUUAUGUCCUUUUGGAGCUAAAUGGGCUAAAUAUCUCAUUUUAGAGGAAAACAAGCUAAGUAUAUAAUAUUCAUGAGCUAACCAAGGUUCUUUUGCCAUUUUGAGGUUAUUAUGGAAUUUUGGAGCUAAAUGGGCUAAUUAUGUCUUUUUGGGAAAUUAAAGCAAGGAUAAUAUGAAAGAGGAGAAGAGAAACUUACUGUAGUGGUCAUCAAGGAGGAGAAACACCACGGUUGCUCGCGGCGGCUUCGUUUGGAGACGGUUGCCUUGGAGAAGGGUCGUGCGAUGCCGCUCGGGACUUAUUCUGCAGAAAAGAUAUUUUUGCAAUGUCUCAGUUAGCAUGAUGACACUCAAUUAUUAAUACUAGUUUAUAAUUAAACUCACCGUGCCAAUCAAAGAGAAGACGGGCAUCGGGGGUGGGACUUGACCGCUCUNNNNNNNNNNNNNNNNNNNNNNNNNNNNNNNNNNNNNNNNNNNNNNNNNNNNNCUUCUCGCACAGACCCUCAAGAGUGGGUCGUAUUAGUUAGUAAUGAAACAGACAUUACACACAUGGUUUGGCUAAUGUGAAAAAAAACCACAAAAAGCUCGUACAGGGCCCGUUGACCCGCCUCAUUCCGGGCCCUCUCCUCCUCAAUCAAUCGUGUCGUGGUCUGGUCCCUCUCAUCAAGAGCAGCCUGAAGAGCAGCCUGGCUUGCCAAUCUCUCUUUCUCAAGAGCAGCCUGGUUUGCCGCUCUCUCUUUCUGAAGAGAAGCCUGAAAAACCAUUCUUCGUUACCACACUAAUGAUCUAUGGUGACACACAUAAUGAAAUGGAUGAAAGUGUUCUUAGUCCGUACAACUAACCUUGAUGGCAAGUUCGACUGGCUGUGGACAACGCGUUAUCUCAGGACAGCUGCUCGACUGGCGCGGCUUGAUCUUCGGAAGAGUGAGUGGACAAUGUAUUAUCCCAUCUCCAAUGGCUAUCGAGCCAUGGGGCCUCCCGCCACCAGAUAUCAUCACCAGCUCUGGAUCCAAAGGUUCCUGGCUAGGGUUAAAGUCAUCCCCUUUCGUAGCCUUCCCCGCGUCCCAGUAUGCCACGAGCUUCUGGUGGGAUGAUAUGUUGGUGAAGUUAUUGGGAUCAUCUAGGUCAGACUCAGAGAAUGCCUUCGCCUUCUUGUACGAGGCAGUAUGGGCCAUGCCAUAAAGGUCAUACAAGUGUGGCAUCUCCGUCUUAUUGUGAUGCGCCUAAAAGAGAGGAACAAAAUAUUAGCAUCAAGAAUGAACUGCAUAAAUCAUGAAGCAAAUCACAUACCCAAUUUCAUCCAAACUGAAGUAAGUUGGCGCUGCCUUGAUGAUGUGGCACACCAACCAUUUGGCUAUGCCGAUCCUUCGCAUUCUCGUGGACGGCUCGCCAGCUGCCUGUGCACAACUCAUCAACCAAUGCCUCCCAACAAUCCAUCUUAUCCGCACACCAUCUCGGGGGCACCUAUAAUUAUUAGAAAGAAUUUUCAGCGCUACGCCUAUGAAUGAAAUCAAGAAAACUACGUAUAAGGACUUAAGAAUAGGUAAUUACCUUCAUGUAUUGCUCCUUCUUCAGAAACUUUCCGCGACAAUCCUUCUUCUGCUUCUUAAUACCACGCGUGGCGUAGUAAUCUCGAAUAGCCUGUGGCCGAGCCUCGUGGCGCAAGUUCUGUAGUAACCGCCUACACUCAGCCUCGAGAACCUUGGCCUCCUCGUCCUCAUAUCCAUCCUCACACCUAUAGAAGGUCUGCAAUCAAACAUGAAAACACCGAUUAGUACAAUAAUUAGCUAUAUUGUUAAUUUUAGAUUCUGUAAAAGGAUAAUUUACCCAAAAGCUCUUGAUCACCAUCUCGGCCCUCGUGUGGCACAAGACACCAUGUAUAAUCUCCUCCGACGGGGCCUGCGCAGCCUGGUAGUGCUCCCAGGAAAAUCCUAGUGUAGGAACCUAACCCUCACCAGGCAAUGUGACAAACCCCGGGAAAUUUGUCCGGCAAAGCACACCAAGGACGGAGUUCGGCAUGCGGACUCAAGAGGGUGUACCCAUCCCCUGCAGCAUGAUAAGGUCAACGCAUUAGAGAUUUGAACAAACUUGAAGGCAAAAGCUAAAAAAAGAGUAAAUGUACUUACCUAUCUCCUUCAGGUUUAAUCAACGGCCUCUUCUCGCGGGUAGCCGGCGCGACCGGGAGACGUGUACUACCACGCUUGUACACGGUGGCCCCAUCCACCUGCACAUCGCCCUCACUAUCCGUAAGCUCAUCCCCGCCAUCCCCGCCCCCUGAGCCACCCGGACCCUCGGUCCAAUCCGGCAACUCGGUACGAUCCGGCCAGGUCUCCCAUCCGGGCCUCUCCACGUCGGGUGAAGCCUCCGGAACCGUAAUCUCCUCCGACUGCUCCUGGGCCGAAUGCACCUCAACCCGAGGCUUCUCCUAGAUCGGAGUCUCAUGGGACGAAUGCCCGUCAACAACAGGCUCCUGGAACGGAGUCCCCGUAGCCUCCUCCGCAAACGGGUCGACCAUACUAGUCCUAUGCUCGGGUGAAUGAGCUGGUGGCGGUGGCGAGGACGGCUCAAUAGUCCUCCUGGAUCUUCCGCGGCCACCACCUCUCCCUGUACCCUUCCCCUUCUUCCCUACCCGACCAGCACCUCUCCUAGUGGGCAAUGCCGCUGACGAAGAAGAACCCACGGGUGGUGUCGACAGACUGCCUGCCAAGGCUCUACGGAGAGAUAGGGGUGGAAGGGAAGUACCACCCCUCGUGCGGGGCGCGUGGGAAGAACCCGUCGAGCAAUCCGGACCUGCGCCCACCAUCUUUCCACACCUGGUGACCUGCCAUGAUAAAGAUUAAAAGAAAUUAGUACAACACAAAAAAAUUGAAUAACUGACAUGAAUAAUAAUAUGUACAUGAAUAAUAAAGAUUAAAAAAUAUAUAAUUUAAGUUGUGAAUCUUACAAAUUAAUAAUCAUCAUCAAUAAAUGCAUCAUCAUCAUCACUAUCACGCAUGUCUUCAUGAAUGACGUGCUCGUCGGGUUCAACCGCGUGAAGUUGUGAAAGGCCUUCCUUUAAUCGUUGAAGCAUUGACAAGUCAUCUGCAUCAGUAACCUUUACGAGUUCCAGGUCUUCUGGUUCUGGCUCAGGGCUGGAGUCGGAUUCAUUGUCGCUGUCUACUUCCAUGUUCUGGGGUGAAGCACGGCGGUUCUUGAAACGUUUCUUGGAAAGACGUGUUUCUUGGAAGAAUUCUCCAUCAUAUGUGUUUGGGUUAAUGUGAGGUUCAUAAUCCUGUUCAUUUGGGACAGGUGGUCUGACAUGUGGUGGCACUUCAUAAACAACAUACCAACCUUCCAGAUUCUUAUCCGUUUGGCAUGCCCACGGUAGAUAGAAAACUUGGGUCACCUGUUGAGCCGUAAUAUAGACAUUGGGAACAUCUAAAUGGGUGUUUGGAUUGAUUUCGACUAGUCCUAUAUGUUCAUGAGUCCUUCUAGUCUUUUUCGGCUCGAACCAAUAACAUUUGAAGACUACCACUUUCGGUAGGUUUUCACCAUAGAAUUGAAGUUCAUAAAUUGCUUCACUUCUUCCAUAAUACUCGAUAACACCUUCGCCGAUAGCAGAGGCACCACAAUUUGUAGAUUUCCGGUCGGGCAUAGAUAGCUCUUUGCCAAAGGUACGAAAGAGAUACCCAUUGAUGUUGUAUUUCUCAAAUGAACGGACCUUAUAGUCAAAACCAUUAGCGACUUGUCUCAAUUCGGCGUCCAUAGACUCUGAAUUAGCCUACAAGUUUAAUACGAAACGGUUGUUGCAUUAGCCGCAAGUUAGACCAAGAAUGAAAUGGUCCAUUAUUGAUAAUUACCGUUUGUUUGAACCAAGAGAUGAAACCGGGAUAGCCGCCUCCUGUCUUUGACAGAACCUCAUACUCUUUGACAGAAUCAUUUUCGAUCACCACUUCAUCCGAGAAUUUGACGAUGUAACGGCUGUUUGAAAUAUCCGGGAAUAAGAGCAGUUCAAAUGAAUUAGAAGUUAUGGGAAAAUGUGCCGAGAACUCACUCGAUGUACGGCCGCACUUCUGUUAGGUUGUUGAAGAUAUACAACGAAAUGUUCCGCCAUUCUUCGACAUCCAACGUUAUUGGUUUCGAAGCACCGGCUCGUGCGAGCUUCCCUUUGAAUAGGCUGAGGUUGGACCCACCUUUUUUAGAGUCUGCAUCAUUGUGCCGAGGCUUCGGAUUAUGCAAAUGACGAUUUUUGGCUUCGUAGUGUGUUGUCACAAAGUUUGACACCUCCUCAGUUAUGAAUGCCUCAGCCAUCGAUGCUUCAAUUCUAUGCUUAUUUUUACAUUUAGCUCGAAGGGUCUUCUGCAUCCUCUCAGUUGCAUAGCACCAACGAUCUUGCAUGGGCCCACCCAAUCUUGCCUCGGUCGGUAGAUGUAAAAUCAAAUUUUGCAUUGGAUUAAAGAAGCCCGGUGGAAAGAUCUUCUCUAACUUGCACAAAAACUCCGGUGCAAACUCCUACAUGUCUUCUACCACGCCAGGCGACAAUUCUUUCGCACAAAGAACACGGAAGAAAUAGCUCAGCUCCACCAGUACUAGCCAUUCAUCCUCAGGAAUAAAGCCACGUAACAUCACCGGCAUUACCCGCUCUAGCCAUAUGUGCCAAUCAUGACUCUUGAGACCAAAGAUUUUUAAUUUUUCAAGACUCGCUCCCCUCUUUAGAUUCGCUGCAUACCCAUCGGGGAACAUCAAGUGCAUUUUGACCCACAAGAUAAUUUCUCUCAUAGCUGGCCUUCCAAGAUUGAACCAGGCCUUUGGCUUCGACCACUUCUGCUUUCCUUUGCCUUCUCGCAUGUUUUGUAACGGUCUAUGACAUAGUGUCUAUUGAUCGACUCUAGCCUUAAUAUUAUCCUUUGUCUUCCCAUCUAUGUCGAACAAUGUACCAAAAAUAGCCUCUCCGAUAUUCUUUUCAGUGUGCAUCAUGUCGAUAUUGUGUGGAAGAAGGAGGUCUUUGAAGUAAGGCAGAUCCCAGAAGCAUGGCUUGUGAGUCCAGGCGUGUUUUGAAUUAUACCCCUUGAAAUACCCUGGACGCUCUGGAUCAGGCUCGAGGGCGUUUAACUGAUCCAGGAUCUGUUGGCCUGUGAACGCAAGUGGUGCCAAGUUUUUGGCAACUUUACCUUUCGUAAAGUUCUUCUUGUCUUUUCUGAACUGAUGGUCAGGAUCCAGGAACUGUCUAUGCAAGUCAAAGCAAGAAUACUUCCGACCUUCCUGCAACCAAUGAAACUGAAGAGCUGCCUUGCAUUGGGGGCACGGGAACCUUCCAUGCACACACCAUCCAGAGAAUAGUGCAUACGCUGGCAAGUCAUGCAUAGAGUACAUGUACCACACAUGCAUUUUGAAGUUUUCUUUUCUAGCGGCAUCGUAUGUCUUUACCCCAUUAUCCCAAGCUUCUUCCAAUUCAUACUUAAGCGGUUGCAGGUACACAUUCAUAUUCUUCCCCGGAUAAUUGGGCCUGGAAUUAUCAACGUCAGAAAUAUGUUCUUUCUUUGCAUAAUCUGCCCGGGGGGGGGGGAGAUUGAGUGGAAUGACAAAUACAGGCCAACAACUGUAUUGGGUUGCCGUCAUGCCGAAGGGAUUAAAACCAUUAGUGGCGGCGCAGACUCGAGGAUUCCUUGGAUCUGCUGCUUUAUCCUGAUGCAAUCCAUCGAAAUGUUUCCACGCUUCCCCAUCCGAUGUGUGUACCAUCAUCUUAUUCCCAUCCGCAUCUAGUUCGGUUCUUUUGCCCAAUUUGUGCCAUGUCAUCUGUCUGGUUGUCUCUUCGACCAUGAAAAGACGUUGAAGUCUUGGUACGAUUGGCAUAUACUGAAGAACACUAACUGCGAUUUUGGUCUGCCUCUUCUCACCCAUACCGUUGUCUACCACAAGAUACCUGCAAGACUCGCAAUUGGGACAAUAGUCCAAGUGUGCAUACUUCUUCCUAAAUAAGACACAUCCUUUCUCACAUGCAUCUAUCUUCUCAUAGGGCAUCUUAAGUACACGAAGUAUUUUGUCCGACUGGUAUAGGUUUGCAGGCAUGACAGGGCCUUUGGGUAGGAAACGUCCAAAUAGUGUCAUCAUCGCGUCGUAGCAUUCUCUUCCCAAGUUGAAGUGAGCCUUCAGAGCCAUUACUUGUGCAAUUGCAUCCAGCUGACAGAGCUCAGUGUGCUCAUGGAGAGGACGUUUUGAAGACUCCAACAUUUCAUAAAAGGCCUUUGCAGAUUCCUCCAUCUUAUCUUUCGAAUCUCGAGCAUCAUCAAAGUCUUGCACCAUGUCUUCGAUCCCGGUACCAUGCUCGUCCGUGCGACGACGGACCACCUCAGCUCUUGUGUGUUGUAUAGACUUACCAUGAAAUGUCCACACCGUAUAAUUAGGCUUAAAACCCCUCCUCUGCAGGUGUUUAAUCAUUACAACCUCUGUCGUCUUUUUAUAGUUGUCGCAUCCAGGACAGGGGCAAUAGUUUCUUUCCUGGCCAUUUGCGAAUGCGGCUUUCACAAAUUCCUUUGUUUUUACAAACCAUUCUUUCGUCAUCUCUUUCUGACUAAAGUGACCGGUAUACAUCCACGCACGAUCACUCAUCUUGCGUAGCUACUAAAGACAGAAGAAAUAUAUUUAUAUAUAAUUUAGCAUUUAUAUUCAUCGGUUAAUCAGGUUCGCCAUUUUUAUUACGUCCAGGCAACCUACACGCUAAUAGGUAAAGAUAGGUCCUAAUCCCACCCGAGUAUGUGUAAAUUGGGUUCGUUUUCCCAUGCUCUGCUCUGGAUCCAACGCAAAAUUUCGGCAGCACCUCCCCGCUGUUCUCCUGAUACACGUCUCCGCAAUAAACAGAGAGGAUGUGCAUCCGGAGAACAACAGGGAGGCACUGACGAAAUUCCGCAUCGGAUCCAGAGCACAACAUACGGGAAAACGAACCCAAUCUACACAUACUCGGGUUGUCCAUGGAUAAUGUUGGACAAUUCGAAAGGAUGGCGGUUAUAAAUAUGCAAAGACAUGCAUAUUUAUAGAUGUCGCCCUUUCGAACAGGAUACGCAUACUGGUCACGCAUACUCAUGAUUGAAGAAACCUAUAUAUAGCUAGCAAGUUUCAUCGGCACGAAGACCGGGACAGAGCAAAUUAAUGGGGUAGGAGGAGAAGUCAUUUGUGAUCACCAACAAACGUAGGGGCGGAGCUCGUCCAACGCACGUGGAGGUCGUCGAACAACUGCACAUUGAAAUUCACCUGAUCAACACAAAUAUGAUGUUUUUAUAAGAUGAUCAAAAAAUAUGUGACCUAACCCUUAUUUUCUUUUUUUUGUUUUUUCCUCUUAUUCUUCUUCUUCUUCUUCUUCUUCUUCUUAUUUUCUUAUUUUCUUUUUUCCUCUUAUUCUUCUUCUCCUUCUUCUUAUUUUCUUCUCUUCUUCUUCCUCUUCUUCUUCUUAUUCUUCUUUUUAUUCUUAUUUUCUUUUUUCUUUUUCCUCUUAUUCUUCUUCUCCUUCUUCUUCUUUUCUUUUUCUCUUCUUUUUCUUCUUCUUCUUAUUUUCUUUUUUCUUUUUUCCUCUUAUUCUUCUUCUCCUUCUUCUUGUUUUCUUCUUCUCUUCUUCUUCUUCUUCUUCGUCUUCUUAUUUUCUUUUUUCCUCUUAUUGCCGAUUGACUCUGAGAGCGAUCGAGGGGUCGCGGCUUCUCUUCCUCUCCUAUUUUUCUUCUUCUUCUUCUUUCUUCUCCUUCCCUUCCUUUUCCUUCUUCUUCUGAUUUUUUCUUCUCCUUUAUCCUUCUUCUUCUUCUCUUUUCUCCUUCUUCUUCUUCUCCUUUCUCCUUCUUCUUCUUCUCCUUUCUCCUUCUUCUUCUUCUCCUUUCUCCUUCUUCUUCUUCUCCUUUCUCCUUCUUCUUCUUCUCCUUUCUCCUUCUUCUUCUUCUCCUUUCUCCUUCUUCUUCUUCUCCUUUCUCCUUCUUCUUCUUCUCCUUUCUCCUUCUUCUUCUUCUCCUUUCUCCUUCUUCUUCUUCUCCUUUCUCCUUCUUCUUCUUCUCCUUUCUCCUUCUUCUUCUUCUCCUUUCUCCUUCUUCUUCUUCUCCUUUCUCCUUCUUCUUCUUCUCCUUUUCUCCUUUAUUAAACAGGAAACUAACCUAAAUAAACCUAAACUUAAACUGAACCUAAACUAAACUAAAACUAAGCCAAAACCUCAGUAAAACUUAUAACUAAUUAAACAAAAACUAUUAAAAAAAGAAGAAAGAAAACUAACCAGGGGAGGAGGGCCGUAGGGGGAGGAGAGGCCGCAGGGGGAGGAGGGCAGCAGUGGGAGNNNNNNNNNNNNNNNNNNNNNNNNNNNNNNNNNNNNNNNNNNNNNNNNNNNNNNNNNNNNNNNNNNNNNNNNNNNNNNNNNNNNNNNNNNNNNNNNNNNNNNNNNNNNNNNNNNNNNNNNNNNNNNNNNNNNNNNNNNNNNNNNNNNNNNNNNNNNNNNNNNNNNNNNNNNNNNNNNNNNNNNNNNNNNNNNNNNGGCCCCCUCUUUGUCGUCCGCCUCCCGACGACAAAGAGCAUGCAGGCAGACGGCAAAGAAAGUGGCCGUUAGGGGGCCGCCCAUGCUCUUUGCCGUCUGCCUGCAUGCUCUGUGCCGUGAGCUGGCAGACGGCAAAGAGCUGGCUGAUGGCAAAUAGUACCUUUGGCAUCAGCCUGCUCUUUGCCGUCUGGUUUCUGGUAGCUGAUGGCAAAGAGGGUCUUUGCCAUCAGCCAGCAGACGGCAAAGAAGCAGUAGAUGGCAAAUAACUAUUUUCCAGUAGUGCUAGGGGGAUCGUGGCCUCCUCCAUGGCCCUCUACCUUGGUUCUCAAGUCUUCUCGAUCCCUUCUGUUAUGGAAAAAAUCAUCCCGAAGGUUUUAUUCCGUUUGGACUCCGUUUAAUAUUCUUAUCUAAAAAAGGUCAAAAACACGGAAAAAAGCAGAAAUUGGCAGUGGCACUGAGUUAAUAGGUUAGUCUCAAAAAUGAUAUAAAAUAGCAUAUAAAUGCAUAUAAAACAUCCCAAGUUGAUAAUAUAGUAACAUGGAACAACUAAAAAUUAUAGAUAGGUUGGAGACGUAUCAAUAUGCCCCAAAGGUAUCUAUAAUUUCUGAUUGUUCCAUGAUCUUUUGGGUGAUAUUGUUAUAUGUUUUGCUACACUUUUAUAUCAUUUUACACAUAUUUGGACUAACCUACUACCUCAAUGCACCCAGUGCCAGUUUCUGUCUGCUGAUGUCUAUUUUGCAGGGGCUUUUACCCAAUUUUUCAAAGCCCGGAAAAAUGCAAAAAAAUAAUAUAUAAAAAAUCAGCGAAACUGAAGCUUCCGGAUCACCGAAGGAGGCCCAGAGGGGAGCAAGGGGCCUCCCAGGCGGCCUGCUGGCGCGGCCAGGCCCUAGGCCGUGCCAGGAGGUCGCGUGGGUGGGUCCCACGUCCUCUAGUGCCCUCCUUUGGCCUAUAUUUAGAGUACCGAGAGGAAACCCUGGCAGACUUUCUGGAAUCGCAAAUUUCUCCAUCGUUUCGCCGCCGCAGCGCUUCCGAGAUCGGGAGCGUCAGGAGACCUCUUCCCGGCACCCUGUCGGAGGAAGGAUUGACCUCCGGGAGCUUCUCCACCACCAUGGACACUUCCCGGAUGUGCUGUGAGUAGUUCCCCUUGGACCAUGAGUCCAUGACCAGUAGCUAUGUGAUGUCUUCUCUCCAAUCUUGUGCUUCAAUGGUUAGUCCUUGUGAGCUACCCUACAUGAUCAAGGCAUCUAUGUAAUUCUCUUGCUAUUUCUAUGCUUGGUUUGUUGGGAUCCGAUAGAUUAUGAGAUUAUGUUCAGAUUGUUAUGAGUUAUAUAUUUGAUUAUCCUUUUAUAUUAUGUACCUUAGUGAUUCAGGCAUGCUCUCCGUUGUUUUUUAUUGCUUUGGCCAAGUAAUAGAUCGUAACUCCAAGAGGGAGCGCUAUGCAUGAUUGUGGGUUCAGGCCCCUCGAUGUCUAGCUUGAGUGAUAGAAACAUGAGACUAGGGGAUAUGCUUGUUGCCACGAGGGAGAAAAUAACGGUGCUUGUGACCACGGUUGCAAGGUUUGUUUACCUUACGCAUAGUUCGUUAAUGCAGUUGUCCGUUGCUUUGAGUUUACACUUUGGAUGGAACUCGCAACUUAACACCGGAGAUAUGUUCUGGAUAGAUAUCUCAAGGUGGAUGAAUAGUAAGUAGAUGCUGUUGAAUAAAAGGUCUACUUGUCUUGGCGUACUGCCCAUUACUAUUGAACCUCUAACUAUCAAGUAGCAUAAUUAACAUUACGGUGUGAUCAUAAUUGUGUCAAUUGCCCAAGUGUGAUUUGUUUACCCUAGUAUAGUUGUUUAUCAUCUUUUGGGAGAGAGACAUCACUAGUGAACAUCAUGUGACUCCGGUCCAUAUCACCAUCAUUGCUUACACCUCCAUCAUGUACCAUUUUCUUUACUUUUCCGUUGCAAUCACUAUUACCUUCCCGCUUGUGUUUUGAUCCUUUGCAAACUACAAGGCCGGAGAGAUUCACAACCUCUGUGUACUCGUUGGGAGAAAAGUUAUUUGUUGUGUGUGCAGGUCCACAUCUUCUACUGACCAGGACAGGAGACACCUACUUGUUGAGCCUAGGAGUCCUCCUAGUUCGAUAAACCUUAUAGUCUCCGCGUAAGGGAAAUUUCCUGCUNNNNNNNNNNNNNNNNNNNNNNNNNNNNNNNNNNNNNNNNNNNNGCUGCCUACAUCUCCACCUUCCACUUGGGGGUAUCCAACGAGGGGCGAGAAGUAUAUACAUCAACUCGUCAUCAGUGGCAUAAAGUAAGAUGGUAGGUUUCAAAGGGAUUGAAAAGUGAAGAAGAUAGUCUCGUAUAAACUAGGCGUACCAAUGGGUUAUGAAGAUACCCAUUGAUAGCUAUCGAUACAGGGAGUAGGGAUUGCCAUGCAAAUGAUGCACUAGAGCUAUAAGUGCAUGAAAGCUCCACUAAGCUAGGUGGGGUGUGCAUCCAACUUUCUUGCUCAUGAAGGCCUCGGGCAUUUGAGGACGCCUUUCAUCGGAAUAUACAAGCCAAGUUUAUAAUUCUUUUGAUUCCCACUAGCAUAUGAAUGAUGUAACAUGAGACUCUCUACAUGAUGAACAUGGUGCCACUUUUAGGCACAAGUGUGGCAAAGGAUAGUAGCAAAGUCCCUUCUCUCUUAUUCUCUCAUUUCUUUUAUUAUGGUGGGCUCAUUUGGCCCCCCCCCAUCUUUAUUUCCUCACUGGGACAAUGCUCUAAUAAUGAUGAUCAUCUAACUAUUAUUUACUUACAACUCAUGGAUAACUCGAUGUGAUGAAUGAAGCAACAUGACUCCAAUAUGAAUGCCUCUAGCAGUGUACCAGGAUGUCCGAUGAUCUAGCGUGACAUGUAUUCAGCAUAUGAUUUUUGAUGGAUUUUCCACAAUUUCUAUUAUGAAUGGUGUCUAUGCCACAAAUACUAUGUCAGCUCUAUAUGAUCAUGCAAAGCAAUAUGAUGGUGAACGAACUAGUCAUGUGAAAUAAUGAUGCAAUUAAUUUGCAUGGCAAUAUAUCUCAAAAUGGCUAUGGAAAUGCCAUAAUAGGUAGGUAUGGUGGCUGUUUUAAGGAGGAUAUAAUAAAGAUUAUGUGCAAUAGAGUGUAUCAUUUCACGGGGUUUGGAUGCACCAUCGAAAGUUGCACCAAUCCUCGAGGUGAGAAUGGGCUAUGCGUGGUACUAGAGAGGCUAGCAAAAAUGAGGAGGUGAGAUUGCGUAUGUCCAUGGUGUCACAUUAGUCAUAAAGAAAUCAUAUAUUUAUUGCAAAGUUUUAUUAGUAUUAGCAUAAAUCGAAGUACUAGUUGCAUGCCUCGAGGGAGAGGGUUGGUAGGAAUUAACAAUCGCGCGACUCUGACUUGAAACAACACUAGGUUUUCAACGAGGAAUAGAAAUGCUCCCACAUCAUCACCAUGCCCUUUUAAUUUUUCAGAUGUUCAAGAAGUAUUAACAUCUCUUAAUAUCAACACCUCUAUGAAUUAAUGAUUAUGCACUCACACCUUUUCAUAUCACCACAUCAAUAUCAUUAACCACACUUUCUCUACAUGUGCUACAUGAUAGUUUUAAUUGUCAUUUAUUGAACACUCAUUGUUUUUAUCUAGCUUUAUGACCCAUGCAAAUUACCGUAACUAUUUACUAACUAUCAAACAAAUAUAAGUGAAUAACGAGAUCAUAAUAUUUUUAUAAAAUCAACAAACCACCAUGCUCAAAAAGAUAUAAGUGAAGUACUAGAGGAACUCCUAAGCUCAAAAGAUACAAGUGAAGCACAAAUACUAUUCUAACAAAUCAUGAUGAUGUUGUCUCUCUCCCAAACAGGUGUGUACAGAAAACAAUGAUUGUGGAAAACUAAAAGUAAAAUUAAACAAAAGCAAAUGACGCUCCAAGCAAAACUCAUAUCAUGUGAUGAAUAAAAAUGUAGCUCCAAGUAACAUACCGAUGGAUUGAGACGAAAGAGGGUAUGCCUUCCCGGGGCAUCCCCAAGCUUAGGCGUUGAGUCUUCCUAGAAUAUUACCUUGGGGUGCCUUGGGCAUCCCCAAGCUUAGGCUCUUUCCACUUCUCAUUCCUUUGUCCACGGAGAUCAAUACCCACAACUUGAAAACUUCAAUCACACAAAACUCAACAAAACUUUGUGAGAUCCGUUAAUAUAGGCAACAUAAUGAACACUUUUAGGUACUGUUAUAAAUUGAUUCUUCUUUUAUUUUAGCAUAAGGUAUUGUAUUCUAACUUCUCCAUGGCUUAUACCCUAUGCUAUGAUACAUAGCAUAAUCAAAACAAGCAAACUAUGCAUGCAAAAACCGAAUGUGUUUAAAACAUAAUAGUCUCUAGUAAUAUAUUUAACUUCCAUACUUUUGUAACUCCAAUUUUUUUGAAAACCUAGCAAAACCUGAGGAAUUUUUAUAUCAGUACUGUGUUAAAAAUUCAGCUUAAAAGAAUGUUCCAGUAAAAUCAGAGAAAUUCUGCAAUGGGCGUCAAAGUUUUUGUUUUUGCACCGUAUCAAUUAAACUCAUCAUGCAAUUCAUCCCAAAGGCUUUACUUGGCACAAACACUAAUUAAACAUAAAACAUAAUCAUUACAGCAUCAAUAAUUAUGUUAUCACACACUAACAUAAAGUUAAGGAAAAAUUUAAGAUAACUAUUGUGUUGCCUCCCAACAAGUGUUCAUGUUUUACGCCCCUAGCUAGGCAUAUUGCAUUGUUUGAAGUGUUGGAUCCCUUCAUAUCGUUCAAAAUUAGUUCCUACAAAAUUUUACUUAAUAAAUCACCCUCGUCCAGCCUGGUUGAGGCACUCAAGUACUCAAAGGGAUUUAUACAAUCAUUGCUAACAUCACUAUCAUCUAAGGGCUCUUGAUAUAAGACAUGUAUUUCGUCACUAAUAGGUUCCCUAAUAGUAUUUUCUUGCCAAUCUUCACUAAACUCUUCACUAAUUCCUUUAGAAAUCCAUUCAAAUUUAUCACAAGUGUGGAGAAACAAAGAUUGUGUUAAUUGUUUACAAAGAAAAUUCCUCCUCAUUUUCAUAUCAAAUCCGUGAUAGUCAUUAGAUUCCAACCUACGUAUAACAUAUUUAUUAUGAAGGAUAGCUUUUAUGGGAAGAGAUUCAGCUUUUAUUUCAUAGAACAUAAAAAUUUCCUUUGCAUCAAGCAAAAUAUAAUCAAAUUCAUUAAUAAGGAUAGUGGUGGCAAAUUCGUUAAUCUCGGGAUUAUGCAAGCUAGGAAGUCCCAAGAAUAUCUUUUGAAGCAUAGGAUGGAAAGUCACAAAUUUUCUUUCCAUUUUCAAAAUAAGCAUAGUGAUAGCAUCACAUAAUAAUUUGUUUCAUCAAGUAUAUAUUAUCUAAUUAGAGGUGAAGCUAACUAAUACUCAAAGAAUUUUUGGAUGACAUUCUUUCCAAUAAUGUUCCCACUACCCACAUGGUAAAUUUUAGAAUUUAGAGUUGUGUGGGUGUUAGUAGUAGGGACUUGAUCCAUAGGAGGGUUAUGAAUGGGGUUAAUAAAUUCUAACCCCACUUCAUUCAACUCACUAGAACUAUCUUCACUAGCACUUUUAGCAAUAACUUUCUCAAAUUCAGACAUGAUAGUUGUUCUCAAGCAAACUAGAGAGGAGAGAUGCAAUCUAAUGACAAGCUAAGCAAGCAAAGACAAAUAUUUAUGUAUUUUUAUUUUAUUUUAUGAGACAAACUAAAUAUACCAGCAAAUAAAAAUAGGAACAACUGAAUGGAAUUUUAUGUGGAGUUACUUGAUAGUUGGUGAUGAUAUUCCCUGGCAACGGCGCCAGAAAUCCUUCCUCAUACUCGUGGUCUGCAUCGUCUUUUCCAUGAAGAUGAAUGGGUACUUGCAGCACAAAGUGGGUAAGUAUUCCCUCAAUUACGAAACCAUGGUUUAUCAAACCACUAGGAAUUUCAAUCCACUACACACUUCAGUUAGUGUUGAUACGUCCAUUUUGCAACAUGUUUUGUUACUGUUAUUUAUAGUGUUUUUAUGCAUUUUGCCACUUGGUGGAGUAAUUCUAUGUCUUAUCUCUCAUAAUAUGCAAGGUUUACAUCAAGUGGGAGAAUGCCGACAGAUGGAAUUCUGGACUUGAAAAAGCUACGUCAGAGAUACCUAUUCUACACAUCUCCAAUUGGGCUGAAACUUUGCACAGAUUUAUUUUAUAAUAAAUAAAAAUACUGGAGCAAAGAAGUACCGGAGGGGGGCUACCAUGCACCCACUAGACACCAGGGCGCGUGAGGGCCCCCUGGCGCGGCCUGAUGUCUAAUGGACCCCCUGCCCACCUCUGACGAUCAUCUUCUGGCAGAAAUUCUCUUUUACCCUAAAACAAUUAAGAAGAGGACUUUCGGGACGAAGCGCCACCGUCUCGAGGCGGAACCUGGGCAUGAGCACUUUUGCCCUCCGACGGAGUGAUUUGGACGGAGGAAAUUGAGGCCAUCGUCAUCACCAAUAACCCUCUCAUCUUGGGGAGGCCAAUAUCCAUCAACAUCUUCAUCAACACCAUAUCCUCUCAAAACCCUAGUUCAUCUCUUGUACUCUAUCUUGUAUCGGAACCUCGGAUUGGUACCUGGGGUGUGACUUGUAGUGUUGAUUACAUCUUGUAGUUGAUGCUUUCUGGUUUAUUUGGUGGAAGAUCAUAUGUUCAGAUCCAUUAUGCUAUUUAAUACAUCUACGAUCAUGAACAUGGUUAUCACUUGUGAGUAGUUACUUUUGUUCUCGAGGCCACGGGAGAAAUCGUGUUGCAAGUAGUCAUGUGAAGUUGAUAUUCGUUCGAUAUUUUGAUGAUAUGAAUGUUGUGAUUCCCUUAGUGGUGUUAUGUGAACAUCGACUACAUAACACGUCACCGUAUUUUGGCCUAAGUGAAUGCAUUGUGGCAAUGUAAUUAUAGGGUGGAUUGCGAGAGUCACAGAAACUUAAACCCCAGUCUAUGCACCACUUCAUAAGGGGCUGAUUUGGAUCCCUAUGUUUAAUGCUAUGGUUAGAAUUUAUUCUUAAUACUUUCCUCGUAGUUGCGGAUUCUUGAGGGAGGGUUGAUGAUAAGUGGGAGGUUUGUUCAAGUAAGAACAACACCAAAGCACCGGUCCGCCCACACAUCAAAUUAUCAAAAUACCGGACGCGAAUUAUGUUGGGAAACGUCGCAUGGGAAACAAAAAUUUUCUUACGCGCACGAAGACCUAUCAUGGUGAUGUCCAUCUACGAGAGGGGAUGAGUGAUCUACGUACCCUUGUAGAUCGUACAGCAGAAGCGUUAGAGAACGCGGUUGAUGUAGUGGAACGUCCUCACGUCCCUCGAUCCGCCCCGCGAACAAUCCCGCGAUCAGUCCCACGAUCUAGUACCGAACGGACGGCACCUCCGCGUUCAGCACACGUACAGCUCGACGAUGAUCUCGGCCUUCUUGAUCCAGCAAGAGAGACGGAGAGGUAGAAGAGUUCUCCGGCAGCGUGACGGCGCUCCGGAGGUUGGUGAUGAUCUUGUCUCAGCAGGGCUCCGCCCGAGCUCCGCAGAAACACAAUCUAGAGGAAAAACUAUGGAGGUAUGUGUCGGGCAGCCGUGAGAAAGUCGUCUCAAAUCUUCCCUAAAAGCCCCAUAUAUAUAGGAGGAGGGAGGGGGACCUUGCCUUNNNNNNNNNNNNNNNNNNNNNNNNNNNNNNNNNNNNNNNNNNNNNNNNNNNNNNNNNNNNNNNNNNNNNNNNNNNNNNNNNNNNNNNNNNNNNNNNNNNNUCGUGCGCGUAAGAAAAUUUUUGUUUCCCAUGCGACGUUUCCCAACAGUGGCAUCAUGAGCUAGGUUCAUGCGUAGAUGUCUUCUCGAGUAGAACACAAAAGGUUUUGUGGGCGGUGAUGUGCGUUUUGCUGCCCUCCUUAGUCUUUUCUUGAUUCCGCGGUAUUGUUGGAUUGAAGCGGCUUGGACCGACAUUACUCGUACGCUUACGAGAGACUGGUUUCAUCGUUACGAGUAACCCCCUUUGCUCGAAGAUGACUGGCAAGUGACGGUUUCUCCAACUUUAGUUGAAUCGGAUUUGACCAAGGAGGUCCUUGGAUGAGGUUAAAUAGCAACUCAUAUAUCUCCGUUGUGGUGUUUGCGUAAGUAAGAUGCGAUCCUACUAGAUACCCUUGGUCACCGCGUAAAAACAUGCAACAACAAAAUUAGAGGGCGUCUAACUUGUUUUUGCAGGGUAUGAUUGUGAUGUGAUAUGGCCAAUGAUGUGAUGUGAUAUAUUGGAUGUAUGAGAUGAUCAUGUUUUAAUAGAAAUAUCGACUUGCACGUCGAUGGUACGGCAACCGGCAGGAGCCAUAGGGUUGUCUUUAUACUAACAUAUGUGCUUGCAGAUGCGUUUACUAUUUUGCUAGGAUGUAGCUUUAGUAGUAAUAGCAUAAGUAGCACGACAACCCCGAUGGCAACACGUUGAUGGAUGAUCAUGGUGUGGCGCCGGUGACAAGAAGAUCGUGCCGGUGCUUUGGUGAUGGAGAUCAAGAAGCACGUGAUGAUGGCCAUAUCAUGUCACUUAUGAAUUGCAUGUGAUGUUAAUCCUUUUAUGCACCUUAUUUUGCUUAGAACGACGGUAGCAUUAUGAGGUGAUCUCUCACUAAUAUUUCAAUACGAAAUUGUGUUCACCCCGACUGUGCACCGUUGCUACAGUUCGUCGUUUCGAGACACCACGUGAUGAUCGGGUGUGAUAGACUCAACGUUCACAUACAACGGGUGCAAAACAGUUGCGCACGCGGAACACUCGGGUUAAGCUUGACGAGCCUAGCAUGUGCAGACAUGGCCUCGGAACACAUGAGACCGAAAGGUCGAUCAUGAAUCAUAUAGUUGAUAUGAUUAGCAUAGGGAUGCUUACCACUGAAACUACUCUCGACUCACGUGAUGAUCGGACUAGGGAUAGUGUAAGUGGAUCAUGAACCACUCAAAUGACUAGAGAGAUGUACUUUUUGAGUGGGAGUUUAGCAUAUAAUUUGAUUAAGUUGAACUCUAAUUAUCUUGAACAUAGUCUAAGUCCACUUUGAAUAUAUUUGUGUUGUAGAUCAUGGCUCACGCAAGUGUCAUCCUGAAUUUUAAUACGUUCCUAGAGAAAGCUAAGUUGAAAGAUGAUGGAAGCAACUUUGUAGACUGGGCUCGUAAUCUUAAGCUAAUCUUACAAGCUGGAAAGAAGGAUUAUGUCCUUAAUGCUGCGCUAGGAGAUGAACCACCCGCUACGGCUGAUCAGGAUGUUAAGAACGCUUGGUUAGCACGUAAGGAGGACUACUCAAUAGUUCAAUGUGCAGUCUUGUAUGGCUUAGAGCCGGGACUUCAACGUCGCUUUGAGCGCCAUGGAGCAUUUGAGAUGUUCCAGGAGUUGAAGUUUAUCUUUCAGAAGAACGCCCGGAUCGAGAGGUAUGAGACCUCCGAUAAAUUCUAUGCUUGCAAGAUGGAGGAAAACUCGUCUGUCAGUGAACAUGUGCUCAAAAUGUCUGGGUACUCAAACCGUCUAGCUGAACUGGGGAUUGAACUCCCGCAAGAAGCUAUCACUGACAGAAUCCUUCAAUCACUGCCGCCAAGCUAUAAAGGCUUUGUGUUGAACUACAACAUGCAAGGGAUGAACAAGUCUCCCGGCGAGUUGUUUGCGAUGCUGAAAGUCGCAGAGUCUGAACUCCGUAAAGAGCAUCAAGUUUUGAUGGUGAGCAAGACCACUAGUUUCAAGAGAAACGGCAAAGGCAAGAAGGGCAAUUCGAAGAAGAGCGGCAAGCCUGUUGCCAAUCCGCCGAAGAAACCCAAGGCUGGACCUAAGCCUGAAACAGAGUGCUUCUAUUGCAAGGGUAUGGGUCACUGGAAGCGCAAUUGCCCCAAGUAUCUGGCAGAUAAGAAGGCGGGCAAAGAAAAAUCAGGUAUAUUUGAUAUACAUGUUAUUGAUGUGUACUUAACCGGCUCUCGUAGUAGUGCCUGGGUAUUCGAUACCGGUUCUGUUGCUCACAUUUGCAACUCGAAGCAGGAACUGCGGAAUAGACGAAGGCUGGCGAAAGACGAAGUGACGAUGCGCGUAGGAAACGGUUCCAAGGUUGAUGCAAUCGCCGUCGGCACCGUGUCACUUCAACUACCAUCGGGAUUAGUGAUGAACUUAAAUCAUUGUUAUUUAGUGCCUGCGUUGAGCAUGAACAUUAUAUCUGGAUCUUGUUUAUUGCGAGACGGUUACUCUUUUAAGUCUGAGAAUAAUGGUUGUUCUAUUUCUAUGAGUAACAUCUUUUAUGGUCAUGCACCGAAUGUGAGAGGAUUGUUCAUAUUGAAUCUCGAUAGCGAUACGCAUAUACAUAACAUUGAGACCAAAAGAGUUAGAGUAAACAAUGAUAGCGCCAUAUUUUUGUGGCACUGCCGCUUGGGUCAUAUUGGUGUAAAUCGCAUGAAGAAACUCCAUGCUGAUGGACUUUUAGAGUCACUUGACUUUGAUUCACUUGACACGUGCGAACCAUGCCUCAUGGGCAAGAUGACUAAAACUCCGUUCUCCGGAACAAUGGAGCGUGCAAGUGACUUGUUGGAAAUCAUACAUACCGAUGUGUGUGGUCCGAUGAGCGUGGAGGCACGCGGCGGAUAUCGUUAUUUUCUCACCUUCACUGACGAUUUAAGUAGAUAUGGUUAUGUCUACUUGAUGAAGCACAAGUCUGAAACAUUUGAAAAGUUCAAGCAGUUUCAGAGUGAAGUAGAAAAUCAUCGUAACAAGAAGAUCAAGUUCCUGCGGUCUGAUCGUGGGGGUGAAUAUCUGAGUUUCGAGUUUGGUACUCACUUAAGACAAUGUGGAAUUGUUUCGCAGUUAACACCGCCUGGAACACCACAGCGUAAUGGUGUGUCCGAACGUCGUAAUCGUACUUUGUUAGAGAUGGUGCGAUCUAUGAUGUCUCUUACUGAUUUGCCGUUAUCGUUUUGGGGUUAUGCAUUAGAAACAGCUGCAUUCACUUUAAAUAGGGCACCAUCGAAAUCCGUUGAGACGACACCAUACGAACUGUGGUAUGGCAAAAGGCCAAAGUUGUCGUUUCUUAAAGUUUGGGGAUGUGAUGCUUAUGUCAAAAAGCUUCAGCCUGAAAAGCUGGAACCCAAAGCGGAAAAGUGCGUCUUCAUAGGUUACCCAAAAGAGACAGUUGGGUACACCUUCUAUCUCAAUUCCGAGGGCAAAGUGUUUGUUGCUAAGAACGGAACUUUUCUCGAGAAGGAGUUUCUCUCGAGAGAAUUGAGUGGGAGGAAGAUAGAACUUGACGAGGUUGUCGAACCUCUCAUCCCUCUGGAUGGUGGCGCAGGGCAAGGGGAAACCUCUGUCAUUGCANNNNNNNNNNNNNNNNNNNNNNNNNNNNNNNNNNNNNNNNNNNNNNNNNNNNNNNNNNNNNNNNNNNNNNNNNNNNNNNNNNNNNNNNNNNNNNNNNNNNGUAUGGAGGUGACAAAGAGCUCGCCGUAAAAGGUUACGUCGAUGCAAGCUUUGACACAGAUCCGGACGACUCUAAGUCACAAACCGGAUACGUAUUUAUUCUUAAUGGGGGUGCAGUAAGCUGGUGCAGUUCCAAGCAAAGCGUCGUAGCAGAUUCUACAUGUGAAGCGGAGUACAUGGCUGCCUCGGAGGCGGCUAAGGAGGGUGUCUGGAUGAAGCAGUUCAUGACGGAUCUUGGAGUGGUGCCAAGUGCACUGGAUCCAAUAACCUUGUUCUGUGACAACACUGGUGCCAUUGCCUUAGUAAAGGAACCAAGGUUUCACAAGAAGACCAGACACAUCAAACGACGCUUCAACCUCAUCCGCGACUACGUCGAGGAGGAGGACGUAAAUAUAUGCAAAGUGCACACGGAUCUGAAUGUAGCAGACCCGCUGACUAAACCUCUUCCACGGCCAAAACAUGAUCGACACCAGAACUGUAUGGGUGUUAGAUUUAUUACAAUGUAAUUCACAUGGUGAUGUGAGGGCUAGAUUAUUGACUCUAGUGCAAGUGGGAGACUGUUGGAAUUAUGCCCUAGAGGCAAUAAUAAAUGUAUAGUUAUUAUUNNNNNNNNNNNNNNNNNNNNNNNNNNNNNNNNNNNNNNNNNNNNNNNNNNNNNNNNNNNNNNNNNNNNNNNNNNNNNNNNNNNNNNNNNNNNNNNNNNNNCAUCAAAUGUCGCACCCAAAUGCAACUAGGGCGGAAGGGAGGGAGGGUGUAUGUGAAUGUAUGCCACUAGGCAAAUAACUAUAAGUGUUUUCCGUCGAUUGCAACCAUGUGGUGUUCCGUUGCAUGUCCUGAUUAGGUAUGCAACUAUAAGUGUUGUCCCUGAGUGCAACUGCGUUUUCAACGCAACUACAACUCUGUAGUGUUUUGAGGGGCAGAGGAGGGACAGUUGCAUGUCAAACAUUGUACAUGCAAAUGCGAGUGUCAUGUCCGACUGCAAUUUUGUGAUGCUAUGUUGAGGCAGAAGGGUAGUUGUGUGUGUGCCACUAGGCGCGUAACUGCAAGUGUCAUCCUCGACCGCAACUCUAUGUCUUUCAUGUAGCUAUAACUUGAUGGUGUUUUAUCUACUUUUUUACUAUUCUUUUUAUUUCCUUCUAAGUGCUCUUUUAAUGCUUUGUGUGUGUGUGUGUGUGUCCAUUUUUGUGACAUUGUAUUUCCAUUUUUUUACUUUUCAUGCUCUUUUCAAACCAUUUUCUUACUAAUGGAACGACUAUUUCUUUUUUUAUUUCUUUAUUAAACAAAUUUUAUUUUAUUUUAAUUUGAAAAUAGUGUUGUCUAGUUACACAAUCGCCCUGACAACAACUGCAUGUCUUAAACACGACUGCAAGUUAGUGAUAGUACGUUUGGGAAGAGGCGAUUGCAUGUAUACCACUUGGCAAAGAACAAAAAGUGUCAUGUCCCAACUACAACUACAUGUCUGCAACAGAGUUGUAAUUCUACAAUGUUUCAUAGGGGGGACGUGAGGGAGGGGGGUAGUUGCAGUUCUGCGACUAGGCGCGACAUCAAAUGUCGCACCCAAAUGCAACUAGGGCGGAAGGGAGGGAGGGUNNNNNNNNNNNNNNNNNNNNNNNNNNNNNNNNNNNNNNNNNNNNNNNNNNNNNNNNNNNNNNNNNNNNNNNNNNNNNNNNNNNNNNNNNNNNNNNNNNNNCAUGCUUGUUUUGAUUGAAGUGUUGGUAUUUGAAACUCAUUAUUAUUUGCUCGUUAGCUGAUUAUGCCAUUGCUGUUAGUUUACCGUGAGACCAUUGUGUCAUUUUCUUAUGUGGUUAACUUGUGAUCUUGCUGAAAUUCUGGUUAUGAGUUAGACAUAGUUGCAGCAACAAGAUCAAACAGAGUUUGUCAAAGUUUUCCUUUCUCUCUCAGUUUGUCAACUGAGUUGCUUGAGGACAAGCAAGGUUUUAAGCUUGGGGGAAUUGAUACGUCUCCAACGUAUCUACUUUUCCAAACUCUUUUGCCCUUGUUUUGGACUAUAAUUUGCAUGAUUUGAAUGGAACUAACCUGGACUGACACUGUUUUCAACAGAAUUGCCUUGGUGUUAUUUUUGUGCAGAAAUCAAUGUUCUCCAAACGUCCUGAAAAUUUACGGGGAGCAGUUUUGGAAAAUAUCAAAAAUAUCUGCGCCAAGUUCCACCUCAGGGGGUGGGCCAGUGGGCCACAAGCCCCUGCUCCGCCACCACCCCCCUGGUGGCGUGGUGCAGGCUUGUGGGGACCACAGGGCUCUGCCGCCCCCAAUCUCAGGUCUAUAAGAUCCCUUUCGUCCCAGAAAAAAAUAAAAAGAGAUGUUUUCGUCGCGUUUUCGUCACGGAGGCGCCGCUACCACCUGUUCUUCAUCUGGAGGGCAGAUCUGGAGUCCGUCUUGGGCUCCGGAGAGGGGAAAUCGUCGCCAUCAUCAUCAUCAACCUUCUUCCCUCUCCAAUUCCAUGAAGCUCUUUGUAGUUCGUGAGUAAUCUCUUCGUAGGCUCGCUGGGCGGUGAUGAGUAGGAUGAGAUCUAUCAUGUAAUCGAGUUAGUUUUGACGGGAAUUGAUCCCUAGUAUCCACUAUGUUCUGAGAUUGAUGUUGCGACUACUUUGCCAUGCUUAAUACUUGUCACUAGGGCCAGAGUGCCAUGAUUUCAGAUCUGAAAUUAUUAUGUUGUCACCAAUAUAUGUGUGUUUUAGAUCCGAUCUUGCAAGUUGUAGUUACCUNNNNNNNNNNNNNNNNNNNNNNNNNNNNNNNNNNNNNNNNNNNNNNNNNNNNNNNNNNNNNNNNNNNNNNNNNNNNNNNNNNNNNNNNNNNNNNNNNNNNCAAAAGAAACUACCACCUCUUGAGGUACUGUAGCAAACUUGAUUUCUAUUUUUAUUGGUGUUAGAUUACAAUAUUCUCACUUUUCUAUGGCUAGCACCCCCGAUACUAUCCAUAGUUUCAUCAAAAUAAGCAAUCAACACAACAAAAACAAAAUCUAUCAAAAACAAACCAGUCUGUAGCAAUCUGUAUACUUCUGGUAUCUGAAAAAUUCUAAACAAUUACUACAGUUUGGCAAAUUGGCACAUAAACCAGCAUCAAAAAGAAUCAACUCAAAAUAUCUUUUUGGAUAAAAAUGAAAAAUAAUUUCGUGAGCGAACAGUUUCUUUCUUUUUUCCAGCAGGAUCAAACAACCAUCACCAAACUAGUCAUAAAGGUUUUACUUGGCUCAAACACAUAAGGAAACACAAAAGACACAACCAUAACAGAAUUAUGAUGGUGUGCACGCAACAAAACAGAAAGCAAAAAAGCAAAGAUAAAUUCAUUGGGUUGCCUCCCAACAAGCGUUAUUGUUUAACGCCCUUUGUUAGGCAUAAGACGAUAGAAUCACGUAUCGUCGUCUUUGGUACUCAAACCAUAAGUAGCCCUCAUCAUGGAUUCAUUUGGCAAUCUUAUUUUAUUUUUAGGAAAAUGUUCCAUGCCCUUCUUUAAAGGAAAUUUAAAUCUAAUAUUCCCUUCCUUCAUAUCGAUGACAGCAUCAAUAGUCCUUUUUAAAGGUCUACCAAGAAUGAUAGGACAUGUAGGAUUGCAGUCAAUAUCAAGGACAAUGAAAUCUACGGGUACAUAGUUCCUAUUUGCAAUAAUAAGAACAUCAUUGAUCCUUCCCAUAGGUUUCUUAAGAGUAGAAUCCGCAAGAUGCAAAUUAAGAGAGCACUGAUCAAUCUCAUUAAAGCCUAGAACAUCACAUAAAGACUUUGGAAUCGCGGAAACAAUAGCACCCAAAUCACACAAAGCAUUGCAUUCAUAGUUUUGAUCUUGAUUUUGAUAGUAGGUUCCCACUCAUCAUGAAGUUAUCUAGGAAUAGAAACUUCCAAUUCAAGUUUCUCUUCAAGAUAUUUUAUCAUAGCAUCGAUGAUAUGAUCGGUAAAGGCCUUGUUUUGGCUAUAAGCGUGUGGAGAGUUUAGCAUGGAUUGCAUCAAGGAAAUACAUUCAAUCAAAUAGCAACUAUCAUAAUUGAAUUCCUUGAAAUCCAAAGUAGUAGUUUCAUUACUACUCAAAGUUUUGAUAUCCUCUACUCCACUUUCAAUGCUUUUAGCAUCAAGAUGGAUAGACUCUGAAUCAUUGGGGCGUUUUUCAACCAAGGUGGAUUCAUAUCCAGCCCCAUCAUCAUUAGGUUUGACACUAGAAAAUAAGGAUUCAAUGGGAGUCACACCAAGCACUUUAAGAUCUUCGUGAUUCUCAUCACGAGAAAACGCAUUUUUAAGCCAUUCAUGUCUAUCACGAAUUUGGGCGGUUCUUUCUUUACUCUUAUUCUUGGAAACACGCAUAGCUUUCAAAGUUUCAUCCAUAUUGAUCUUGGGAGGAGCACAUCUAACUUUCAAAGCAUCAAUAUCAAGAGACAUUCUAUCAACGCUCCUAGCCAAGUCAUCAAUUCUGAGUAGUUUUUCCUCUAUGGACGCAUUGAAAAUCUUUUGUAAGUUGAUAAACUCUUUAAUAUUACUCUGUAGAUCAGAGGGUAAUUUAUUGUAAUUUCCAUGAGCAUUGUUGUAGGAGUUGCCAAAGUUAUUAGAGGUAUUACUAGGAAAAGGCCUAGGAAUAUAGUUUCCUCUAAAAGCAUUAUUGUUGCCAAAAUUAUUCCUACCAACAAAAUUAACGUCCAAGCUUUCAUAGCUACUCUCAAUCAAGGAAGACAAGGGCAUAUCAUUUGGAUCCAAAGGAGCACCUUUACUAGCAAACAAUUUCAUUAACUCAUCCAUCUUAGCACUCAACGAGUUAAUUUAUUCUAUAGCGUGUACCUUCUUACUAGUAGAUGACCUUUCAGUGUGCCCUUGAGAAUAGUUUGUCAUGAUAUUGUCUAGGAGUUUUGUGGCUUCUCCUAAUGUGAUUUCCAUGAAAGUUCCACCGGAGGCGGAGUCCAAGAUAUUUCAAGAAGCAAAGUGCAAACCAGCGUAGAAGAUUUGUAUAAUCAUCCAAAGACUCAAGCCAUGAGCGGGACAAUUUCUAAUCAUCAAUUUCAUUCUCUCCCAAGAUUGUGAAACAUGUUCAUGAUCAAGUUGCUUAAAAUUCAUGAUAUCAUUACGGAGAGAGAUAAUCUUAGCCGGCGGAAAAUACUUGGAUAUAUAAGCAUCUUUGCACUUGUUCCAAGAAUCAAUACUAUUUUUGGGCAAAGAUGAAAACCAAGUUUUUGCUCGAUCUCGCAAGGAGAACGGAAAUAGCUUCAAUUUAAUCACAUCAUUAUCCACAUCUUUCUUCUUUUGCAUAUCACAUAACUCAAUGAAGGUAUUACGAUGGGAUGCGACAUCUUCACUAGCAAGGUCGGAGAAUUGCUCUUUCAUAACAAGAUUCAACAAAGCAGCAUUGAUUUCAUAUGAUUCCGCACUAGUGGCGGGAGCAAUCGGAGUACUAAUAAAAUCAUUAUUAUUAGUAUUCGAGAAGUCACAAAGUUUGGUGUUUUCAGUCAUGGUGACUUCAGGAUGCAGACAAGCACACAAGCGAACAGAAAGCAAGCGCAAGAAAAGGGCGAACGAAAAAGGCAAAUAUUUUUGUAAAUUUUCAUUUUUCAGAAGUGGGGGAGAUGAAAACGAGAGGCAUAAAAAGUAAAUGCAAGAGAUGAGUUUCCGACACUUACUUGGAUAAGCUUCACUUGAUGCUCCCCGGCAACGGCGCCAGAAAUUCUUCUUGCUACCUCUUGAGCUUGCGUUGGUUUUUUCCCUUGAACAGGAAAGGGUGAUGCAGGACAGUAGAAGUAAUAAUUUCCCUCAGUUUGAGAACCAACGUGUAGAUCCAGUAGGAGUAUCAAGAUGAAGCACCGAUGUACCUGCGCAAAAACAGCAAACUUGCACCCAACGCUACAAAGGGGUUGUCAAUCCCUUCACGAUUGAUUGCAAGGUGAGAUCUGAAGGCGGAAAGUGCAACAAAGUAAAAGUGUAAGGCUGAAAAUAUGAUGUGAAGUAGAGCCGGGGGCCAUAGUGUUCACUAGAGGCUUCUCUCAAGAUAGCAAAUAUUACAGUGGGUGAACGAAUUACUAUCGAGAAAUUGAUAGAACCGCGCAAAGUCAUGACGAUAUAUGAGGCAAUGAUCAUACAUAUAGGCAUCAUGUCCGAGACAAGUAGACCGAUACUUUCUGCACCUACUACUAUUACUCCACACAUCGACCGCUAUCCAGCAUGCAUCUAGUGUAUUGAGUUCAUGACGAAGAGAGUAACGCCUUAAGCAAGAUGACAUGAUGUAGAGGGAUAAACUCAAACCAAUGAUGUAAACCCCAUCAUUUUACCCUUGAUGGCAACAACACGAUGCGUGUCUCGCUACCCCUUCUGUCACUGGGUGAGGUCGCCGCAUGGUAUGAACCCAAAACCAAGCGCUUCUCCCAUUGCAAGAAUCAUAGAUCAAGUUGGCCAAACAAAACCCACAACUCGAAGAGAAUUACAAGGAUAUGAAAUCAUGCAUAUAAGAGAUCAGAAGAAACUCAAAUAAGAUUCAUAAAUACUCUGAUCAUAAAUCCACAAUUCAUCAGAUCUCGACAAACACACCGCAAAAGAAGAUUGCAUCGGAUAGAUCUCCAUGAAGAUCACGGAGAACUUUGUAUUGAACAUCCAAGAGAGAGAAGAAGCCAUCUAGCUACUAGCUAUGGACCCGGAGGUAUAUGGUGAACUACUCACGCAUCAUCGGAGAGGCCAUGGUGUUGAUGAAGAAGCCCUCCGUAUCCGAAUCCCCCCUCCGNNNNNNNNNNNNNNNNNNNNNNNNNNNNNNNNNNNNNNNNNNNNNNNNNNNNNNNNNNNNNNNNNNNNNNNNNNNNNNNNNNNNNNNNNNNNNNNNNNNNCUCUGCUGCUACUGUUGCUACUACUGUCGCUUGCUACUGUUGCUACUUGCUACUGUUGUCACUACUGUUGUUCCUUGCCGCUGCUAUUACUCGUUACACUGUUGCUACCUGCUACAAUCUUGAUCCGCUCGACGUUGAUGGGAAAAGACAGUUUCCGUCAACGGGCAACUUGGCGCCAUUGAUACAAUCGUUAGGAAUAGUCUCCCGUCAACAGAUCGUUUCUGACACCGUUGUUAUCAUACUACUUUGUUGUUACUACUUUGCUUGCAGAUACUUAUCUUUCAGGUCUGGUUGAAUCUGACACAUUCAGCUGCUAAUACUUGAGAGUAUCCUCUCACCUCCUAUAGGCGUACCAACAAAUUUGGGUCGAAUACUCUACCCUCGAAAACUGCUGCGAUCCCACGCGUUGGUGGGCCGUCAACAACAUUCUUCUAGUUUCGAUUGCCGGAGAGUGCUAGCAGCAUUCUUCUGGUGUUGUUGCAGGGGGAGAUCUGCUGUCAUGGAAUCAAAUAUUAAACGGAGUCCGAACGGAAUAAAACCUCUAAAAAGAUUUUUUCCAAAACAGAAGAUACGCAAAAAGCUUGAGAACUAAGGCAGAGCGCACGAGGGGAGGCCACAAGCCCCCUAGGCGCAGCCAGGGAGCCCGCGCCUAGCAGGCUUGUGGGCCCCCUGGGGCUCCUCUGCCCUACUUCUUNNNNNNNNNNUAAAAUCUAAAACCACGGGAGAGAUCCACGAAAAUACUUUUCCGCCGCCGCAAGCUUCUGUCUCCGCAAGAUCCCAUCUGGGGCACGUUCUGGUGCCCUGCCGGAGGGGGAUUCGGAUACGGAGGGCUUCUUCAUCAACACCAUUGCUUCUCCGAUGAUGCGUGGGUAGUUCACUAUAGACCUUCGGGUCCAUAGCUAGUAGCUAGAUAGCUUCUUCUCUCUCUUGGAUCUUCAAUACAAAGUUCUCCAUGAUCUUCAUGGAGAUCUAUCCGAUGUAAUCUUCUUUUGCGGUUUGUUUGUCGAGAUCCGAUGAAUUGUGGAUUUAUGAUCAGAUUAUCUAUGAAUCUUAUUUAAGUUUCUUCUGAUCUUUUAUAUGCAUGAUUUCAUAUCUUUGUAAUUCUCUUCGAGUUGUGGGUUUUGUUUGGCCAACUUGAUCUAUGAUUCUUGCAAUGGGAGAAGUGCUUGGUUUUGGGUUCAUACCGUGCGGUGACCUCACCCAGUGACAGAAGGGGUAGCGAGGCACGCAUCGUGUUGUUGCCAUCAAGGGUAAAAAGAUGGGGUUUAUNNNNNNNNNNNNNNNNNNNNNNNNNNNNNNNNNNNNNNNNNNNNNNNNNNNNNNNNNNNNNNNNNNNNNNNNNNNNNNNNNNNNNNNNNNNNNNNNNNNNCAAUACAAAGUUCUCCAUGAUCUUCAUGGAGAUCUAUCCGAUGUAAUCCUCUUUGGCGGUGUGUUUGUCAAGAUCUGAUGAAUUGUGGAUUUGUGAUCAGAUUAUCUAUGAUAUAUAUUUGAGUCUUUGCUGAUUUCUUAUAUGCAUGAUUUGAUAUCCUUGUAAGUUUCUCCGAGUCUUGGGUUUUGUUUGGCCAACUAGAUCUAUGAUUCUUGCAAUGGGAGAAGUGCUUGGUUUUGUGUUCUUACCGUGUGGUGACCUUUCCCAGUGACAGUAGGGUAACAAGGUGGGCUUUGUCGUAGAUAUGAGAUUGUCCAUCUACAUCAUGUCAUCUUUCUUAAGGCGUUACUCUGUUCUUUUGGACUUAAUACACUAGAUGCAUGCUGGAUAGCGGUCGACGUGUGGAGUAAUAGUACUAGAUGCAGAAAGUAUCGGUCUACUUGUUUUGGACGUGAUGCCUAUAGAUACAAUCAUUGCCAUAGAUGAUGUCACGACUUUGCGCGGUUCUAUCAAUUGCUCGACAGUAAUUUGUUCACCCACCGUCUACUUGCUUUCAUGAGAGAAGCCACUAGUAAACACUACGGCCCCCGGGUCUAUUCACACCUAUCGUUUCCACUUUCGCUUUUACUUUGCUUUGUUACUUUGUUGCUUUCAGUUCUCACUUGGCGAACAAUCUAUAAGGGAUUGACAACCCCUUCAUAGCAUUGGGAGCAAGCUUUUUGUGUUUAUGCAGGCACUUGAGAUACUCCUUCACUGGAUCGAUACCUUUGUUCUCAAACUGAGGGAAAUACUUACCACCGCUGCGCUACAUCACCCUNNNNNNNNNNUGGAGAAGUGCUUGGUUUUGGGUUCUUACUGUGUGGUGACCUUUCCUAGUGACAGUAGGGGCAACAAGGCACACAUUGUGUAGUUGCCAUCAAGGGUAACAAGGUGGGCUUUGUCGUAGAUAUGAUAUUGUCCAUCUACAUCAUGUCAUCUUGCUUAAGGCGUUACUCUGUUCUUUUGGACUUAAUACACUAGAUGCAUGCUGGAUAGCGGUCGACGUGUGGAGUAAUAGUAGUAGAUGCAGAAAGUAUUGGUCUACUUGUUUUGGACAUGAUGCCUAUAGAUAUAAUCAUUGCCAUAGAUGACGCCACGACUUUGCGCGGUUAUAUCAAUUGCUCGACAGUAAUUUGUUCACCCACCGUCUACUUGCUUUCAUGAGAGAAUCCACUAGUAAACACUACGGCCCCCGGGUCUAUUCACACAUAUCGUUCCACCUUCGCUUUUACUUUGCUUUGUUACUUUUUUGCUUUCAGUUCUCACUUGGCGAACAAUCUAUAAGGGAUUGACAACCCCUUCAUAGCGUUGGGAGCAAGCUUUUUAUGUUUGUGCAGGCACUUGAGAUACUCCUUCACUGGAUCGAUACGUUGGUUCUCAAACUGAGGGAAAUACUUACCACCGCUGCGCUACAUCACCCUUUACGCUUCGAGGGAACACCAAUGCAAAGCUCCAAGGCCACGGGGGAAAUCCAUUGCAUAUUUGCCUAGGAAGUCCCUUAAGGCGUAGCCGUAGCAGAAGGAUUCCUGGUGCCGUCGCUGAGGAGUAUCAAGACAAGAUCUCCCAUCAACACUCCUAUUUCUGGCGCCGUUGGAAGGUCUUUUGUUGCAGUAGCAGAAGUAUUUCUGGCGCCGUUGCCGGGGAAGGAGAGAUCUAUCCAAGUAGGUCUCACAAACUCAUCUCUUGCAUUUACCUUUUUUGCAAGUUGCCUCUCGUUUUCCUCUCCCCCACUUCACAUUUGCCGCUUUCAUUUGCCUUUCUCCUUUGCCUUUUUCGUUUGCCUUUUCGUUCACCCUUUUCUCUCGCUUGCUUUCUGUUCGCUUGUGUUCCAUGUGCCUUCAUUAUGCUUGCAUCUUCGCUUGCUGAAAAUCUAGUGAUAUGGAUCCUCACCCACUUGCUAAUCUCUUUAAGAGAUCNNNNNNNNNNAAGUUGAGGGCACUUGACUAUUUUUAUGGAGUUUUGCUUGAGAUGCAUGAAUCUGAAAAUUGCGAGGAAGAAAUUUAUGAAGUGAUUCACGAGGGCUCCUUGGAUGAAAAGCAUGAUUGCAAUGGUUUCACUAUAAAUUCUAUUAGUGGCAAUUAUGCUAAAAAUAUGCAAAACCCUUAGCUUGGGGAUGCUAGUUUUGCUAUGUCCACUACUUGGUGCAAUAAUCAUUAUUGGGGUGAUGAUCUUUCUUAUGAUCUAGAAAAUUUGUUCAAACCUCAUGAUGAAUAUGAUAUUUGUAACAAUAUUAAAAGUGGGAUUGGAGAAGUCAUGACUUUAGUUGAUGAUAAUCCCACUAUUUNNNNNNNNNNNNNNNNNNNNNNNNNNNNNNNNNNNNNNNNNNNNNNNNNNNNNNNNNNNNNNNNNNNNNNNNNNNNNNNNNNNNNNNNNNNNNNNNNNNNAUCUCUGAACCCAUGGCUCCCUUUCUUUACCAUGCUUCCUAGCAGUGAAGUCAUUCUUAUCGUAUCUCUUAGGUUGUGGGUUAUCAGGAGUAACCGUAGGUUCAAUCUCCACAUCCUCAUCAUUGCUAGGUUGAGCAUUAUUAUGAACAUCACUGUCCAUAUUGUCACCAGGUUCAUGUUCAUCACCAGAUUGUGUUUCUGCAUCAGACGCAGAAAUAUCAUUAGGUUCUUCAGGUGUGAUAGUAUUUGGUGAACUGGCAUGUAGGUUACUAUCAUCCUUCUUCUUCUCCUUAGGAUGACUGGGUGUAUCAGCAUUGAUUCCUUGAGAAUCUUGAUCGAUUCUCUUAGGAUGACCUUCAGGAUACAAAGGUUCCUGAGUCAUUUUGCCUCCUCUAGUGAUGACUCUGACAGAGUUGUUAUUUAAUUCAUUGAGUAGGUCAUUCUGAGCUUUAAGUACUUGUUCUACCUGAGUAGUAAUCAUAGAGGCAUAAGCUUCAGAUCAUUGACAUUUCUGUGUACACAAGCACUUAAAUGGCUAAACAUACGAGUACUUUGUUCCAAAUGUCUGCUAACAUAAUCAUUGAAACUCUGUUGUUUGGCAACAAAGUUGUGAAAUUCAUCGAAGCAUAGGCUAGCAGGUUUGUCAAAAGUAAUAUCACUCUCAUCAAACCUACGCAGAGAAUUCACUUCUACUACUUGUAUCGGGUUAUCGAGACCAUGGAUCUCUUCGAUAGGUGGUAGAUUUUUGACAUCUUUAGAUCUAAUGCCUUUCUCUUGCAUAGAUUUCUUGGCUUCUUGCAUAUAUUCGGGACUGAGGAAUAGAAUACCUCUUUUCUUAGGAGUUGGCUUAGGAGGUGGUUCGGGAAUAGUCCAAGCAUUAUCGUUGAUCAAGAUGUAAUUCAGUAGAGUCUCAGCUUGUUCUGCAGUUCGUUCCCUAAAAACACAACCGACACAACUAUCUAGGUGGUCUCUAGAGGCAUCGGUAAGUCCGUUAUAGAGGAUAUCAAGUAUCUCGUUCUUCUUAAGUGGGUGAUCAGGCAAAGCAUUUUGUAGCUGGACGAGGCUCCCCAAGCUUGUGGGAGACUCUCUUCUUGGAGUUGAGCAAAGUUGUAUAUUUUCUGCAAGGAAACUUGCUUCUUAUGGGCAGGGAAAUAUUUCUCAUAGAAGUAAUAGACCAUAUCCUGGGGACUACUCACUCAUCCAGGAGCAAGAGAGGUGAACCAGGCUUUAGCGUCAUCCUUUAGAGAGAAAGGAAACAGCUUAAGGAUAUAGUAGUGGCGGNNNNNNNNNNUCUCACUAGUGAAAAGGGUGGCUAUAUCGUGUAGUUUGGUAAGAUGGAAUACUACCAUCUCAGACUCAUAACCGUGGAAAUGAUUAGAUUCGACUAGAGAGAUUACCUUAGGAUCAACAGAGAAUUCAUANNNNNNNNNNNNNNNNNNNNNNNNNNNNNNNNNNNNNNNNNNNNNNNNNNNNNNNNNNNNNNNNNNNNNNNNNNNNNNNNNNNNNNNNNNNNNNNNNNNNUCAGGGGGCUUGUGGGCCAAGCCAGGAGGGCUACAGGGAGCCCACAAGCCCCCCAUCCGCCACCAAGGGGGCGGCGGUGGGCAGGCUUCUGGCCUCCCUGGCGCCCCCUGACCUAGAUCCUUCGCCUAUAUAUUCCCUAAAAUACAGAAAAAAAUCAAGGAUCCACGAAAAUAAUUUUCCGACGCCGCAAGCUUCCGUUUCCGUAAGAUCUCAUCUGGAGACCCUUCUCGGUGCCCUGCCGGAGGGGACUUUGGAGUUGGAGGGCUUCUACAUCAACAUCAUCGCCCCUCCAAUGACUCGUGAGUAGUUCACUUCAGACCUACGGGUCCGUAGUUAGUAGCUAGAUGGCUUCGUCUCUCUCUCUCUUGGAUCUUCAAUACAAAGUUCUCCAUGAUCUUCAUGGAGNNNNNNNNNNAGUUUUCUCUGUGUUUUUGGCUCUUUUCAUAUCUGAUUUUGGAACGGAGUCCAAACGGAAUAAAAUCCCCGAAUUAAAUUUUUCCCGAACGGAAGAAGCUCAGGGGGCUUGUGGGCCAAGCCAGGAGGGCUACAGGGAGCCCACAAGCCCCCCAUCCGCGACCAGGGGGCGGCGGUGGGCAGGCUUGUGGCCUCCCUGGCGCCCCCCUGGCCUAGAUCCUUCGCCUAUAUAUUCCCGAAAAUACAGAAAAAAAAUCAAGGGAUCCACGAAAAUACUUUUCCGCCGUCGCAAGCUUCCGUUUCCGCGAUAUCUCAUCUGGAGACCCUUCCCGGUGCCCUGCCGGAGGGGACUUUGGAGUUGGAGGGCUUCUACAUCAANNNNNNNNNNNNNNNNNNNNNNNNNNNNNNNNNNNNNNNNNNNNNNNNNNNNNNNNNNNNNNNNNNNNNNNNNNNNNNNNNNNNNNNNNNNNNNNNNNNNCCCAACAAUGACAUAAUUAGCCCAUUUAGCUCCAAAAUACCAUAAUAAUCUCAAAAUGGCAUAAGAACCUUGGUUACCUCAUGAAUAUUAUAUACUUAGCUUGUUUUCCUCUAAAAUGGGAUAAUUAGCCCAUUUCGCUCCAAAAAGACAUAAUUAGGUAAUUUAGCUCCAACAAGAGGAUAAGAGGAUAAGAAAUAGGAAAAAUGAAAAGAAAGAAGAAGAAGAAGCAGAAGAAGAGAAGGAGAAGGAGGAGGAGGAGGAGGAGGUGAAGGAGAAGGCCAAGGACCUUCUAGUCCUUCUCCUCCUCCUCCUUCUCCUCCUUCUUCUUGAUUUCUUCUUCUUCUCCUCCUCCUCCUCUUUCUUCUUAUCUUUCAUAUUAUCCUUGCUUUAAUUUCCCCAACAAUGACAUAGUUAGCCCAUUUAGCUCCAAAAUACCAUAAUAUGCUCAAAAUAGCAUAAGAACCUUGGUUAGAUCAUGAAUAUUAUAUACUUAGCUUGUUUUCCUCUAAAAUGGGAUAAUUAACCCAUUUAGCUCGAAAAAGACAUAAUUAGGUAAUUUAGCUCCAACAAGAGGAGAAGAGGAAAAGAAAUAGGAAAAAUGAAAAGAAAGAAGAAGAAGAAGAAGAAGAAGAAGAAGAAGAGAAGAAGGAGAAGGAGGAGGAGGAGNNNNNNNNNNNNNNNNNNNNNNNNNNNNNNNNNNNNNNNNNNNNNNNNNNNNNNNNNNNNNNNNNNNNNNNNNNNNNNNNNNNNNNNNNNNNNNNNNNNNCCCUUAGUGGGCUGGUGGGACAGCCCACCAAUCCCCUAUGCGCCAAGAGAGAAAAAAUCAAAGGAAAGGAAAAAAAAGGAAGAAGUGGGAAAGGGGAAGGACUCCCUCCCACCAAACCAAGUAGGACUCGGUUUGGGGGGGGGGAGAGUCCUCCCCCCUGGCUCGGCCGACCCCNNNNNNNNNNNNNNNNNNNNNNNNNNNNNNNNNNNNNNNNNNNNNNNNNNNNNNNNNNNNNNNNNNNNNNNNNNNNNNNNNNNNNNNNNNNNNNNNNNNNNNNNNNNNNNNNNNNNNNNNAUCCCUUGGACCCCAAGGCAAGGUCCCCCUCCCUCCUCCUAUAUAUAUGGGGCUUUUAGGGAAGAUUUGAGACGACUUUCUCACGGCUGCCCGACACAUACCUCCAUAGUUUUUCCUCUAGAUUGUGUUUCUGCGGAGCUCGGGCGGAGCCCUGCUGAGACAAGAUCAUCACCAACCUCCGGAGCGCCGUCACGCUGCCGGAGAACUCUUCUACCUCUCCGUCUCUCUUGCUGGAUCAAGAAGGCCGAGAUCAUCGUCGAGCUGUACGUGUGCUGAACGCGGAGGUGCCGUCCGUUCGGUACUAGAUCGUGGGACUGAUCGCGGGAUUGUUCGCGGGGCGGAUCGAGGNNNNNNNNNNNNNNNNNNNNNNNNNNNNNNNNNNNNNNNNNNNNNNNNNNNNNNNNNNNNNNNNNNNNNNNNNNNNNNNNNNNNNNNNNNNNNNNNNNNNAGCGGUCAAGUCCCACCCCCGAUGCCCGUCUUCUCUUUGAUUGGCACGGUGAGUUUAAUUAUAAACUAGUAUUAAUAAUUGAGUGUCAUCAUGCUAACUGAGACAUUGCAAAAAUAUCUUUUCUGCAGAAUAAGUCCCGAGCGGCAUCGCACGACCCUUCUCCAAGGCAACCGUCUCCAAACGAAGCCGCCGCGAGCAACCGUGGUGUUUCUCCUCCUUGAUGACCACUACAGUAAGUUUCUCUUCUCCUCUUUCAUAUUAUCCUUGCUUUAAUUUCCCAAAAAGACAUAAUUAGCCCAUUUAGCUCCAAAAUUCCAUAAUAACCUCAAAAUGGCAAAAGAACCUUGGUUAGCUCAUGAAUAUUAUAUACUUAGCUUGUUUUCCUCUAAAAUGAGAUAUUUAGCCCAUUUAGCUCCAAAAGGACAUAAUUAGGUAAUUUAGCUCCAAGAAGAGGAGAAGAGGAGAAGAAAUAGGAAAAAUGAAAAGAAAGAAGAAGAAGGAGAAGAGAAGAAGGAGAAGGAGGAGGAGGAGGAGGAGGAGGAGGAGAAGGAGGAGAAGGCCAAGGACCUUCUAGUCCUUCUCCUCCUCCUCCUUCUGCUCCUUCUUCUUGAUUUCUUCUUCUUAUCCUCCUCCUCCUCUUUCUUCUCCUCUUUUAUAUUAUCCUUGCUUUAAUUUCCCCAAAAAGACAUAAUUAGCCCAUUUAGCUCCAAAAUGCCAUAAUAACCUCAAAAUGGCAUAAGAACCUUGGUUAGCUCAUGAAUAUUAUAUACUUAGCUUGUUUCCCUCUAAAAUGAGAUAAUUAGCCCAUUUAGCUCCAAAAAGACAUAAUUAGGAAAUUUAGCUCCAAGAAGAGGUGAAGAGGAGAAGAGGAGAAGAAAUAGGAAAAAUGACAAGAAAGAAGAAGAAGAAGAAGAGAAGAAGGAGAAGGAGGAGGAGGAGGAGGAGAAGGUCAAGGACCUUCUAGUCCUUCUCGUCCUCCGCCUUCUCCUCCUUCUCCUCCUUAUUCUUGAUUUCUUAUUCUUCUCCUCCUCCUCUUUCUUCUCCAUAAUAACCUCAAAAUGGCAUAAGAACCUUGGUUAGCUCAUGAAUAUUAUAUACUUAGCUUGUUUCCCUCUAAAAUGAGAUAAUUAGCCCAUUUAGCUCCAAAAAGACAUAAUUAGGUAAUUUAGCUCCAAGAAGAGGAGAAUAAAUAGGAAAAAUGAAAAGAAAGAAGAAGAAGAAUAAGACAAGAAGGAGAAGGAGGAGAAGGAGGAGGAGGAGGAGUAGAAGGAGGAGAAGGCCAAGGACCUUCUAGUCCUUCUCCUCCUUCUCCUCCUUCUUCUUGAUUUCUUCUUCUUCUCCUCCUCCCCCUCUUUCUUCUCCUCUUUCAUAUUAUCCUUUCUUUAAUUUCCCCAACAAUGACAUAAUUAGCCCAUUUAGCUCCAAAAUGCCAUAAUAAGCUCAAAAUGGCAUAAGAACCUUGGUUAGCUCAUGAAUANNNNNNNNNNCAAAUGGGAUAAUUAGCCCAUUUAGCUCCAAAAAGACAUAGUUAGGUAAUUUAGCUCCAACAAGAGGAGAAGAGGAGAAGAAAUAGGAAAAAUGAGAAGAAAGAAGAAGAAGAAGAAGAAGAAGAAGAAGAGAAGAAGGAGAAGGAGGAGGAGGAGAAGGAGAAGGCCAAGGACCUUCUAGUCCUUCUCCUCCUCCUCCUUCUCCUCCUUCUCCUCCUUCUUGAUUUCUUCUUCUUCUCCUCCUCCUCCUCCUCUUUCUUCUCCUAUUCCAUAUUAUCCUUGCUUUAAUUUCCCCAACAAUGACAUAAUUAGCCCAUUUAGCUCCAAAAUACCAUAAUAACCUCAAAAUGGCAUAAGAACCUUGGUUAGCUCAUGAAUAUUAUAUACUUAGCUUGUUUCCCUCUAAAAUGGGAUAAUUAGCCCAUUUAUCUCCAAAAACACAUAAUUAGGUAAUUUAGCUCCAACAAGAGGAGAAGAGGGGAAGAAAUAGGAAAAAUGAAAAGAAAGAAGAAGAAGAAGAAGAAGAGAAGAAGGAGAAGGAGGAGGAGGAGGNNNNNNNNNNNNNNNNNNNNNNNNNNNNNNNNNNNNNNNNNNNNNNNNNNNNNNNNNNNNNNNNNNNNNNNNNNNNNNNNNNNNNNNNNNNNNNNNNNNNAGGGAGUCACAAGCCCUCACGCCGCCACCCCCCCCCCCCNNNNNNNNNNNNNNNNNNNNNNNNNNNNNNNNNNNNNNNNNNNNNNNNNNNNNNNNNNNNNNNNNNNNNNNNNNNNNNNNNNNNNNNNNNNNNNNNNNNNNNNNNNNNNNNNNNNNGGCCCAACUGACGCAAUUCCACCGCCAUAAAUUCCUAUAAAUUCAUAAACCUCCAGAAAGAAACCUAGAUCGGGAGUUCCGCCGCCGCAAGCCUCUGUAGCCACCAAAAACCAAUCUGGAGGCCGUUCUGGCACCCUGCCGGAGGAGGAAUCCAUCUCCGGUGGCCAUCUUCAUCAUCCUGGCGAUCUCCAGGACGAGGAGGGAGUAGUUCUCCCUCGGGCUGAGGAUAUGUACCAGUACCUAUGUGUUUGAUCUCUCUCUCUCGUGUUCUUGAGAUGUCUUGAUCUCGAUGUACCAUGGGCUUUGCUACUAUAGUUGGAUCUUAUGAUGUUCUUCCCCCUCUCCCUCUUGUAAUGAAUUGAGUUUCCCCCUUGGAGUUAUCUUAUCGGAUUGAGUCUUUGAGAACACUUGAUGUAUGUCUUGCACGUGUCUAUCUGCUGUGAUCAACUUGCGGGUUCGUGACAUUGGGAACCUAUGCAUAUGGGUUGGCACACGUGGAUUCAUGUGAGUACUUGAUGUGUGUUUUGGUGAUCAACUUGCGGGUUCGUGACAUUGGGAACCUAUGCACAGGGGUUGGCACACGUUUUGACUCUCUGGUAGAAACUUUGGGGCACUCUUUGAAGUUCUAUGUGUUGGUUGAAUAGAUGAUUCGGAGAUUGUGUGAUGCAUAUCGUAUAAUCAUACCCACGGAUACUUGAGGUGACAAUGGAGUAUAUAGGUGACAUUAGGGUCUUGGUUGAUAUGUAUCUUAAGGUGUUAUUCUAGUACGAACUCUAUGAUGGACCGAACGGAAAGAAUAGCUUCGUGUUAUUUUACUACGGACUCUUGAAUAGAUCGAUCAGAAAGAAUAACUUUGUGGUGGUUUCGUACCCGACAAUAAUCUCUUCGUUUGUUCCCCGCUAUUAGUGACUUUGGAGUGACUCUUUGUUACAUGUUGAGGGCUAGUUAUAUGAUCCAAUUAUGUUAUCAUUGUUGAGAGAACUUCACUAGUGAAAGUAUGAACCCUAGGCCUUGUUUCCACGCAUUGCAAUACCGUUCUUGCUCACUUUUACCAUUGCAAUACCUUGAUGUUUUUGUAAUUUCAGAUUACAAAAACCUAUAUCUACCAUCCAUAUUGCACUUGUAUCACCAUCUCUUCGCCGAACUAGUGCACCUAUACAACUUACCAUUGUAUUAGGUGUAUUGGGGACACAAGAGACUCUUUGUUAUUUGGUUGCAGGGUUGCUUGAGAGAGACCAUCUUCAUCCUACGCCUCCUGCGGAUUGAUAAACCUUAGGUCACCCACUUGAGGGAAAACUGCUACUGUCCUACAACCCUCUGCACUUGGAGGCCCAACAACGUCUACAAGGAGAAGGUUGUGUAGUAGACAUCAGGUAGCGAGGCACGCAUCGUGUUGUUGCCAUCAAGGGUAAAAAGAUGGGGUUUACAUCGUUGGUUUGAGUUUAUCCCUCUACAUCAUGUCAUUUUGCUUAAGGCGUUACUCUCUUCGUCAUAAACUCAAUACACUAGAUGCAUGCUGGAUAGCGGUCGAUGUGUGAAGUAAUAAUAGUAGAUGCAGAAAGUAUCGGUCUACUUGUCUCGGACGUGAUGCCUANNNNNNNNNNGUCAUGACUUUGCGCGGUUCUAUCAAUUGAUCGACAGUAAUUUGUUCACCCACCGUAAUAUUUGCUAUUUUGAGAGAAGCCUCUAGUGAACACUAUGGCUCCCGGGUCUACUUCAAUAAUAUUUUCAGCCUUACAAUUUUACUUCGUUGCACUUUCCGGCUUCAGAUCUCACUUUGCAAUCAAUCUUGAAGGGAUUAACAACCCCUUUAUAGCGUUGGGUGCAAGCUUGUUUGUGUUUGCGCAGGUACUCUGGACACUUGGCUUGAUUCUCCUACUUGAUUGAUACCUUGGCUCUCAAAACUAAGGGAAAUACUUACUGCUACUGUGCUGCAUCACCCUUUCCUCUUCAAGGGAAAAACCAACGCAAGCUCAAGAGGCAGCAGAAGGAUUUCUGGCGGCGUUGCCGGGGAGGAUCAAGUCAAGAAUAGUCUCCCGUCAACGUGUCAAUUUCUGGCACCGGGGAUUAUUCUAGGUGAAGCUCAUCCAAGUAAGUGUCGCAAACUCAUCUCUUGCAUUUACUUUUUUGCCUCUCGUUUUCCUCUCCCCCACUUCUGAAAAACAAAAAUUUACAAAAAUAUUUGCCUUUUUCGUUUGCCCUUUUCUUUCACUUGCUUUCUGUUUGCUUGUGUUGCCAUGUGCCUUCAAUAUGCUUGCAUCUUCGCUUGUUGAAAAUCUAUUGAUAUGGAUUCUCAUCCACUUGCUAAUCUCUUUAAGAGAUCAAAUUAUGUUGAUCCAAUUGCUNNNNNNNNNNNNNNNNNNNNNNNNNNNNNNNNNNNNNNNNNNNNNNNNNNNNNNNNNNNNNNNNNNNNNNNNNNNNNNNNNNNNNNNNNNNNNNNNNNNNUAAUGCAACAUCACACACAAGCCUUGCAAGCAAUGUAACUUAGUGUAAGUUGCGGGAUCUUGUAUUACGGAACGAGUAAAGAGACUUGCCGGUAAACGAGGUUGAAAUAGGUAUACGGAUACUGACGAUCGAAUCUCGGGCAAGUAACAUACCGAAGGACAAAGGGAAUGACAUACGGGAUUAUACGAAUCCUUGGCACUGAGAUUCAAACUAUAAGAUCUUCGUAGAAUAUGUAGGAUCCAAUAUGGGCAUCCAGGUCCNNNNNNNNNNUGAAUCCUUGGCACUGAGGUUCAAACGAUAAGAUCUUCGUAGAAUAUGUAGGAUCCAAUAUGGGCAUCCAGGUCCCGAUAUUGGAUACUAAGGAGUCUCUCGGGUCAUGUCUACAUAGUUCUCGAACCCGCAGGGUCUNNNNNNNNNNCUGUUGGAUAUUGACCGAGGAGUCUCUCGGGUCAUGUCUACAUAGUUCUCGAACCCGCAGGGUCUGCACACUUAAGGUUCGACGUUGUUUUAUGCAUAUUUGAGUUAUAUGGUUGGUUAUCGAAUGUUGUUCGGAGUCCCGGAUGAGAUGAAGGACGUCACGAGGGUUUCCGGAAUGGUCCGGAAACGAAGAUUGAUAUAUAGGAUGACCUCAUUUGAUUACCGGAAGGUUUUCGGAAUUACCGGGAAUGUACCGGGAAUGACGAAUGGGUUCCGGGAGUUCACCGGGGGGGGGGGGCAACCCCCCCNNNNNNNNNNNNNNNNNNNNNNNNNNNNNNNNNNNNNNNNNNNNNNNNNNNNNNNNNNNNNNNNNNNNNNNNNNNNNNNNNNNNNNNNNNNNNNNNNNNNGUAUCAGGCAUAGCAUCAGGCAUAGUAUCAAGCAUAGCAUCUCUAGCAGUAGUAUCACAAGCAUCAUCAAGCACAGGCGAUAUAUCAAGAUUUCUAGCAGGAGGUGAUGUCGCAAACUUACUCAUAACUGAAGGUGAAUCAAGUGCAGAGCUAGAUGGCAAUUCCUUACCUCCCCUCGUAGUUGAGGGCAAGACUUUGGUCUUCGGAUCCUUCAGAUUCUUCAUAGUGAUCAGCACAUAUAAAUCCCAAGUGACUCAGAGAAUAUAGCAAUACCUCCCCGGCAACGGCGCCAGAAAAAUGCUGAUCGUGCAAUCUCUGGCGUUAAAUAGACGAAUGCUUAUGACAACAAACCUUCUCCUGCAACGGCACCAGAAGAAUGCUGCUAGCACUCCCCGGCAAUGAAACUGGAAGAACAUUGUUGAUGGCCCACCAACGUGUGGGUUCGCAGCAAUUUUCGAGGGUAGAGUAUUCGACCCAAUUUGUUGAUAAGCCUAAGGAGGUGAGAGUAUACUCUCAAGUAUUAGCAGCUGAAUUUGUCAGAUUCAACCACACCUGAAAGAUUAGUAUCUACAAGAACAGUAGUAACAGCAAAGUAAUAUGAUAACAACGGUGUGAGAAAUGAUCUGUUGACGGCAGACUAUUCCUAACGAUCGUAUCAAUGGCGCCUUCGUUGCCGCGUCGACAAGAGUUUUCAAUUCUCGUCAACGGUAGGUGAACCAACAGUGUAGCAGGUAGCAGCAGUGUAACGAGCAAUAGCAGUGGCAAGGAACAACAGUAGUGACAGCGGUAGCAAGUAGCAGCAGUAGCAAGCAAUAGUAGUAACAACAGUAGUAGUAGCAGCAGCAGAGCAAAACAAGUAACAGCAGUAGCAACAGUAGUAGCAGCAGUAGGACAAACUCGUUGGCAAUGGGUCGGUGAUUUGUUUGGAUGAUAUUCAUCAUGCAAUAGCUAUAACACGGAGAGAUAAGUGGCUAGCUCUCAUUCAUCAAUGUGAUGUAGGCAUGCAUUCCGUGUGUCGUCAUACGUGCUUAGGGAAAAGAACUUGCAUGACAUCUAUUGUCCAUCCCUCCCGUGGCAGCGGGGUCCAAAAGGAAACUACGGGAUAUUAAGGUUCUCCUUUUAAUAAAGAACCGGACCAACGCAUUAGCACUUGGUGAACACAUGAACUCCUCAAACUUUGGUUAUCACCGGGAGUGGUUCCGGUUAUUGUCACUCCGGGGUUGUCGGAUCAUAACACAUAGUAGGUAGCUACAACUUGCAAGAUCGGAUCUAAAACACACAUAUAUUGGUGACAACAUAAUAAUUUCAGAUCUGAAAUCAUGGCACUCGGGCCCUAGUGACAAACAUUAAGCAUGGCAAAGUAGUAGCAACAUCAAUCUCAGAACAUAGUGGAUACUAGGGAUAAAUCCCCAUCAAAACUAACUCGAUUACAUGAUAGAUCUCAUCCUACUCAUCACCGCCCAGCGAGCCUACGAAUAGAUUACUCACGAAUGACGAAGAGCUUCAUGGAAUUGGAUAGGGAAGAAGCUUGAUGAUGACGAUGGCGACGAUUUCCCCUCUCCGGAGCCCAAGACGGACUCCAGAUCUGCCCUCCAAAUGAAGAACAGGUGGUGGCGGCUCCUCCAUAUCGAAAACGCGAUGAAAACUUCUCUUUUUAUUUUUUCUGGGACGAAAGUGUGACAGCCCGAUGCCGAUGUUCCAGAAGAUUCCCGUUCUAUUCCGUUUUCGUCGUGUGUCUAUUUUAUUUUGUCGCAUCAUCAUCGCAUCAUGCGCAUCAUCUGCAUUGCAUCGGCAUCUCCGUUGCCGCCAGUUUUCAAACUUGCAUCCGUUGUUAGUUGCCGGUUCGCGUCGUUAUCUGUUCUGAGCUCGACCGCACAUGCACGCGCCCGCGGCUUCGUCAAAACCCUGUUUUAAAAGUGUGCGUAAAACUUUCUGUCAUCAGGGUGAAACUUCGCAUGCGGUCGCGAUUAGUUAUAGCCAGGCCGCUUGUCGAAUUUCGUCGCGAUCGAAGUUCGUCUCGUACCCGAACGAUCGACCGUAGCGGCACCGUAUUCGGUCUACCGUCGGACGUUUGUCGGUGUUUUAAAAAUUGUUGCCGCGCCGCCCAUUUCCCCUCUCCUCUCCGGAUAUCCCCUCUACAAAGCCACUCGCCCGUUCUCGCGUUCGGAAUCGUCCGAAUUCGACCGCACGGUUGGAUCCGGAACAGAAUUCCGGGUAACCUAGCCCCCUCAUUUGUUAUAAAUAGACCCAUCCUCCUAUUUUUUUUAGGUAGCCACCCCUUUGCCUCGGGAUCCGCGCCCCACCUGACCCUAGCGCAGCCAACCCCCUCCUUCCACCUCCAGCCGUCAGGCCCGCCAGAGCCCGGGUCAGGCCCGCCGAAGCCCAUAUGGGCCCGUGGCUAACCCCUAGCCGAGCUCCUCUCCAACCCCGCCGCGUGCAGGUCGCCGCCGCCAACCCGGCUAGCCGCCGGCCUCCUCCCGGUCUCCAGCCCCAUCGUCGGCCGGUGCCCCAGCCCGGCUGCACCGCCCCGUCCCCAGCGCCUCGCCGGAGGAGAGCAUCUGUGCCUGGGAGCAGCUCCUCCGCCGCCACCGUUCUGCUUCCCCGUCGGCGCCUCCCUGCAAGUCGUGCGUUGCCGCGCCAGGGCCCGCCGUGCCUCGCGCCGGAGCGCCGCCGCCUCGGCCUCCGUGGUCGCCUGAGGCCUCGCCGGGCGGGCUCCCGUCGCCGCCGUCCGCUGGAGGCCCCGCCGCCGCCAGGUUCGUGCCCUCGGGCACGACGAGGGACUCUGUCCCAGCACCUCCAACAACCCCCCCCCCCNNNNNNNNNNNNNNNNNNNNNNNNNNNNNNNNNNNNNNNNNNNNNNNNNNNNNNNNNNNNNNNNNNNNNNNNNNNNNNNNNNNNNNNNNNNNNNNNNNNNCUCCCUUCCGCCCUAGUUGCAUUUGGGUGCGACAUUUGAUGUCGCGCCUAGUCGCAGAACUGCAACUACCCCCCUCCCUCACGUCCCCCCUAUGAAACAUUGUAGAAUUACAACUCUGUUGCAGACAUGUAGUUGUAGUUGGGACAUGACACUUUUUGUUCUUUGCCAAGUGGUAUACAUGCAAUCGCCUCUUCCCAAACGUACUAUCACUAACUUGCAGUCGUGUUUAAGACAUGCAGUUGUUGUCAGGGCGAUUGUGUAACUAGACAACACUAUUUUCAAAUUAAAAUAAAAUAAAAUUUGUUUAAUAAAGAAAUAAAAAAAGAAAUAGUCGUUCCAUUAGUAAGAAAAUGGUUUGAAAAGAGCAUGAAAAGUAAAAAAAUGGAAAUACAAUGUCACAAAAAUGGACACACACACACACACACAAAGCAUUAAAAGAGCACUUAGAAGGAAAUAAAAAGAAUAGUAAAAAAGUAGAUAAAACACCAUCAAGUUAUAGCUACAUGGAAGACAUAGAGUUGCGGUCGAGGAUGACACUUGCAGUUACGCGCCUAGUGGCACACACACAACUACCCUUCUGCCUCAACAUAGCAUUACAAAAUUGCAGUCGGACAUGACACUCGCAUUUGCAUGUAUAAUGUUUGACAUGCAACUGUCCCUCCUCUGCCCAUCAAAACACCACAGAGUUGUAGUUGCGUUGAAAACACAGUUACACACUCAGGGACAACACUUAUAGUUGCAUACCUAAUCAGGACAUGCAACGGAACACCACAUGGUUGCAAUCGACGGAAUACACUUAUAGUUAUGUGCCUAGUGGCAUACAUUCACAUACACCCUCCAUGUCAAAUACACCAUAGGUUUGUAGUGGUGUAAUAGACAUGCAACUACAAUUGAGACAUGACACAUGCAAUCAUGUGUCUAGUAGUAGACAUGCAACAUCGUCAUGUACCGGGUUUUCAAAAUUGCGCAAAGACAAGUACCUGCAAUGGGGCAUGUGUGCAACUAUAGUUGCACAUGAGUUAUAUUAAAAAAUGUUUGUGUAAUAAAAAAUUACAUUAAAAAUAUAUGUGUUUUAAUUUAAUGAUUUUAAAACUAUUCACACCCUAUAUAGAAACAUAUAAUUUCAAAUUCAUAAUCAGUUUAACAAACAUCACUUAGAAAAUGAACAUGAGAAGAAAAAAGGAAUACAAAUGUAACCUAAAAAUGAAAUAAAAUGGGAAAAGAGAAAGAAAAAACUAAAAUUCCUGAAAAAAAAACUAGAGAAAUAAAAGAAAUGCAAUGUUGAUAUACAUUUAAAGAAAAACUGAAAAGGCCGCAACAACCGGAUCGGUGACUGGUUAAACCCACAACAACAAAAUGCAGAAAAUAAUACUUCCUUCAUAAACUAAUAUAAAAGUAUUUAAAACACUACUUUAAUAAUCUAAAAGCUUUUAAUUAGUUUACAGAGGGAAUACAAAACUGUGAGGCCCAAUGACUAGCUAAAGCCCAUACAACAAACAAAAACAACACCGAACAAAUAAAAAAGCCCAAGCUCAUGCAACCUGAACGCUUAAACCCUUCAUAAAAGGGAGUAACUUGUUGGCUAGCGUUUUUCUUGGGAGCCUUCAGCGAUCAAUCCGGGGCGCCGUCACUUGAUGCAUUUUCCACCGUCGUCAUAUGUCACGUUUUGAGCGUUUCUUUCAGAUUCUAUUUUUUAUUUUAUUAUUUCGCAGGCGUUUUUGGCUUUGUCGGUGUUUCUGUUUUUUACCGGUCUUUCUUAGCUUUUGAACAAAAAAAAUCAACUUUUUUACGUAAAAGAAGUCCUCUUCUAUCUUGCCUGUCGAAAACGGAAAAAGGAGACAUGUGUUUUCUUUUUUUCUUUCAUAAGAGAUACGGUUUUGCUUUUGUAAAAGGCACGGAUUUAGUUUCGCGAGAGGCACGGCCGUGUUUUUCAGAAACGGAAAAACGUGUGUUUUUCAUGAAAGACACGGUUUUGCUUCCUCAAGAGGCAAGGAUUUGCUUUCGCGGGAGGUAACGCGUUUUUUAUUUUUGUUUUCGUUCACGAGAAGCACGCUUUUCUUCCGCGAGAGGCACGAAUUUGCUUUCGUUUGUGCCUCUCAGAAAUAAAAAAAACGUGUUUUCUGUUUAUUUUGCUUUUGCAAGAGGCACAUAUUUGAUUCCGCGAGAGGCACGGUUUUGCUUCUGUGAAAGGGACAUAUUUACUUCCGCUAGAGGUAUGAUCGUGCUUCUCAGAAAUGAGAAAAAAUAAGUUUUUUUCUUAUGUGAGCGGCACGUUUUUUCGUCUGGUUUUUUUCGUGAACUUUUUUUCGUCAAAACCUAUCAACAUUGAAUCUAGUUUUGAAGAUCUAGAUCUCGACGCAAUGAAUCCACUAGUAAAAUGGUUCGAGAUUUGGAUGCACGUUUUAAGUGAUAAAACAUUUGAAAAUAACGGAUCUACGAAAAAAGAAAAUCUCGCAGAUUUUUUUAACACGGUACAGAUGCAAGCGCUCAUAUACACGCGCAUGCACUCACUCCUAUGAACGUAGACACGCACACCCUAUCCCUAUGAUCACCUUCGAGAGACUGGCCUGGUAUUUCAUCUUGAGAUUUAGGAAGUCGCCGUAGGCGCCUCAUCGCCGAGGGGAACGUCUCCUUCCACUGAAAGAAUAUCGCCAGAAAUACUGAAAUAAAUUUAGAAAUAAUGCAAGCACCACGACUUGAAUCCUAGUGAGCUGGGAAUACCACUGUCCUCUAACCAUUCAACCACAGCUUGGCUUGCAAAAGAUUUCACAUGUUACGACAAGUAACAGACAUACAUAACGCCAUUUGUCACAACCUAUAAAAGAUGGAAGUAAUUUUUAAAAGAAAUAGUCUUUAAUUAAUGGUUUUGUUCCUAAACGCGACUUAACAGUAAUGUUAUAAAAUCGAUUGAGACUUGCAAAAUCUCAAUCGACUGAGAGGAUUAGCCACGCCGUGAAAGUUAUUGAGUUAAACAAUAGCCAUUAAAGAAGGGCCCUUAAUAAAAGGGAAUUGUUUCUGGCCGGUGCGCCGGCCCAAUGCGGCUCGCGCGCUGAGCGCUGACUGGGCAUGCAACAUUUUUAUGUCUAAAAUGUUGCAACCAGCGUCAUAUUUGCUACAAUCGUUUUUAUUUGCUACAUUUGUUCAGUAAAAAAACUGCAUAUACAUUUGGCUGCAACUCCAGUUCGUCGGAUUUUUCGUUACAAUCGAUGUUUUUUACUUUUGCUACAACCGUGUUAAUUUUUGCUACAACCGGCAUCAUUUUUUGCUACAACCGUUCACUAAAAAGUUGCAUACACGUUCACGUAGAUAUUUGUUACAACCGGCGUUUGACUUGUUACCACGCAACAUCAGCUUCGUUUUUUUGUUACGAUCACGUAGAUGUUUUUGUUUACUAUAUUUUUUGUUUUUUGUUACAACUGUUAAAAAAAUUACUGCAUCGUGUCGGAUUUUUGCUGCAUCGAAAACAAAUGUUGCAUGUAGAUCCAACGGUGCGGACGCGCGGGAUUGAUGAAUCGUACGGUCCGCGCGCGACCGUUUCGGCGUGCGCGCCAGCGCAUAGGGCUGCCCUUAAUAGAAGGACAACAGGACACAAAUUCGAAAGAUUGUCCCGGUGUUGCUUUGAUCCUCCUCCAAAGUAAAAUGGACGAACGAGGCAUCCAUCACCGAGUGCCAUCCACUUGAUCUCCAUCCAACGGUGCAGGCACGCCAAAUCCUUCACUACCAGACAGUUGGACGCCGGUUCAUAGCCACCCCCGCCUGGCCAUCCAGAUAAGGCGCCACGGCCACUUGCCGCCCAAAGCCUCUGCCUGCCAUCAAUGGAGAUCACCGCCUCAUGGCGCUUCCUCCCCGUCGCGUCCUCGCUGCCACCCGCUCUGCUCCUAGCCAGGCGGCAGGCGUCGUGCCCCUGGUCUCUUCAACAGCCGGCGAUCUCCAAGUCCAGGAUCCUCUGCCGUCUCCAUGACAAG
RNAcentral lists this long non-coding RNA (119936 nucleotides) under Hordeum vulgare. RNAcentral's name for it is "long non-coding RNA (HVUL_LNC013255)". Lineage: Eukaryota; Viridiplantae; Streptophyta; Magnoliopsida; Poales; Poaceae. The record is from RNAcentral.